GUCCUCUACCUACAUGCAUAAUUUGGUUUUAUGCAUGCAUGAAGGUAUCUUUCUGGUUAGGCAGGUUGUUCACCUGGAUGCUUCCUUUGUUUGCAGCUUCAGCAGUUGCUCUUUUCUACAACAAGGUCUGGUUAUUGGGAUUUUGUGGAGUCUUGAUCUUUUUCAUCCUUUGUCGGUCAUAUUGAUGGUUACCUGUAGAGUUUUGAGGCAUUCCAGGCGCCAUGGCGGAAUGAUGUAAAUGCCUGAGUUUUGUUCUGACAGGAUUGGUAGAAGCCCGGGAUAAGUUUGCCAGUCCCCUCCCCCCCACCCCAACCUUUUUUCUUUUCUCCUUCACGGAAGCAACUUAUUUUUAAAUGAAAUGGAACGAGGUCGAAGCCAAGAAGGUGGCAGCCCGCUCAUCUCACCUCAGUGUUUGUGAUAUGUGAAGAUAACAAUUAGGAUGUUCUUUCCAAAGGGAAACAACUCCUAAUGUGAAGUGUUGCAAGUUGAGAAGUACAAAUAUAUCCCCGAUGUCAAAAAGAACCUUCAACUCCACUGACCUUUUAAGUGUAAUAUAUGCAGGUUCUUUUGGAGCGUCUGCAAUGUAGUAGUACAAAGCAAAAGAUGUCAUGCAGAAAUGGAAUAUAAACUAGUAUCAUAAAUUACUCAAGUAAAAGAUGAAUACUUGUAUAGAUGAAUUCAGCUUUAUCAUCUCUUUUUUUAAUUUUUAACUGGUAUUUGAGUUGCUUGAUGAAUAAGAUAACAAAGUCAUUAAGAUGCAGGUACAAGUGCAUUUCUCAGGUAGGGAAGAAAAUAAUAAUAAUAAUAACGAUCAUGCUGACAGUCAUGAACAAUUUGGAGAUCAUAUUAUAACUUUAUAAGAAAGUUAGCUGAACAAUCCAUUUCCUCAAAGUUGGACUGCUCCUACUUAGGCUUCAGAGUUAAGGGCUGAUUGGUUUUUUAACUCAAUGAUUUAAUUGCCGUAAUUUUAAUUAGUUAAGUCAUUAAAUUUAUUUAUUUUUUCAAUUUAAUGAAAAUUUCUGUUAAGUGGUUAAGUUAUUAAAUUAAUUUUUUUAGUUUUUUACUUAACCUAAAAGUUUGAAUGAUACAUUAAAAAAUAUUCUCUAAAAAUAUCUCUAUCUAAUUAGUUAAUUUUCAUCCUUAUUUAAAUAAAAUUUAAUAAUUAACAUUGUUACUCAUUUGUAUAACAUGUGAUAAUAUAGUGGUAAAUUAUUAUUAUUUUUAUCUUUUUUUUUCAAAUUAGAAUUAUUUGUCUUCAAAAUUUUUAUGCAUACAUUUCGUAUAAAAAUAUCAUGAACUACAAUAAAAAUUGAUUAACAUGUACUAAUUUAGAAUAUAUUGGAUCAUAUUUAAUUGAUAUAUAAUUUAUAUUAUGAUAAUAUAUUAUCUUAUUUAAAUUCUUUGAGAUAUUUGUUAUUUCACAUUUAUAAUUUGUAAGGACAUAAAUGGAAAAAUAUUAGUUUUCAGAUUUUUUUAAGUUAAAAAAACAACUUAAUAAUUAUUUUUAACAAUUCAGACUCAAAUAUAUAUAUCAUUUUGAUUCAGACAUUCAAUUCUACUUGAAUUUAGAGUAAUUCAGGUCUAUUAGAUUUCAGAUAAAAAAAUAAACACCACCUUAAUCACAAAAGAACCAACCAGUUCUCUCAAUAAUCAUAAGCUAAGAAGUUAGACAUUAUGCCCUUUGCUUAUUCAUUAUCAGAAUGUAUAAUACAAAAGGUUUACAUCUAAACUAGUAGAAGCAUUUUCAAUGCAAAAAUGAUCAGGAGAAAAGCCUUUCUCAUUCCCUGUGAGUUAGCACGGGUCUUAGAAAGAGUGCUCGGACAUAAAGUCAACUCUUCAAUUGAGCUGCCUAGGCUUUUCUUUUCCAGUUGAUGAGGUGGAAAAUCGGUGCUCUGUCAGAGAAAAUUCUGAAACCAUCAUCGGAGGUGAAUUCAUACUUCAAGGCAGGUCCAAGAAGCCAUGAAAUUGCAGCUCCACCAAGCAAGCCUCCUACCUGACAUUAAGCAAUGUGCAUACCACACAUGGAUAUGUGCAUAAACAAAUCAAUUGAUAUCAGCGACAUAUAAUAGCGACUUGCAUAAAGAAAAUCUGUAUGAUAAGCACAUGAGAAAAAACUAGGCCAGCAUAUAAUGGGGCUUUUUGUGCGUCAAAGUCGAUGGCUCUCCCAUGGAUACCUGUGAGGGUUUUGAUUUGGGAGAAUAAGUAUAAUUCUAGGGAAGUUUAGGUAAUUCCUAACAGUUGUAGAGGCACUCUUCUCCCUGGCAUAUCCUAGAGAAACAGGUGAAGUAGAAAUGUCAUUACAUGUAUAAGCCAUUUAUAUGUAAAACAUAAGUAAUUAGGUGUCAUUCAUUUUGUGGUUAUAACCUAGUCAAGUCAUUGACACAUCAUCCAAAUGUUGGUUAUAUAACUCAUCAGCGAUGAUAGACACACAACAGCUGUUUGUUGGCAACAUUUUGCAGUGCUAUUUGAUAAGGAGAUUUUUCAGAAUACUAUAAAUAACCCAUGAUUCAUAUCUCCAAUAUAUUCUAUGACAUUGUAAGCAAGACAAGACUCUCGCGGAACCUCCCUAUGAUUGCCUCAAUCCCACUGAAAUCAUAAUUUCUAACACCGAGAUAUACGCAGAAAAGAAACUUUAUAAAACAAUAGCAAAUGCGCAAUUGCCAAUGGAUGAAGCAGUCAAAAUCGGAAUCCGCCAGAAUAUUAAAGGCCUAGAUCUACAAAGAUUCAGUAACCAGUUCUAACUUUAUGCAGAAUAGCAAACACUUGUGCCACAUUGGCACAAUACGGUCAGAGCUGCAGUAUCACAACAACUGAACCAAGGCAGAAAGUUUUGGCCUUUGAGGAAAGGAAAAGCCAAUCCAAAUGCUUGUUAUCCUUAUUUUUAACAUAGAUACUGAAACUGAUUUUAAAAUAUAUGCAUUUUUAUAAAAAAAAAAAAAUUCCAUAUUUUUUUGGUUUUUCGGGGAAAAAAUAUCACAUACUCAGAGAGAAAACAAGAGAGGGUGGGACUUGUAUACUUACAUGUCCCCAGUUAUCAAUGCCUUUAAUCAGAAGUCCAAUAGCCUGCAUCACAUUUGCACAUUACCAUGUAGCUUAGACAUGCGCGCGCGCGCGCACACACACACAAAAAAAAAAAAAAAAUUCUAACAUAUCAGUUCAUUUGUUUGGAAGGAUCAAUAAAAUAACAUGUUUCCCCAGUCAAUGUAGGCCUGCUUUCUAUUUUGACAAUGUUUGCAAAGCUGCAGAACAUACCAUAUUAAAGAUAAUCACUUUUGCUAAAUGCUGUAGCUCUUCUUUGCUACCUCCAAGGAUGUUUCUAUGUCUCAUGAUAAAUACAGCAAAAGAUCCAACCUAUAUAAAAAAUAUAAACUAAGUACAUCAGAAAGGAAACAAUUACCUUGAAAAAAAUUCACGGUAAAAAAUUCAACCAACAUAAAUUCAAUCAGAAAGGAAACAACCUACGUAAAAAGUUCAAUCAGUGAACUCCACAAUAAAUUUGAGGCAUUAGAGUGUUGAUUCACUGGUCAAAAGAGCAUUAAGAUUGAAAUUGUAUGGCACUGAAACUUAAAAGAGCCACAAUUUAAAAUGGUGACAAGUUCAUUUAUAUAUUAUCGCCAAGGGUGAGAGUGAAGGGGGAAGGGAGGGGGGGGGGGGAGAGGGAAAUCAAACGUCAAAACUGCAUGUGAAAUUGUAAUAAAUAACAAUACAGGGGCACAUGAUCUAGCAUUAUUGAGAAAGGGAGAGCAAGAUUGCAUCAAGGGCUGUAAAUGUUUCCACUUUCCAGGUUCUUAAAGAAGAAAACUCAGAAAUAAUUAUAAGCUUGAAAACAUACAGCACUGAACCUGAUCGAGUUAUUGAUUAUUUGCCUUACGGUUGUAACUUGGGUACAUACUGCAACAGAAAGGAGAUUCAAUUUUUGCUGAAAAGGAGUUCAAAAUGACAUACCAAUCCAAAGAUUGCUCCUGAUGCACCAACAGCAGGGGAAUUACAGAAUCGAUAACUCAUAGCUGAACCUAAUUUCUUCAAAGAACUAAGUCAGAAUAAUAAUGGGUAAACAAUUUCAUCACUUGUGCAAGUGAGGUUAUGAGUUGUUACUUGCAAUUGCCGAGGAGAAGUACACUCCAAGAUAUCUCCUUGGACCACAGAUUUUCUCCAUAGUAGGACCGAUAGAGUUCAAAGAAUAACAAUUGACCUAUACAACGUAAUUUUUUUUCUUAUCAGACCAACAUGAAAAGGAUCAACAAUGAUGAGAAAUAAUUCAAGCCAAAAACUUCAGACCAGACCAUUAGGUGUACAAUAUUUGCAUGCAAGAAGGCGCUCGUGGCCAGCCUCCAGAACUGCCCUUUGUCAAUUAGACUAUUAAUCUGCAUACUUAAAAAGUUAAAAUAGGAAAUCAAGCAAAAAGGGGUAAUUCAAAAGGGGAAUAUUCAAAAGUCUACCAGAAUUAAUGUUUAAACUUUCUUCUGUAGUCUAAGCAUCUCACCUUGGCUCCCCACAAAAGAAGCUUGUCUUGUGUUGCAAAUUGUGCAAUAUAAACUCUAGAGAAGAAAAAGAAAUAGAAAGCUAUUACUCUGCUUAGCACUCUCUCAGAAAUUCGGAAAUGAAGACUGCGGCCUAAGCUAAAUAACUGAAAUCAGGUAAUGUAGAAAAAUUGUAAAGAAUUGGGGAAUUUGUUUAUGUAUCGUACUUAUUAUAUAGAUAAAUGAUAACUACAAUUUAUUUCAUACAAAUAUAAGUGAUACUCACAAGACAUUAACUGCAAGGAGGAUAUUCGUCCAUUGCCUUCCAAUAAAUAAAUUUCUCCUGGCGGUCUCCAAAUGUGAUGUACCCUCAUGUCCAGAGUUUUUCCUAGUACCUCCACCAUUGAAAAAAGAUAAUGAGGAUGCAAAUGCAUCAUUUGUGAACUGGAAAAAAUUGACUCCAUUAAACCGGAAGGCGUUUUCACACCAUUGAUCCUUCAAUCUGGGUAUAUGACAGAGACGAGAGAGUUUCUGCUCAACAAGAGACAUCAGAUGGCAGAGAGAAAUUUUGACACUCAAACACGUAACAGAUGUUGCAGUAGAAACAACUUAACCAUUCCACAUCAAUCAAGAAAUGACUAAGGAAUUUCAGCAUUAUACAGACAAAUUUGACCUUACAGAGCCAUGGGUUGCCAAACAUAAAUAUUCUAUGAAUUCCGUAGACAUACAACUAAAGAUAAAAAAGUCUAACAAAAUGAACCCACGUUUUCAAUCAGGAUUUAUACAUUCAAAACUAAAUGGAGCUACAAAGUCUAUGCAUUUGAUACUUUUUAUUACAUUUCAACCAAAGAUUAAAGGGUUCAGAUUCUCAUUUCUUAAAAAAUUAAAAAUUGGUGGAACAACAAAAUGGCAUUACAAUUCCAUUAAUUACAAACUCUGCACUGUCCUGAUAAUAUCACAUAUGAAAAACGGCAUGGUAUAUCUGUAACUGCUGUGCUUCUGAUUAAACUCGAAGCACAACAGCUAAACUGUUUGGCAAACAUCGCACUUCUACUUGGCAGAAUGCUGACAAAAACAAGAAUAAACCGGUUCCGGUUUACUUAAUUGCAAACACAAUAAAUUGGCACAAGCUUAUAGAUGUUUUUGUCAGCACUCUGUGAGCUCCGUAUCUCUUUAGCAUUUUUCACUAAUGAAUUAUUAACCACCCAACUACUUAUACAACCAGUGAUUUCACAUUCAAUCCAUGGCUCAUAAGUCAGUGGCUUUAUUGAAAUUUCCCAAUCAAGUCAAAUUUAUAAUUUUUUCCCCUUUUUAUCAAUUGAAUUGGACAGAGUAACAUAAUUACUUAAAAAUUCAGAGAGUGUUAACAUACCUACAUAACAAAUUUGCAUUGGCAGUGAAAAAACAGAAAAAUUGGUUAAAAGAAAGGGGUAAUUGAGAAAUUGUACCUUGACGGAGGAAUGGAGAAGGCGGCGGGCGUGGAGGGGCUGGUGGUGGAGAAGACGACGAGAGAGGCUGAGAGAGAGAGAAUGUUUGGCUGUUGUUGUUAUCAGAUUCAACGGCGGUCUGAUCAGCCAAUCGAACGGCUCACGAUGAUGAGGCAAAGCUCUGCCUGAUGCUGAUGAUUCCAUUUUGUUUCUCUCUUUCAAGUCUCAACAAACCUUCGUUUCAAAGUAACAAAACUAACAAGAAGGCAAUGGUUUUUAUUUAUUUUUUUUUUAAGAACGCCUUUCCACAUUCGGCCUUUUUAACCUUUUUAAUAAUAAUAAUACUAAUUUUUUUUUUGAGAUUUUCGACAUUUGUGUACGAACAUAUCCAAAUUUCAUUAAAUUAAAUAAAACUCUCUUAUUUUAAAAAAAAGAUUAAAUAAUUUUUUUAAAUUUUUUCUGUGAAACAGAGCCUCGUCACCGUAGAUAAAGGAUAUAAUUAUCCUAAAAAAUAGUCUACGCCAUUAAUUUUAAAAAUAAAAAGUUUAUGUGACCAUUUUCGCUAAAUUGCUCUCUAUGAUCGUUUCAUUAAGGAUUUAAAUUCAGUCUUAAGCUGACUUUUUUUCUAAGUUUUUAAAAGUAUAAAAUUGACAGUUAUUAAAUAAGAAUAUAAAAUUAAUUAAAUCUUAACCGUACAUUGUUAUACAUGCAUGAGCUAAUUUAGUACUCAACUUUUUAUAAUCUUCUACCACAUGUGCAUAUAUAAUCUUUCGGCAAAUUGUCUAAUUCUCAAAUCUAAAUAUUGAAUAACUUAGAAAUAAAAAUUUAGAUAAGAAAAAUAUAUCCGCUAAUAACUCAUUAGUUGAGUUGAUUGAUAUUUUUCCUUUAUUGUUAAGAAAAUUCAAAUAUCUCAUAGUCGUGUGGGUAAAAUGGAGACAAGUUAAAUAAAUAAAUAAAAAAGAGAAAAAAGAGGAACAAAUCAUAUAACCAUAUGUAUUGAGGCGGGAAUGAAAGAAACAACAUUAGCAAGUAUCAAACCAAACAAAUAAGUAAACAAAUUAACAAAACAAAGCCUCUGGUUGGAAUUGGGAUUCUGGAAUCUGCAACAUGAAACAAUGUCAUACUCGUACGUAUAUCAUGGAUAUAACAAAAUAAAUAUGAAAAAAAAAACCAGAUUUAUGAAAAAAAAAAUCAUUAAUUGCAGUUAUGCCAUCUCUUCUAUAUUCAACCCAACGACUGAAAGGUGCAAAAAGUAUAAUUAAUUUGAUUAAUAACAUAAAUAUGUAACUAUGAUAAUUUUAUUAAAAAUGAAAUAGAAAUUAAUUUGUAAGGUAUUCAUAAUAUUCUUAGGGGUGCUAUUGCUAUCUUUAAAUCAAUGUAUGAAUUAUGUACAUACCUGCCUAGCUAAUAAGAAACAACAUAAAGCUAGCAAUGCUCGCACCACUUCCAAUUAACUUGACCAUGAUCAUUGACAUAGUAAUUAAAUAGCUAAAGAAUGAGCCAAGAGUGCCACCAAGGUCUAGAAGCUGCAAAAUAAAUAAAUAAAUUACAUACAAAGUCAGCUUGUAAUGCUACAACAAAAUAAUCAAAAUAUUUGUCAUUACAAAUAGAAGGGCUAUCAUCUAUUUGAUAUAAUGAAUAUAGUAACUAUUACUACCAUAGUUUAAUUUUAUUAUUAGUGUCACAUGAUACGACAUUCAUAAAUAAUGCUUAAUAUAAUAUAAUAAGUUUUAUUUAUAAUUAUGAAAAAAAGGAUUUGGAUUAAAUUAAGGUAAUGAUAUAAUUUUAUAAUCAUAUUGCGAUCACAUACUAUAUUAAAAAAAAUAAGGAGAUUGUUAAUUUUCUUUCUUCUGAAAUUAAUAUAUACCAUUUAUUCUCCUAUUAUUUUCAUAAUAGCCAAUAACCAUAUGAUAUUAUUUUACAUUAUUACCCUUAUUUUUAAAUAUAUUUUAUUUAUAUUUAUCAUAAAUUAAAUAAAUCAUUUAAAUGAAAAUUGAAAUAAAAAAUUAUAUAUAUAUAUAUAUAUAUAUAUAUAUAUAUAUAUAUAUAUAUAUAUAUUCAUGUGAUGACCAGAAGCUACCGCUAUGAGAAGCAUUAUUAUUACCAUUAUUAAUCCUGCUAUCGAUAGAAUCAAAAUGCCUCCGUGCCCAUUCUGAUAUUGCACGAAAUGGCCUUAAUCCCAUCAAAUGAUUCCACCACAACUCAAUAUUAUUCGCCAGUUCUUCUUCAAACCUGUAAGUAUUAUUAUUAAUAUAAUAGCGAUUAUUAACAUAAUUAUUAUUCUCACCGUCUCCAUCAUCUCGCAGCUCAUGAUGAUGAUGAUGAUCAUUCAUAAUGUUUCCACCACCAGAACCAAUAAUAGAAUCUUUCAACUCGUAACGACAAACGGGGCACGUAGUGCUGUAAUGUCUCAGCCAUGGGACAAUGCAAUCAGAAUGAUACAAAUGCUUGCAUGGCAACUCCAUGAUCAUCACUUCAUCACUAUCAUCAUCAACAUCAUCCCGAACCCUAAACUCUUCUUUGCAGAUUGGACAGCAUUGCACCUCGUUGUUCCUCAUCAACUGGGUACUCUCGGAUAUUCUCACUCUUUUCAAUGCUUCAACGGCUGAAACCGGUGCCGGUGUGGGCCCCGCAUCCGGCUGAAGAUCGUGCAUUGGAUAUUCAAUCAUGGCUUGUGGUGGCGGCGGUGGUGGCGGAUCAAAAUGGAGGGAAAUCCAAGAAUGAAGGUUGUGUCCGUCGUUAUUUGGUGUGUCGAGAGCUUGAGCCAAUGAGUCGAGAAAGCGACCAGAGGGCGUCGGGAAAGACUCGACAGCUGUGGGAGAGGAGGAAACAAGCCUAGGCCUUGAGACGUCAAGCUCGAGAUAAAGUUGUGCGGAGCAAUGAGGGCAGAAGAGUUCAGACGGGUCUGUGGAUCGGAACCUCGUGGUACGCUGGCAGCUUUGGCACCAGAAGUAAUGAAAAGUUCUCGUUCUUUGAGUUCCAUUGACGAUAACUCGCGGACGAUUUUGAGCCAAAGACAUGGAUGGUUGGUUGGUUGAUUCUUUAGCUUCAAGUGAUUGAAAUGGGAUUUGUGUUUUUGUUUGACAUGAUGAGGAAAUGGAUACGGGUAUUAUAUAUAUAUAUGUGUGCGCGUUGUUGUGUGCGGUUUGUGGAUGGAGAGGGAGAAAAGGAUAGCUUUUAGAGCUACAGGAAGUGAUUCCUUGUUUUGUUUGCAAGUUUUGUUUUGGGUUAAUUUGCAGCUAGCUGCAGGCUUUGUUUUCUUUGCUUUGUUAAAGCAAAGGAUGAUUGCAAAAUGCUGCACACGUUUACUUAUUACUAUUUUUAUAUACUAUUUUGAUGGUUUAGUCUAACCACAAUCUAAUUUCGAAUUAACCUCAAACCUCUUGCUUUCAACAAAAGAGAUUUUAUCACCUCAAUUAGGUGGUACGCACUCAUACAUUUGAGUUACAUGUUGGGAAAAAUCAUAGCUAGGUUUGGUAAAUCAUAGUUAGGUUUGGUAACCUCAAACCUCUUGUUUUGGGAGGUUUAAAAGUAAUUUUGAAAAGUUAAAAGUUAAUUCUAGCAUUUGGUAAAUAUUUUUGGAAAUCAUUUUUGACAACAUCACUUUAUCCUACCUAGAUUUUGAAAAAUAAAGAAGAAGUAGUUUUUUAAAAUUUGAUUUUAAGAAUCACUUUUAUACUCAAUACAAUUCCAUAUAUAUAUCCCCAUGAGUAAUGAUACAGUCACAAACUCUUGUACAAACUUAUUUUGUACAAACUGAUGUGGCAUGAUAAGAUUGGUUGAAUUAAAUAUUACUUGGCCCACAUGAUUUGUUUUUAUUAAUUUAUAUUUUCAUUCAACCAAUGAAUUAAUGCCACGUCAGUUUGUACAAAAAUAAAUUUGUACAAGAGUUUGUGGCUGUAUCAUUACUCAUAUCCCCAUAUAUAUUAUAAAAAUUUAAAAUUAUCCUUAAUAAUUAGUAAAUAAAAUCGUUAACUUUAAAAAAAUUAUUAUGAUUACAAUUAUAUGAAGAUAGGAAAAAUAAAAAAUAAUUUUUUAACUAUCCAUUAUAUGUACACACUUGAAAAAUUAUAUAUAUAUAUAUGUUUAAAUAAAUUUUAUUAAUAUUAUGUCCAAUUCAUUUAUUUAUAGUUUUACAACAGUUAAUAAUAAGAUUUACCAAACACAUACAAUUACUUUUAAAAUUUACAACACUUUUAAAAAUAAAAUUUAUCAAAUAUUUUACUGAUUUUCUUCAUAGUUGAUUAAUUAUAUAGCACAACUAACAAUAAUUAUUUUAAAAGCUACAAUAUUACUAAAUUGACCCUUAGUGUUUGUACUAAAUAUGAUGAAACAUAGUGGUAGAUCCGGAAAAAUGAUUUACUAAAGGCUAAAUUAUGUAACAACAAGAUGUAAAAACUAAAAUUUCAUGGUUUAAUGAGUUUAUAAAUGUUAUUUUAAAAGGUUUAAAACCUGCCUUAAAAUUCAAGUAAUGCCACUCUAUUCUCAAAUCAAAUAAAUCAAUUACAACUUACAUAAAGUUUAUUCUCUUUUACUAGAAAAUAAAUUAAAUUUCUGCAUAAACUUAUAUUACCUUCUAUUUUCAGUUUUAACAAAAAAUAAUAACAAUAAUAACAAAUAAAUAAAUAUUCAUUUUUGCUCAUUGAUUCGUGGUCAUGUAUUUCGGAUUGAAAUAUUGUUAGGUAUAAAAUUUGUUAAAGUUUUACCACCCAUGUAAAAUUCAUUUCUUGUUAGCAUACCUGAAAUGUUAGGUAUUUGCUGACUAUGUCUUAACAGAUUAUCCCUUUAGUUUCUGAGUUUGUUUUGAAUAAAUCCUGGUUUGUAGGGUGAAGAUUUGUUUUUGAAUUGUUCUUCCUUAAUCUUAGCACUUUAGAUCAUUCUUGUUUGUAAUGGCUAUAUAAAAGCCUCAGUUCAGUAUUUAAUAAACAAGCUUUUACAGCUACCAAAGUUUGUUGCUUUCUGCAUUCGAGUUCUAACUCAGUUAACAGUGGUAGAGCUUCACAAAGGGGCCAUAUUGUAAGAAAGUGUGAGUAAAACAUUGUGGGAAGAGUGAAAGAGAGAUGGCUGCCGAAGCUAGCAACUUUGCACAACCAAGCAUUCCCAAGUUUGAUGGAGAUUACGAUCACUGGAACAUGCUGAUGGAGAACCUUUUGAGAUCGAAAGAAUAUUGGAGCAUCAUCGAAACAUGUUACACUGAGCCUGCUGAAGGAGAGACAUUGACAGCUACACAAAGAAAAACCUUGGAGGAUUUAAAGUUAAAAGACCUGAAGGCAAAAAAUUAUCUCUUCUCGGCAAUUGACAAGCCAAUUCUGAAGAGCAUCAUUCAGAAGAGCACAUCCAAGCAGUUGUGGGAUUCAAUGAAGAGAUAUCAAGGCAACAUCAGAGUGCAGCGUGCUCAACUUCAAACCCUUCGCAGAGAAUUUGAGAUUCUGGAGAUGAAGAUAGGUGAGUCUGUCACUGAUUAUUUUUCAAGGGUGAUGCUGGUAACCAAUGACAUGAGGAAUAAUGGAGAAGAUAUGCCGGACGUGAAAAUCAUUGAGAAGAUCUUGCGUACUCUCACUUAAAGAUUCAACUACAUUGUAUGUUCCGUUAAGGAAUCAAAAGAUAUUGAUCAGCUCUCUGUGGAUGAGCUGCAGAGCUCACUACUUGUUCAUGAGCAGAAGUUUCAGAAAAAUGGUGGCGAUGAGCAAGCUUUGAAGGUCACAAGUGGUGAGUGGCUUGGUGCAAGUGAGGAAGACAAGUUUGGAGGAAGAGGCAGAGGUCGUGGAAAUCUCAGAGGAAGAGGGAGAAGAAGAGGUCGAGGAAGACAACCUGUUGACAGAGCCACCGUUGAAUGUUUUCACUGUCAUAAGUUAGGACAUUUUAGAUAUGAAUGUCCCAGCUGGGACAAAAAUAUCAACUAUGCUGAGUUGGAUGAAGAUGAAGAAAUGCUACUCAUGUCCCAUGUCGAGAUGCAUAAUUCCAAAAGAAAGGAGGUGUGGUUUCUAGACUCCAGCUGUAGUAAUCACAUGAGACAUGAGUGGAGAUAAGAGGUAGUUUAUUGAGCUCGAUGAGUCAUUCAGGCAAAUAGUAAAACUCGGUAACAAUUAAAAAAUAGCUAUCAUGGGAAAGGGAAACAUCAAGAUACAAGUUCUUGGAAAAACUCAGGUGAUCAUUGAGGUAUAUUGCAUUCGCAAGCUAAAGAGUAAUUUGAUUAGUAUUGGACAACUUCAAGAAAAAGAUUUGGCCAUUGUGAUUCAAUAUGGUGUAUGCAAGAUUUAUCACCCAAUGAGAUGGUUAAUUAUGCAAACAAACAUGUCAGCAAAUAGGAUGUAUAUGUUGUGUGCUACUGCACCUACUCAUGCUCCAGGACAAGCUUGUUUUCAAAUGGCAUCCGAGACACAACAACUCAUCUGUGGCAUCGAAGGUUUGGACACUUGAACAUGAAAGGCUUGAGAACUUUGGCAUAUAAAAAACUGGUGAAUGGUUUGCCGAUUCUUAAAUUUUCUGCCAAAUUAUGCACUGAUUGUGUUGUUGGCAAGCAACACCGUGACCCUUUUCCCAAGAAAAGUUUAUGGAGAGCUUAUCAACCAUUGCAGCCUGUGCACUCUGACAUUUAUGGUCCUAUCACUCCUGAAUCAAAUAGUUACAAGAGGUAUAUACUCACUUUUAUAGAUGAUUAUAAUCGUAAGAUGUGGACUUAUUUCUUGCAUGCUAAGUUAAAGGCAUUUGCUAUGUUUAAGAAUUUUAAAAGCAUGGUAGAAAAAGAGAAAGGGAAUUAUAUUUCUUGCUUACGUAUUGACCGAGGUGGGGAGUUCACCUCAUUGGAGUUUAAUAAAUAUUGCAGUUCAAAUGGGAUCGCCAGACAACUCACCGCAGCUUUCUCCCCACAACAAAACGGGGUUGCAGAGAGAAAGAACCGAACCUUAUUGAAUAUGGUGCGGUGCAUGUUGACUAACAGAGGAGUUCCUAAGCAAUUCUGGCUAGAAGCUGUGAAUUGGGCAGUGCAUAUUCUCAACCGAUGUCCUACCUCAGCGGUGAAAGACCAAACACCUGAAGAAGCAUGGAGUGGACUCAAGUCUUAUGUGGAGUAUUUUAAAGUGUUUGGUUGUAUCAGACAUGUUCACAUACCAGACAUCAAGAGGAAGAAACUUGACAAUAAGAGCUUUAAGUGUGUGUUUUUAGGGGUGAGUGAAGAAUCGAAAGCCUUUUGAAGAAGAAGAAAAGUGGAGUUGGGAGAAAAUAACUGAAAUAACUCGCUGUGAUAAUCUUGAAUGGGGAGAUGAAAAAGAAUGUGAGAAAGAAAGUGUCAUUGGAGAAGAAGGACAACUUAAGCAAGGUGAAGCUGGUGGCUCGGGUUCUUUUACUCCAACAGAUGUAAAUAAUUCGGUUCAAGGGAGGAUUAGAAGAAAACCAGUAUAGAUGGAGGAUUAUGUAAGCGGUGAGGGUCUGUUCGAAGAAGAAGAAAUGCAGCAGCUAGCUAUGCUCACCUCAUUAAGUGAUCCAGUAAGUUUCGAAGAAGCUGUUAAAAGUUCUACUUGGAGAGAUGCCAUGGAUCUGGAAAUUCAAGCUAUCGAAAGAAAUGGUACCUGGGAGUUGACAUAAUUGCCAAGAGGAGCCAAGAAAAUAGGUGUAAAGUAGGUUUUCAAAACUAAACUGAAUGAGAAGGGAGAAGUGGACAAAUGCAAAGCUCGGCUUGUAGCAAAAGGAUAGACACAACAAGCUGACAUUGAUUAUACUAAGGUAUUUGCUCAUGUUGCUCGUUGGGAUAUUAUUAGAUUAAUUCUUGCACUAGCUGUUAGCAGAGAUUGGGAGGUGUUUCAGCUUGAUGUUAAGAGUGCUUUCCUGCACGGUUAAAUCACUAAAGAAGUUUUCAUUAAGUAGCCACGAGGUUAUGAAGUGAAGGGUGUUGAGAACAAAGUCUAUCGGAUGAAGAAGGCAUUGUAUGGGCUCAAACAAGCCCCACGAGCAUGGUUAAGUAAAAUUGAGUCCUAUUUUAUCAAAGAAUGGUUCGAAAGGUGUUCAAGUGAGCACACUUUGUUAAAAAAGAAUGGUGGGGAUGGAAAAAUCCUUAUAGUCAGUGUAUGUUGAUGAUAUGAUUUUUACUUGGAAUGAUGGGAAGAUGUUUGAGGAGUUCAAGAGGUCAAUGAAGCAAGAGUUUGAAAUGUCUGAUCAUGGAAGAAUGAAAUAUUUCCUCGAAAUAGAGGCGGUGCAGGGUUUAGCUGGAAUUUUCAUAAGCCAAAGAAAGUAUGUUAAUGAGGUACUUGAAAGGUUCAGAAUGAAGCAUUGUAAUCCUGUGAAAAAACCUAUUAUGCCUGCAUGUAGACGUGUGAAAGAUGAAGGAGGUACGAAGGUUGAUUGCACCACUUACAAGCAAAUGGUGGGCAAUCUCAUGUAUUUGACUGUCACCAGACCUGAUCUUAUGUAUGUAAUAAGCUUAAUAAGUCGUUUCAUAGAGGCACCAACUGAGUUGCAUCAACAGGCUGUGAAGAGAAUUUUUCGGUACUUGAAAGGAACAAUAGAGAUAGGAAUAUUAUACAAGAAAGGAGGUUUGGAAAAUUUGGUUGCUUUCUCUGACAGUGAUUAUGCCGGGGAUCUUGAGGAUCGAAAAUCCACUUCAAGUUAUGUCUUUAAAUUGAGUUCUGGAGUUGGGGCGUGGAGUUCCAAGAAACAGCCAGUUAUGACACUCUCUACAACAGAGGCAGAGUUUAUAGCUGCUGCUUCAUGUGCCUGUCAAAGUAUUUGGAUGCAGAGGAUUCUAGGGAAACUUGGUCUCAAUCAAAGUAAAUGCACUAUUUUCUGUGAUAAUAGUUCUGCUAUUAAGCUUUCGAAGAAUCCUGUAAUGCAUGGUAGGAGUAAGCAUAUUGAUAUUCGAUUCCAUUUUCUUCGAGAAUUAACUAGAGAUGAUGUAGUUGAUUUGGUGCAUUGUGGCUCUAAAGACCAAUUAGCUGAAUAUUAUGACAAAACCAUUGAAGUUGGAUUUGUUCUUGAAGAUGAGAGGACAUCUUGGAGUAUGCAUCGUUCAAGAGGUAAACUGACUGCAAAUUUUGCAGUUCAAUUUAAAGGAGUAUUUGUUAGGUAUUUACUGACUAAGUCUUAACAGAUUAUCCCUUUAGUUUCUGCGUUUGUUUUGAAAAAAUCAUGGUUUGUAGGGUGAAGAUUUGUUUUUGAAUUGUUCUUCCUUAAUCUUAGCACUUUGGAUCAUUCCUGUUUGUAAUGGCUGUAUAAAAGCCGCAGUUCAAUAUUCAAUAAACAAGCUUUUACAACUACCAAAGUUUGUUGCACUCUGUAUUCGAGUUCUAACUCAGUUAAUAUGAAAUACUAUAAGAACAUUUUUAGUUGUUGGUAUGUAGAUUUGUAAUCUUGAUUUUUAUUUGUACUGCUCUUUUGCUUUUCCUUCUUCUGCUGCUAUAACACCUCCCAAUUGAGAUAUUAAAUAAUAACUUUAAAUAUUGGAGGAAACUAAUUGAUAUAGAAAUUUAUGCAUGUGAUGAUGAGCUAUAUAUAAAUUUGAUAUUUGCUUUUCCUCCUAAUUUUAGUUAUAAAUUUUGCGAUCAACCCAAAACAUUUAGAAUAAAUAAGUUUCUUCUGUUUGAGUUCCUAACAUCCCUUUAAAACUCUUAUUAAACCCAUUGUUAUACUUAAAUAUAUAUUUUUGUAAUAAAAAUUCUAGCAUUAGGUAAUUGAUUUCUUCAAUAUCUCAAAAUUCUUUUAAAUUUAUAAAAAAAUAAUUAUUUUUUUAAUAAAAAUUUUAGGAUUAGGUAUUUUAUUUCUUCAAUAUCUCAAAAUUCUUUUGAAUUUAUAAAAAAAAUAAUUAUUGUUUGGGAGGGAUACUGUUUGGGACAAAUGCGUCGAAGGGACCAGGAACGACGAGCAGACAUCUGAUGGCGGAGUUCUGCGAACCGGUGUUUUCCGUUAAAGCCUGGCGCGUGGAAGAACAGGAGCAGAAACAUCCUGCUCGUCCACGAUGUUGUCGUCCGCGAGGCCGAUUCCUAUAAAAGGCACGAGGCCAUUCCGGCUAGAGAUCGAGAGGCGAGGAGACCCGGUCGACGGCAGUUGGCAAGACGUGCUCUCCAGCACGAGAAUCUAGGCACAACAGCCACGCUUUCCCCAGAACCGCGACGUAACACGCAAGAUCUCACGGAGCCAGGACAGCCACACUUUCCCCAGAACCGUGGCGUAACACGCAAGGUCUCACAGAGCCGUGGCAGCCACGCUUCCCCUGAACCGUGGCGUAACACGCUAGAUCCCAUGUUUUGCCCAUAACGCAGCAGUUGGAGUCCCAUACCGUCUCGAAAAGAGCGGAAGACUGAGAUUCAGAGGAAGCCUAUAAAAAGGUAGCCAACGAAGGUAAAAGGGUUGGCAUUCUUGAGAAAAGGGGAGAAAACCACAAGAAACGCCAUAAGACCUGUGGCAAGCUUUUCCCGAACCUUCAUAUCUGACUUGAGCGUCGGAGGGUUUGCGCCGGGAAAACAACCGGCGUACUCUGACUUAUCUGUGUACGCAGGGACCUCCGGAGAAGAAGCCUGGCGAGGAGACCUCCUGGUAGUGACGAAGUUGAUCGAGCAGAGAUCCUGAUCGUAGAACGAGGAGAACCGGAAUCUCGCAUCAACAUAAGUUGUAGUUUGUAAUUUGUCCACAUACAUACAUACAUACGUACAUCCAUCCAUCCAUCGUUCAAACAAAAUUCUCAAGUAGAAGGCUUACCAGAUGCAAUUCCUUCUUCCAUGGCAGCCUUGGCAGCAUUGAGAGCAUGAGUAAGAAUACGCACUUUUUUAACUCACAUUUUGACUGUUAGAGCCUCCAACCUUAGGAAAGAGCAAACCUCCAUUUAUAGGUAGUUAAGAUGCCACGAAAAUAAACUUAACACAACUCAAUGAGCAGUUCCAAAGAACCGAACUUUUAAAACAGCAUAUCACCGAUCUUCAGCUGUAAUGCUUUUAGACGUCGAUCUCAACUGUAUCAGCAGUAAAAAGAAGAAAAAAAAAGUCAAUAAUGAAAUGAGAUUUACAAAAGAGUGGUCUCGACUCAAAAGACUGUACAGCUGGAAAAACGAACAUCCCAGGCAAAUGUAAUAACUAAUAAACACAAUCAAAGGCCUACGAACCUGCUGAAAAAUCAUGUGAGAAGCCACAAUACAAAUCUCUUUAGACUUCUUCAAUCUUUUCCACGGUAAGAGAGCAUUUAUCAAGGAAAAUGGUUUCAUUCUCUGAUGCUAUAACCUAUGUGAAAGAGGACAUUUAAUAUUUAUGUUAGAAUUCUAGACAUGCUUUUAGACCACAAAACAUAGGUCUAUCCCACUGUCUGGCAACAGCAAGCCAUUAGUAUCAUCAGCUGAGGCACUUUCCCCGCAAAUCCUAAAAGGUCAACGUAUUUUGAGCAAUCCUUUUCAGUGAUGACCUAAGGAAAGGAAAGGACAGAUUGCACAUCACAUCAUAAUGCAUGUUCAGGAGAUUAGUUUUUUCCAUCUGAUAUUAAGUAGAUCUUUCAUAAUAUCAUGUCCAGGAGCUUUGAUGGCACAAAUCUUCAAACAAAGUUAGAAAAACUCCAAGAAUCAGUGGCGGAUAAAAAAGUUGAUUAAAAAUAGAACAAUAUCUUAAUGUUGCAUAAAACACAGAAUUUGUAGUUUCUUGACAGCUGAAAACUUUGAAGUAUUCCUGAUCCUUCUCGCACGGACUAGAUUACCUUGGCUCCAGUAGUUUGCUUAUUCAUUAUAAGAGUAUCCAGGACAUCAUUUUCAAAAUCUUCAGCAACAAAUCAGGAGUCUGAUGAAUACUGUUUGGGAGGGAUACUGUUUGGGACAAAUGCGUCGAAGGGACCAGGAAGGGACCAGGAAUGACGGGCAGACAUCUGAUGGCGGAGUUCUGCGAACCGGUGUUUUCCGUUAAAGCCUGGCGCGUGGAAGAACAGGAGCAGAAACAUCCUGCUCGUCCACGAUGUUGUCGUCCGCGAGGCCGAUUCCUAUAAAAGGCACGAGGCCAUUCCGGCUAGAGAUCGAGAGGCGAGGAGACCCGGUCGACGGCAGUUGGCAAGACGUGCUCUCCAGCACGAGAAUCUAGGCACAACAGCCACGCUUUCCCCAGAACCGCGACGUAACACGCAAGAUCUCACGGAGCCAGGACAGCCACACUUUCCCCAGAACCGUGGCGUAACACGCAAGGUCUCACAGAGCCGUGGCAGCCACGCUUCCCCUGAACCGUGGCGUAACACGCUAGAUCCCAUGUUUUGCCCAUAACGCAGCAGUUGGAGUCCCAUACCGUCUCGAAAAGAGCGGAAGACUGAGAUUCAGAGGAAGCCUAUAAAAAGGUAGCCAACGAAGGUAAAAGGGUUGGCAUUCUUGAGAAAAGGGGAGAAAACCACAAGAAACGCCAUAAGACCUGUGGCAAGCUUUUCCCGAACCUUCAUAUCUGACUUGAGCGUCGGAGGGUUUGCGCCGGGAAAACAACCGGCGUACUCUGACUUAUCUGUGUACGCAGGGACCUCCGGAGAAGAAGCCUGGCGAGGAGACCUCCUGGUAGUGACGAAGUUGAUCGAGCAGAGAUCCUGAUCGUAGAACGAGGAGAACCGGAAUCUCGCAUCAACAAUUAUAUUAUGAUUAGGAUUUAAAGAUGGGAUAGUUCAUAAUUUGCGGGUGUAAAACUUUUAAUUUAAUUAAUUUAAUAAUUAUCGUUUAAUGUAAUUUCCACUAAUAAUAGAAUUAUAAUAAAAAUAAAUGGAGUUUAAUAAAAAUUUUAAAUGGGUGUGGAAAGCGUUAUACUUUCUUAUAAGGAAUAGACGCGCAAGCCCAAUUUACAAAUUCAUGAUUAAAGUCCAACAUGGAGGACCAUUAAAGUCUGCACAUGAAUCAUAAGAAAGUAUAGAAUAACACAAUCAAACUCAACCAACUCAACAAAUGAGCUGUUAACUUCUGUAUGAUUAUUUUAGUUUUAACUUUUAUUUGAGCAAUUUUACGGAUGUUUUUUUUAUUCCUAUCUUAAAGACCCAUCUAGCUUUAGGGUCGAGUACAUUACAUUAUGCAUUUUAUCUAUAUUUUAUUAGAAUAUAAAUAUUAUUUAUAAAGGUCCCUCACACUUGUAUCAGGAUGACUUAAUACGUAGUGAACUAGUGAUACUCAUUAGAUGGUAAACACUUGAAUAAGUGAUAAAAUUCUAUGUCUCUUUAUGUAUAUUAUUAAAAUUUUGAGUUAAUCAGACAGUAUCACGUGAUAAUGUCACUCACCAUAAAAUGCGUAUCAUCGCCCACUAGAUCAUUACUUUUUGUAUAAAUAUAAUGAAUUUAUUUUUUUAUAACAUCAAAUAUAAAAAUGAAAUAAUCUUAUUUCUGAAUUAUUAUCUAUUAAAUUCAACUCUAUAUCUAAUAUAAUUUCAUCACCAUUUACAGUUUAUUUAAAAAGAAAAGUUUUGUCAAAAAAUUUAUAUUUUAUUAAGCAAGAAAAGUUUGUUAAAACUCGUUUAUUUCUAAGGAUUUGAAUUUCAAUAGUAAGCUAAACAAACUACUUGAAAAUGACAAUAGACAAAUGUAGUAGACAAAUGCUUUUGUUAUCGAUCAUAUUAUAUUUUUAAUUUUUAUUAUUUUAUUUAUUAAAAUAUCUAUUAGCUAAUUUUUUUUCUUCAAUAUUACAUUAGAGAAUCCAAAAUAAUAUAUUCAUUGGAACCUAAGUUCUAAUCCAAUGUCUAUUGAGAUUUGUUGGUACAAAAUUGAAGUUCAGCUAAAAAAUUCUAAUAUUAAAAAUAAUAAAUAAAUAAACUACCAUACACCCAUAAAGAAUAUAGAACUUUCCACAUCAAGAAUAAGAUGGGAAGAUGCUUAACAAUAAUUCAAGGGUAUCUUUAACAUCUUGUAUUUCUUAAAUUGUUUAAGAAAUUAAAUAAUUAUUAAUCUGCAACAAGUGACCAUCUGUAAUUUUAGAAACCACAGGGGCUGUAUUGUAAUUUUGCAGCAUAUUAAAAAAUAAGUAAUAAUAUAACUACUUGUAUAAAUUUAUAUUAUAUAAAUUAAUGUGACAUAAUAAAAUUGAUUGAAUUAAAUAUCUCUUAAUUCAUAUAAUUUAUUUUUAUUAUUUUAUAUUUUUAUUUAAUUAAUAAAUUAAUAUUAAUAUUAUAUUAAUUUAUAUAAAAAUUUACCACUGUAUCACCGAGCAAUCGUUAAGCAGUGAGCAUCGAUCGGCUACUGCUAGCGGACAGUAGUUUAAGCUCUUCGUGUCAGAGAAACGCCAACUCAGCGAGCCGGCCGAGUGAACACGUGAAACCGGACGAGUUAACUCAACGUCUCAAAAAACUACGCACACUAUCUGAUUACGUUUUUGUCGUUUAGUCGAGCUUAAACUGAUCCUUCAAAACCCUUUCAAUCUCUCUCUCUCAUUUUCUCUCUCUCUAAAAUCUCAGAGAGAGAAAGAAAACCAAAACAAAAAUUAAAAAAUAUAUAUAUAAAAUUUCCGGGAAAAUUACCAAAAUUUUCUCGGUAUCCAAACAUUCCAAUCAUGUCUCACAUCAUGUUCCAAACGACUCCCGUCCCCACAACCGCUGCCAAAGCCGUGUCAUCAGCAUCAUCAUCAUCGACUCUGGCGGCUCCUCGAUACAGUACGAGUUAUCCGGUGGGGGUUAGGGUGCGGAGAAAGAAUAUGCCGAUAACGUGUUCGGUGCCGUCGCCGUUAAUUGACGGCGGAGACCAUUCUGUGGUUUUGUUGGAGAGGUGCUACAAAGCGCCCAGUGCUCUACCGUCCGGUUCGACUGCCGAGUACGGUCCGCUUAUGAAAGGGGGUCAAUACGGUGCAUUUGGUGCUGUUACGUUGGAAAAAGGGAAACUUGACACGACGCAGCAGCAAUCUGAGACUACACCUGAGGUCUGUAACUGUUAUUUUUGCUGCUGUUGUUGUUGUUGUUGUUUUCAGUUUCAAAAUUCGUUAAAUUUUUUCUCUUUUUUUAAUUUAAUUUUUGCAAUUUCUUAGAGUUAGGUUUUUGGGUGAUUGAUUGCCAAGUACAAAUGUUCCGCGCCCCCCCCCCCCCCCCCCCCGGCGAAAAAAAAUUUCCUUAUUAAAAGUUUCCUGCUUUGAGAAAAAGGCGUGGUGAUAAACACUGUUGAUGUUGAAUGACGUUGGAAGCUGCAAAUUGAGGUCAUUUCCUAUGGAUUCAGUUGCUUUAGGGUUUAAGCUAUGCCUAAAAGGAUUACUAAUCCUGGGGCAAUUGUGUGGUAUGAUACGAAUCUGAGAGCAAUGACGGUUUUGUUUAAAGGUUCUAGGUUAUUUGGGCUAAUGCGAGAUGGGGGUGAGGGUAGAUUUUUGAAGUAUGGAUUUGAGUGUUUGAAGGUGUUUUAAUGUGAUUGUUUUAAUGUGAUUGUAUUCUUGUAAGUGGUUGCUCAAAAGCUGGGAAAAGGAAAAAUAGGUAGAAAUUGUUUGCUUGACUUGUGAUUUUCAUUCGUCCUUCCCCUUUUGUUUGCAUUGCUUUGACACAAGCUCUUAAGUUGUGUACUUGCAGAAAAGGUUUAAGAUGUAUUCUUCCAUGAAUUUGAGAAGUUAUUUUGAUAUUUAGUAGUUGUCAUUUUUUUAACACGACUUUAGGAUUUUUUUGAAGUUGAGUUUUGGUUAUUUAUUUAUUUAUUUUCCCUAAAAGUUAGCUAUUGGAAAAAGAAGUGGUUGUUUGUCUGUUAAUUGUAUAAGAGUUAUUAAAGGCUACUUUGGGCAUUUAAUUUUUAAUUUGAGGUUGAUAAAUUAGUUUUUAGAGGAGCUAAAAAAUCUGGUUUUAGAUAUAUGGAAAUGAGUUAACCAUGAUUAUAAAAAGCAUAUUUGGAUUAAAAUGAAACAACUAAGAAUUGAAAAUGUUCUUCUUGAUCCAAAAAAGUUGGGAUUUCAUCAAAUAAAUCUCUAUCUAAGCUACUUUGAGCCACUCAUUAAACUCAAUAAUGUAAUGAGCUCCACCUAUGGAGAAAGUGAAAUCAUGGAAUGUUACGAAAAGUUAGUUUGAUGCUGUAUUCAACACUCUUUAGAAUAUAACUAGUUUGAUGCUUUAUUCAAUACUCGUUAGAAUCUAACAUAGUUGUUCAGUUGGUUAGCUGCCUGCGGAAAACGCACUAGAUUUGAUUUUAAUGACAUCCCUGUGCUGGUCAUCAUUAUGUAGAUUAAGAGUAAAAUAAAGUAGUGAUAUAUGAAUGACAUCCCUCUGCUGGUCAUCAUUUAUGUAGAUUAAGAGUAAAAUAAUGUAUUAAUAUAUGAAUGAGCACUUAUAUAGCAUUUAAGUAGUUUUCACCUCAAAAGUGUUUGUGAAAGCAUGAGAUAAGUACUAUUUGUAAAAGCAUGGGAAAAUAAAAAAGACAAAAACGUAGAAUCACUCUACAGAAGAGAAAAUGGGCUUAAAUGGUUUUGAAUUUACCUCAUGAAGAGGUCAUCAUGACCAUCUGAAGCUCACAUAUUUCUCAUCUCAAAUAUACAUACCCUUUCUUUUUCUUCUCUCUUAAAUGUUCCCUGCCAUACUUUCAAAAUCUUAAAACUCUUGCAGUGUAACUUACCCCACAGUAUGACUCGAAGCAACCAAAUUUGCAAGUACUGGUCUGGAGACACCCCGUGUUAUGCAUUUAUCACGAGUUGUAAAUCUUAUCCCCCCAUAAUCACAUUGUCAUUGGUAGAAUGUUUUGAACGGGUUGCAGUUCAAGCACAGAAAGCUACCUUGAAAUGUGUUCGGUGCACUAGGUUUCCAUCAGUGAAAUAUCAAGUUCCUUGCUCUUGUACAAGCUAUUUUGUGUUUUAACUGCAAAUUUUCAUUACAAAUGAUCUGAAACCGAUUGUUCAGUCCCUAUCACUAGUUUAUGCCCCUGGUUAAAACUGCCAAGAUUAUAAAUUGCAGUGUUAAAGUUUUAAAAGAACUUACAUUUAGUUUUGUAACUUUAGGAUUUUUGGACAAAUGAUGACCAGUCCUUGUGCUGAGCCGCUUUCUUACUUGUCCUCUACAAUACAAUGCAGAUCAGGAAACAUGAACCUUAAUAAUAAACCUCAACAUUUUACAUUCCUGAAAAACAAUCUCAAUUGUGUUCCCUACACAAAAUAUUGUUACUGCAGAUACUAUUAAAAACUACUCUAAUUCUUUCUGUAAAUUUACUCCAUAUCAACUUGUUACUUCUUUAGUACAAGAACAAUCUGUUCUGCCUAUUAAACUUGCAAGUCAUUCCAAAUGGUGAUUCCUUUUACAAAAGUGUCCUCAAUAUCAUCCCUAAAAGGUGUUUAUAAGCAGUUAAUACACUUCAUUAUGAUUUGAUACCACACCGAUUGUGUCGUUCUUAGCUGUCUCAUAGAUAUUAUGAUUUGAGGUUUUAUUUGCCAAAAUAUUAUUAGUAGAGGCAUUGGUUUUCUUUGCCUGUGACCUUAUGUCAGUAGAAGAGAUUUGCUUUUUCAUUUGUCUUUCUAGGAUGGUGAAUAUUCAGUACAUGCAAUAAUUGGUUUAAAUCUAUGGAUUUGUUACUGCUGUUUUUCAGUCAUUGCUAUUAAUUAGUUAGUACAAUCAUCUCCCCCUUAAUGAUUCCGGUGGCUGUAUGUGGUAUACAAUGCUUUUAUUUUUGUUUAAAAUUCAUUUUAUGGAGAAGUUUGUUUAAUUGGUUUGUUGACUUAAUUGUUAAAAUUCUAUGUUUAUGGAAUCGUGAACCUUACGCAUUGUUGGACUUUUAUCAUUCAUUUGUGAGUGGUGUGCUGAUAAAUCGUUCAUUUGUGACUGGGGUGCUGAUAAAGGCCUGAAAGUGAGGUUCAAGGUUUUGCUUUUGCAUAACAUCCAAACGCAACAUUUCAUUUUCCUUUUUUUUUUUUUUGGCUUGCAUAAUAGCUAGAAAUUUUGGCAAGGAGGCUAAUUCAUUUUAAAAUUACAGCUUGCAACUGGUGGCGGUGGUGGAGAUAUUGGAAAGAAAAUCAACCAUGGUGGCGGUGAUGGAGGUGAUGAUGAUGGGGAUGAUGAUGACUACUUCGAUGAUUUUGAUGACGGCGAUGAGGGAGAUGAGGGCGGACUUUUCAGGAGGCGGAAAAUCCUUGAAGAGGUUGAAGCUUAUAAGCUCUGAAACAUACUUAUGGAUAUUUGUUGAUUAAAUUAAUAUUUGCUUCUGCUCAUAUUCUUUUGAUUUUGAAUUUCGAUGUAGUAACUAUUUCCAUACUUUCUGCCAGCUCUUUGAUCGAAAAUUUGUAGACGCUGUGUUGAAUGAAUGGAUGAAGACAAUGAUGGAUUUACCUGCUGGGUUCCGACAAGCUUAUGAAAUGGUACAUAGUUGCUCGUGUUAUUGCUUUUGUCUGUGAACUCGUAUGGCUAAAUACUCACUGAAAUAUUGUUUCUAGGGAUUAGUCAGCUCUGCUCAGAUGGUAAAAUUCCUUGCUAUUAAUGCCAGACCAACAACUACCAGGUUCAUUUCUCGUUCACUUCCUCAGGGAAUCUCGAGGGCAUUCAUUGGCAGGUAGUCUUUCUUGUUGUGCUCCUGGAAUUACUUUUAAUUUAUCAUUUAUGGGGUUUUGCUUUUUGAUUGCUUUGUGAUUUGUGUAUUUAUCGCUUUGUAGCUAAUUAAUCUUGGCUGUUUUGUAUCUGUGUUGGAUUUAGAAGUUUGGAGCUGAAAACUGUUAAAGCUUAGACUAGUAGAAGAAAUUUAUACAUUCAUUUAUCUUGGACAAAGUUUUUGGAAAAAAAAAAUUAUAAGUAUACACUUUCCAAUGGUUCAGUGAUGUUUGAUUGGUUUUAAGAUGUUGGAUCUCUCAUGAUGUAUCGACUGCUGUUGCCACAGGAUGCUCGCAGAUCCUGCUUUUUUGUAUAAACUUGUACUAGAGCAGGCUGCCACAAUUGGUUGCACUGUUUUGUGGGAGUUGGAGAAUCGUAAGGAGAGGUGUGUUUUUUCUUUCAUAACAAAGGAACUUUCCCCUUCCUUUUUAUUUUCAUUUUAUAUAUUAAGCUAAUAAAUAUUUGUUUCUGUCAUGACAGGAUAAAGCAAGAAUGGGAUCUUGCCCUAAUAAAUGUGCUCACAGUAACAGCAUGUAAUGCUUUUGUUGUUUGGUCGCUUGCUCCUUGUCGUUCUUAUGGAAACACCUUCCGGUUUGACUUGCAAAAUACAUUACAAAAGCUCCCAAACAAUAUAUUUGAACGGAGUUACCCAUUUCGAGAAUUUGACUUGCAAAAGAGAAUUCACUCCCUUUUUUACAAGGCUGCAGAGUUGUGUAUGGUGGGAUUAAGUGCUGGAGCAGUGCAAGGUUCUUUGUCAAACUAUCUUGCUGGUAAAAAGGACAGGUAAACAUGGUUGCAAAACUUCCUGUUCAUUCCUCGUUCACUUAUUCGUUAUAAAUAAAGAAAACUUAGAAGAUUGUUCUGUUUACUGUCUAAACCAGUUUAACAUUUGUUAAAUUUGGGCCACCUUUAAUGUCUGACAGGUUAUCUGUGACAAUCCCAUCUGUGAGUACUAGUGCGCUUGGUUAUGGUGCUUUCCUUGGACUAUAUGCAAACAUGAGAUAUCAGCUAUUGUGUGGAUUUGAUAGAGCGGUCAUCAACCAUUUUGAUGUUAUUGGAGUAGCACUGUUCUUAAGCACUGCUUUGAGGUAUCUCCCUCUCUCUCUUUUACGUAUUUGUUUAUUGAUCUUCAUCUCUAUAUACAUUGAUAGACUAUUCUGGUCGUACCAAAUUACCCUUGUUUUAAUGUUUUGUUUGUUAAACUUUGACUGGGGAAUCUGUUUAUUGGUCUGAUAUGAUGUUAGUGUGGUUUCUAUUGGAGUGUGUAGAUCUAUCACCGAGUAUUAUUUCAAUUUUUCUUUACUUAAUCAACUUGCAUCCUUCCCAAGUCCAGAUCCUUAACAAUAGUGAGACUUCGCUACGGAAGUACAAUUUCUCUAGUUUUACAGUUAAAUACGUAAGAAUGGUUUUAAAUUAACUGAACUCUGAGGUAGUUCUCUAAGGAAAUACAAGUGGUGAAUACGGUUCCAACUUUUAAGUGCCUUAAUUUACCCAUUUGUUCAGCCCUGUGCGUAAACAAUCAGUAAUUGUUGUCCAAAUUAUUCUUUACUGCCUAUAUGUGUUGGGACUUUGUCUAUUGUUCAACUUCUCAAAUGGAUUCUAUGCAGGGUUCUUAAUGUCCAAUUAGGAGAAAGAUCAAGGCUUGCUUGGCUAGGAGUGGAAGCGGAUCCGCUACUUCAGUCAGAUGACCUUUUGAAGAAGGCUUACAACAGGCCGUCUCAGGAUGUCAAUGGCUCAACUCAAAAGUCCCCAAGGUGGUUGAUAUCAAAGAAUGCCAUUGUCUCUGGGCUUGGGCUCCUUGGCAUCAAACAAGGGAAUGUCGACUCUGUUGAAGAGGAAGCAAGGGCUCCUAAAGUGCGAAGAAAGAGGAUAGUCCGGAAGAAGGUGACCGCAUAAAUUUCUUGGGAGUUAAUCCUAGUCAAUAGCCCAAUUUUGCUGCCUGUCGAAGAGAUACAACUCGGAAGUCCUCAUCAAACUCUUUGAGACAUCUAAGAACUAGUAGGGAGGUGUUUCCUGACAAGUAUAGUUCACUGCUGGAGGGAUUCUUUUCUUGAUGUCUAAAUACUAUAUGUGAUACAACGACGUAUAUUCCAAUUUUUCUCUAGUUAAAUUCUAGUAAGUUAGAAAAGUUAAUUUUGUUCUAGCGAUGAAUUGUUUUCUUAAUAAAAAUAAUGGCCUGUUGCUUUGGAAUCUUAUUUACUCUUUGUAACUCAGUUAAAUUGUGCAAAUUCUACUGCAGAUUUAUCAAACAGAGUGUCUUUGUGAUUGUUUUGAUACACUUUUGAUGGCAAGUUCAAGUUUGAAUCAUCUUGUAACGCCAAAAAACCAGAGCUUUUAAUUACGAGAUCAGCUUUUAGUAUUAGCGGUAAUUAUAGUAUAAACGUUGAUAUUAUAUAAUAAACAUGAUUGUCAAAACAAUAAUUUCGAUAAAAUUAUUAAAAAUAUUUUAGAUUUUUUAUAUUAGAAUAUGAGAUUAGAUCAAUUCAAGUAAUAUUGUAAGUGUUUACUAAAUACUCUUUAACGUUGUAUCUUAAAAAUUAUGCCCUACGAAACUCUUACCAAAUUUUAGUUAUACUUUCUAGUCCGAUUGUAGAAAUCCUUACUCGAUGUACUUCACCAUACAAGAUGUUAACUCAAUUUUACUUAAAUCUUACUCGUUAAUUUUAUGCCUAAAUUUUUGUCAACAAAUUGGUCCCAGUUCUAUGCUUCUUCGGCUUGGGUGAUCCCACCAAAACCAUUACGUCCAUUCAAAAGGGUUCCACGUUGAGUGCACGAAAUCCACAAGUUUGAUUGACCAGAAAUAGCCAAAAAAGCUGAUGAAACCCACGUCCAAAGAUGCCUUUUGUCGCGGAGGCCUAGACACUACCCCCAUCCCCUCUUACCAUAUUUUUUAAUUGAAGAGGCUAUUAUUGAAUUGAAAAAUUAUGAUUCAAAAUCCCAAAAUAGAAAAAGAAAAGCAAUUGUUGGAAACACAAUCGGAGUUUUAAAUUGACAUGAGAAAAGAAUUUAUUAUUAUUAUUAUUAUUAUUAUUAUUAUUUCUUUUUAACAAAAAUUUAAGCUCGGACAACAUUCUAUGCCCAAAAUACCCCUCAGGUUAUCCCAAACUGUCUAAACUCCCCCACUCCUCUCAACAUCAUCUCUUUCUAAUCUUUCCUCCCCCUAAAAACCAGCCAUGGCUUCAAAUUCAAUCACCUCAACACUCCAAUAUUGGCUUGUAAACCAGCCCCAAAUCCUCAACUUCACAUGGACUCAAAACCAAACCCCAGCUUCCUCCCCACACUUCCUUAUUCUCUCCAUCCUCACUUACCUCUCCCUCACAUUCAUCCUCUACCACACAUCAACAUCAACAUCACCACCAUCAUCACCUCUCAUUGAACCCCACAUCCUCAAGCCCAUCACAGCCGUCCAUAACCUCACCCUCCUCCUCGUCUCCCUCGUCAUGGCCGUUGGUUGCACUCUCUCCAUCGUCCUCCAUUCACCCGACCUCCGUCACACCCUCUGUUUCCCCCCCACCAUUUCUCCCUCCGGUCCCCUCUUCUUCUACGCUUACAUCUUCUACCUCUCCAAAAUACUCGAAUUUCUAGACACCCUUUUGAUCAUUUUGUCAAACUCCAUCCAACGGCUCACGUUCCUCCACGUCUACCACCAUGCAACCGUCGUCGUAAUGUGCUACCUUUGGUUACAGACGAAGCAGUCUUUGUUUCCUAUCGCACUUGUCACCAAUGCAAGUGUGCACGUGAUCAUGUACGGGUACUAUCUAUUGUGUGUGAUGGGGUUGCGGCCAAAGUGGAAGAGAUUGGUCACUGAUUGUCAGAUUGUUCAGUUUGUGUUUAGUUUUGUUGUUUCGGUUUUGAUGCUGUAUUAUCAUUUUGCGGGAUUUGGUUGCUCUGGGAUUUUGGGUUGGUGCUUCAAUGCUGUGUUUAAUGCUUCUCUUUUGACACUUUUUGUUAAUUUUCAUUCCAAGAGCUACGCUAAAAAAAAGCAGGGAUGAUCAGAACAAAUAGUUUUUGUGAUUGUUUUUGUGUGUGUGAUUUGUUUUUUUAAGUUUGAUUUUGUUUAAUUAAGAAGGGUUGUGAUCUGUUCAUUGCAAUUGACAGAGAUGUUUUCGAAGGAAUUGCGUGGGAUAUACACGGUUUCUCUCGUAAUACCCAAAAUAUACCUCUAUCUAUUAAAAUUUGUAACUUUACAUAUACAUACUUAAAAAAAUCAAUAAAAGUACAAAAAUAACCUCAAUAAAAUGCCAACAAAAAAUUAAUACUCGACUCAUUAAAUCUACUUACUCGACUAGAUACUCGACUUAUUCAAUUAUUUUCACUUCUUACUUGACUGAAUGCUUAACUUAUCAGACUUCAGACCCGACUUCGUACUCGACUAAAUAUUCGACUUAUUCAAUUACCUUCAUUUCUUACUCGACUGAAUGCUCAACUUACCAGACUUCAUACCCGACUUCGUACUCGACUAGACACUCGACUUAUUCAAUUGACUUCACUUCUUACUUGACUGAAUACUCAACUUACCAGACUUCAUACCCGACUUCGUACUCGACUAGAUACUUGACUUAUUCAAUUGUCUUAAUUUCUUACUCGACUGAAUGUUCAACUUACCAGACUUCACUUCUUUAAAAAUAUUAAUACUCGACCCAAUGUACUUACCCGACUUAAUACUCGAUCUCUUUAAAAAUUACAUAAAUUUUACUCGACUUGUUCAAAAAAUUUACUUGACUUUUACUUAAUACUCGACUGAUUUAAUAUGCUUACUCAACUUCUUACUGGACCAUAUACUCGACUUAUUUAUCUCCAAUUCUUGCUCGACUAAAUUCUCAACUUACCCGACUUCGUACUCGACAUCUUCCUGUACUGAGAGGAAGAAAUGUGUGGAAUCUUGAUUUUUUUAAGGUUAUUUUUUACUUUCCCUAUCUUCGUGAGGUAUAUGUAUAUAAUAGGCUAUAAAUUUGAUAUUUAAAGAAAAAUUGAGGAUAUUUAAAUAAAAAACCUGAUGUUUUCAAUUGCCUAGACUUCGUAUUUUUAGUUUUAGUAAUACAUGUCGUUUUUCACCACAUUUGUUUAGUCUCUCCCUUUUAAAUCCCCUCUCACACAAAAAAUUUGGAUUUGCAUUUUGUAAACUAAUAUUUUUCAUUUUGUUAAUGUAUUAAUUAUUGUUAUCUACAUUUAUGUGAUAGGGCACAGCCCCUAAGCACUCAAUGUUUGUAAGCACAAGUUCAAGUCCCACCAUUUGUUAGGAUUUAAAUAAAGAACAUUAUAACCAUGUGUCCAAAAACUUAAAGUUAGCUUAAGUGCAUGGAUUUGAGUCCUAGUUAUUGUUGGAAUUCGAUUUCUUUUCCAAUUAAAUUGGGUAAGGGUACAAUUAUCUCUCAAUUAAUAAGGACAGAGUGGACAUCUCUCUCAAUUUUUCUCCCAAUUAAAUUAGUUAGAGAUAAAAUUAUCUCUUGAUUAAUAAGAGUAGAAUAAGCUUCGGUUGCAGAUUUUGGCCAUGGACAUCAACAGAGAAAAUUAUGAAUUGGGGCUGCCAAUUAUCCAAAAAGCUGGUGUUGCUCACAAGAUUGACUUCAGAGAAGGCCCUGCCCUGCCUGUUCUUGACCUACUGAUCCAAGAUGUAAAAAUCUCACCAGACCCAUCAUUUCAAAAAAAAUUUAUAUAAUAAGUACACGUAAUCAAAUGUAAUUAGAUAGUCAAAACUAGAUAAUAAGUACACGUAAUCAAAUGUAACUUGAACAUUAAAAAAUAAAAAUUUAUAUAAGAAGAGGAUCCCCCUUCAUUCAUUACGUCUGAGUUAAAGUUUGAAAUAUAUUGUUACAAAUAUUUAAAGAGCGUAGGGAUUACAAAAUGAAACUAAAGUGUCAAACUCAAAAUUUAUGAUUUGUAAGUAGUACAUUUAUGAGUAUCAAUAAUCUUUAUAACAAAAAUGAACUGGCAAGUGUCAACACACAUACAUGACACAUAACUCUGCAGCAUGAGAUGGUCCAAACUCCUAAAUCGAUCGAUCCAUGCAUGGACCUUAUUCAUAGCCAAGUGCACGUGAGAUGGAACCAUUGAAAUGUUGAUGGAGGAAUAAGCUAUAAAGCUUUAUGUCACAUGCAAGACCAUUCAUGGUUUCUGCAAAACCUGGCUAGCCAUUUGCAUCGAUCUGUUUCUCUCCGUAACAUUAAUUAAAACAAGGAAAACAAAACAACAUCAUUAACUCGACAGAGAAAAAGUGGGCACUUGGCAGUGGGCCGGAUUACUUAGGAGGUAAAAUUCCCACACGUUAGGAAUUUGGCACAUAAUCUCGGAGUUUUAAAUUGACAUGAGAAAAUAAUAUAUUCAUCAACCUCAUACGUUAAAGAUGCGACGAGUUUGAGAUUAUGUGCCAAAUUCCUAACGUGUGGGAAUUUAAAGAUGUUAGUACAAAAAAUGUGUUCGUCCGUGGAGUAGAAUCAUGGAAAUUACAGAUGCUACUACAAUUACUAACGUGUGGGUGGGGAUAAGCAUAACUUUUUUCACCCAAUGCCAUAUUUCUGCACGAAAUAACAUGCAGAUAUAGUAUUUUAGAAGAUUAUGAAAAAAUACAUCAAAAUCAUUACUAGAUCCAAAUUUGUGCUAUUUUCAUACAUAACUUGAGAAUAUUUAUAAUUACGCAUCAGAACUAGUGGAGUAGAAUCAGGGAAAUUAAACAUUCUACAAUCAUUGACGUGUGGGGUGGGGAUAAGCAUAAGCUUUUUCUAUGCAGUAUAAAAGAAUGCAAUAACUCCUUUCUUUCAUAUCUUCGCAACAAAAGCACAUCUAAUAACUCAUCAAAAUUCUCGUUUUCUUUGUCAGAAUGGUUGAUGCGAUCGUUUCCUCUCUCCUGGAGCAGCUGAUCUCCGUUGCGGCUGAUGAAGUGAAACAACACGUGAGGCUUGUGACUGGUGUCGGAGAAGUGAAAAAGCUUACCAGCAAUCUUCGAGCCAUUCGAGCUGUGCUGGAAGAUGCAGAGAAAAGGCAAAUGCAGCGCGACAAUGCUGUUACUUUUUGGCUGGAUCAGCUCAGAGACGCAUCCUACGACAUGGAAGAUGUGUUGGAUGAGUGGACCACUGCAAGGCUCAAAUUGCAGAUUGAGGGCGUUGAUGAUGACAAUGCUCUUGCUCUUGCUCCUCAUAAGAAGAAGGUACGCUCCUUCUUUUGUGCUGUAUCAAACUGCUUUGGUAGUUUCAAACAACUUAGUCUUCGUCAUGACAUUGCCGUCAAGAUUAGGGAAAUCAAUGGAAAGCUAGAUGAUAUUGCCUCCCAAAAAGAUACGUUUAAAUUUGUUGAGAAUGUGAGCAACAAUGUUAAGAAACCAGAGCGAGUGCGAACCACCUCCUUGAUUGAUGAGGGAGAGGUUUGCGGUAGAGUUGAUGAGAAAAAUGAGCUCUUAAGCAAGUUGUUGUGUGAAAGUAGUGAACAACAAAAAGGCCUUCAUGUCAUCUCACUAGUUGGGUUAGGGGGUAUAGGUAAAACCACUCUUGCACAACUAGCCUAUAAUAAUGAUGAGGUGAAAAGAAAUUUUGAAAAAGUUAUAUGGGUGUGUGUAUCAGACACUUUUGAGGAGAUUAGGGUUGCCAAAGCAAUCAUUGAAGGUCUAGGUGAGUCAGCUCCUAGUUUAAGCGAAUUCCAAUCUCUUACGAGCCAUAUCCAUAGAUCAAUUGAAGGAAAAAAGUUUUUUCUUGUCUUAGAUGAUGUAUGGGAUGGGAGUUACAAUAAAUGGGAACCAUUCUUCCUUUGUCUAAAGAAUGGUCUCCAAGGAAGUAAAAUUUUAGUUACCACACGUAAUGAGUCAGUUGCACGUAUGAUGGGAUCAACAAAUAUUAUCUUCAUUAAGCAAUUGGCUGAAGAGGAAUGUUGGUCGUUGUUCAAGCGGUUGGCAUUUUCCAGUCGCUCUUUCGAAGAUUGUGAAAAAUUAGAACCAAUUGGGCGAAAAAUUGCUUGUAAGUGCAAAGGCCUGCCUCUUGCUGCAAAGGUAAUAGGGAAUCUCUUGCGCUCUAAAAUUACAGUAAAAGAGUGGCAAAGAAUUUUAGAUAGUGAAAUGUGGAAAGUACAAGAGAUUGGGCAAGAUCUUUUGGCCCCUUUGUUGUUGAGUUAUAACGAUUUGCCCUCCAAUUCUAUGGUAAAACGGUGUUUCUCAUAUUGUGCUGUCUUUCCAAAAGACUACAAUAUGGAUAAAGAGGAGUUGAUUAAUCUGUGGAUGGCUCAAGGUUACCUUAAUGCAGAAGAAGACGAAGAGAUGGAGAUGAUUGGGGAAGAGUGUUUCAACAUUUUAGCAGCACGCUCUUUCUUUCAAGAGUUUGAGAAAAAUGACGAUGAUGAUAUUAUGAGUUGCAAGAUGCAUGACAUAGUACAUGAUUUUGCUCAAUUUGUAAGUAGCAAAGAAUGUUUGUGGCUAGAAAUUAAUGGUACCAAAGAAUCAGUCAUAAACUCUUUUGGUGACAAAGUCCGUCACUUAGGGUUAAAUUUUGAAGGAGGCGCUUCAUUUCCUAUGUCCAUUCGUGGACUUGAUAGAUUGCGUACCCUUUUAAUUUAUGAGAGAAGUGAUUUCUAUCUGUCUCUUAGUAGUAGCAUCCUUUCGGAGUUAUUUAGUAAAUUGGUGUGUUUAAGGACAUUAGUUAUAAGGCAAUCGUCCCUAUAUUUUCAUCCUUUUCAUCUUGACCCAAAUUCGAUUAGAGAAAUUCCAGAAAAUAUCAGAAAAUUGAUACAUUUAAAAUAUCUUAAUUUAUCUGAAUUAGGCAUAGAGAUACUACCUGAGACUUUGUGUGAAUUAUAUAAUUUACAAAAGCUAGAUAUUAGGCGGUGCCGAAAUCUUAGAGAAUUGCCAGCGGGGAUUGGGAAGUUAAUGAACAUGAGGAGUUUACUGAAUGCUAAAACUUAUUUGUUGGAGUACCUGCCAAUAGGGAUUUCCAGAUUGACCAGCCUUCGAACAUUAGAAAGGUUUGUUGUGGGUGGAGGUGUUGAUGGCGGCAGCACGUGUAGGCUUGAAUCUCUGAAAAAUCUUCAACUCCUUCGUGAAUGUAGAGUAGAAGAACUGAGUAAUGUAUCGCAUGUAGAUGAGGCUAAGAGGUUACAACUUUACAAUAAGAAAAACCUCCUUCGUUUGCAUCUUCUGUUUGGAGUCGUAGAUAUGGAAGGUGAAGAAUGGAGGAGGAAGAAUGAGAAAGAUAAACAACUUCUUGAAGCCUUACAACCGCCUGUGAAUGUAGAGGAGUUAAGGAUUAAAUGCUACGGAGGCAACAUUUUUCCCAAAUGGUUGACUUCGCUAACCAAUCUAAGGGAACUAAAACUUUCGUUGUGUUUUAACUGUGAGCAUUUGCCUCCUUUGGGAAAAUUACCUCUGGAAAAACUCGAACUAAAGUACUUGACAAGUGUAAAAAGAGUGGGUAAUGAGUUUUUGGGAAUAGAAGAAAGCAGUUAUUGGGACGACCCAUCUUCAUCUUCAUCAUCAUCAUCAGUUACUGCCUUCACCAAAUUGAAAUCUCUCAAAAUUUGGGACAUGCAAGAAUUGGAAGAGUGGAAUUACAGGAUUACGAGGAAGGAAAACAUCUCCAUCAUGCCACGUCUUUCUUCCUUGAUGAUUUGGUCUUGCAACAAAUUAAAGGUAAUGCCAGAUUACCUUCUUCAAACGACGGCACUGCAGGAACUGAGUAUUUAUUCUUGUGAAAAUUUGGAAGAACUGCCCAUUCUAGAAGAUCGCAGGACAACAGACAUACCGCGUCUUUCUUCCUUGUUUAUUCAGAAUUGCCCCAAAUUGAAGGCGCUGCCGGAUUACCUCCUUCGAACGUCGACGCUGCAGGAAUUGACUAUUGACAAAUGUCCCAUUCUGGAAAACCGUUAUAGAGAGGGGAAAGGAGAAGACUGGCAUAAGAUAUCUCACAUUCCCCACAUCAAGAUAUCACCACAUACGAUUAUCGCUGGUAAUUUCUCCUCCUCCUCUGAUUUACUUCGUUGUUGCUUGCAAUGAAAUUAAUAAAAAUAAUUAUAUUUUGAAUUAAAAUUCUAUAUAGAAUCAAUCUUGGUAUAAAUAUGUAAAACUUCCUAGUUAUCAAAUCUGUUAAACUUGUUUUCUAAAGAUUAAAUAAUAAAAAAAUACAAGUUUAGUCUGUUGAAAUUUCUAUAUUUAUUUACUUUUAAAAAAUUUGUGCUCUUUUGUAAAAUUUCAUACAACAUCAUAGAAAAUCCUAAUGUAUUUUAUUUUUUAAUGCACGAAAAUUUGUUAUGUGCAACUUCCUGAGAGACAAAAUCUCUGUGAUACAUUUGCAGAAAUGUUGAAAACUAAAUCAUCAAUUUUAUCUUGUAUAAUGAUAAUCGUAUUUUUUAUAUAUAAUUUACGUGACAUUAAUUGUUUAAAGUAAUUGUGUAAUUGUUUUUAGUAGUACAUUAGCCCACUUUGUUUUAUUUCAUACGAGUUUAAUUAUGUUCACCAGGGAUUCGAGGAAAUGUCAGAACCACACUAGCAAUUCACAGGUCCAACCUAAUUUGGUUUUAAUGAUGCAGGCAGGAGAGCAUGCUAAGAAAAUGAAAAGUUUAGCCAAAGGAUUGCUAAAAUGUUCUGCUGGUAAUUCACUUGCUUUAUUUUAUAGAAUUUCAUUUCCAUCUUCUUCUAUUGAUAUCUUGUUGUGAAUAAACAAGAACAGAAAAGUAAAGAUGUAUCAAAAUUCGCUAUUAUGAUGAUGUUAAAGCAAGCUCAAGCUCAAGCAUUGCAUUUUAUUUUAUUUAGUUUAUAGAAUUUUCAUUUCCACCUGCAUUUCAUUUUUAGGUUGACUUUGAAGACUCUAUGGAGAAAAUUGGGGUAACCAAGGAUUAUCACUGCGGUUAUUGUGCAACGUUUGGUUGCUGGACUUUAAAGAAGGAAGUGAUGGCUGGGUCUGCUCUGUUUCAAUUGACAGCUGCCCGAAAGACAUGAUGAUUAUUGUUGCAUGAUGUUAAGGUGCUAAGAUCAUCAUUUCUAUCUUGUUUCAUUCUCGGAAUCAAUGGAGGCAGGAGUUUGGUGUUGACACUAUUAUGCAGGUAACCACACUUGAUAGUUUGCACAAAUUUGCGUUGUCAGAAUAUCCUUUAAUAUUCAUUGUGUUUCUUUGUAUUAUCAGGUUAUCAUGGUAUGUAGAGUAUCAUCUCCAAGGGUUUGAAAGAGCCUUUGCAGUAAAGUCAGUUGUCACCAGCUCGUGCAAUUGCACAUUCAUUCAGAGUACUUCAAUGUUAGGUUUUCAAGUUUUGUAUGUUUAUUCAAUUAAAAUGUUUAGUCACUCAUUCUUAAUCAUUUCUGAUUUUCAAGUUCUUUAGGGCCAUAAACUGUUUUUGCAACUCAUUCUUAUUUUUAAGGUUGAUUUCCUACUCGUGCAGAACAUUGGUGAGACCAAGGAUUAGGCUGGCGAUGGAACCACUGCCUCUGUUGUUAUUGUGCAAGGUUUGAUCGCUGGACCUUGAACAAGAAAGCCUUACACGCAUUUUGUAAUUGAAGCGUUCUCUAAAGCAAAAGAGCAGUAGAAGGAAUAGUGAUGGCCGGAUCUGCGCUAUUUUAAUUGAAGAUGUCUGUGAUGUUGAGGGACUUAAAGCAGUUAAUGCUCUUUGAAAAUUGUUACUACAGAUGAAUUGAUUCCUGAAGGCAUUUAUCUAAUGAAUGUUAAGCGUAUUUUCAUAAACUUCCUUUCUUAACAAAUGUUUCAAUGCCUGCUGUAGUAACAAUUUCAUAUCUUGCAUCUCUCGGGUGCAUCAUGUUCAUGGGUUUGAAAAAGCAUUUGUGCCAAAGCUUCAAAGCUUGUACAAUGGUUGUGAAAAGGCACAUUCAAUACGGUACGUUUUGGUGCGGUCUCCUAAUGCUAAUAUCAUAUUUUGUAUCGCAAUUAAAAUUUAGAUAUGCAGUCUUAUUACGCCAUAAAUCAUUGUGUACAAAGUUUUCUAUUAACUAUAUGGUGACUGAAAUUUUAAUUAUCAUAUCAAUCUUAAAAUUUUUUUAACUCUCUUUUACUAUGCUUGUAUAGAGUACUUGUUUUGGCUGAUAUGUCUAAUUCGUAGAAAUUCAUUUCCUUCGGUUUCCAUUGGCUUUAGCACAAACAGAAACAGAGCUCUGGGGAAAAGUUUGACUUCUUGUGGUAUUAUGCCUUUGUUUCUUCAUUCAUCAUAUUUUUCAAAUUCAUGCUCUCACUCAGAGAGUAAAGCCUUUUCCAGGCUGCUUUGUAGCCAAACUUUGACGCCAUUGAUGCAUGACUGUCAUUUAGAUUUUCCAAAUAACUGUUAGAUUGGAGAAGAAUAAGAAGAUGUUGUUAAAAGGGUAUUUAAUUAGCGCCCGCUGAAUUUAGUUGCCAAUAAUGCAUUAAAAUAGUUGGGGAAAGUUACUGUCUUAAUUAAAUUACAGGUGAUAAGAUGCUGCUUCAAUUUUGCAAGCAUCUCGUAUUGUGAAGAUUUUACCCACAUGAGAUGCCGUGAUGCUUGACAUCAGGGUAAUACAGGUCAAAUUUUAGUAUCAAUAUAUAUCUUCUUCUUUAUUGUUCUGCCUCUAAAUAUUAAACUUUAGGCAAGUUGUUUUUGUUUAUGUAAGUUUAUCAGGUUAAGGAUACUAAGCAGCUUAAUUGUUCACAAGCCAAUUUGAUCAGUGCUAGAUAUCAUCAUCAAAUUUGAGUAGAGAAUCUUUGAAGAGAAUUUUGUUGUGAGAGUUUCACUGUAAUGAAUUUUGGGAGCUUGAACUCACGUGAGUGAGAAAUUAGAAGGUAUUGGGGAUUUGGGUUAUGAGUAAUCGUUAUCCUUCCAAUAUUUGCAAGCUCUCACUUGUUAGUAAAAUCAUCUUCGUAUAUUGACUCUGUUUCUUUGUUGCCAGGAAGAGUGUGAGCUUCACAGGUUUGAGGAAGUCUUUGCAGUAAACUUUGCACCACGAGCAAUUGCUGCCAAGAGGCAUAUACAUUCAGAGUAAUUUAGUUUCAGAUUUACAAGGUGUGUAUAUUAAAUUAGUUUCGAUUAUCAUAUUUAGUCACUCAUACUGAAACUUUUCUAAUUUUCAAGUUCCUUAGGGACACCACGGUGUUUCAAGUCUGCAUAUGGCUGCAAAAGAUUGAGGCAUCGCGAUUGAGCACACACAGAAACAGAGCAAAAGGAAAAGAAGACAGUAGAAGAUGCUAUAAAUAUAACAAAAGUAUACUUCUACUUGUGGUUAUUUCAAUUUUGUUUCUCCUGUCAUCAUAUUUGAUUAAUUCGUUUGAACUCACAAUCUCACACAUUAUUUAAAACCAUUUGCAGGUGGUUUGCAAGCUAGUUAAGUUAACGCAAAAACAAUACUCUAGACAAAGACGAGCAAAUUAAAGGUGAUAAAUGCAAAUUGAAUUUCCAUGAUUAAUUGUUAGGCUGGUGCAGAUAUUCUUAAAAAGGCAUUAAGCUACCUUAUGGAAUUGGAAAAUUAUUAUUGCUUGAAAGCAAGCAGCAUCUUUGUUGCGAAGGCUUUCCCCACUUGAUAAGAUGCAAGAUUCUUCGCCAAACAUCCUUUUCAUUCCUUUGUUCACUUAUUCGUUAUAAAUAGAGUAAACUUAGAAGAUUGUUCUGUUUGCUGUCUAAGCCAGUGUAACAUUUGUUAAAUUUGGGCCAUCUGCCUGACAGGUUGUCUGUGACAAUCCCAUCUGUAAGUACUAAUGCGCUUGGUUAUGGUGCUUUCAUUGGACUAUAUGCAAACAUGAGAUUUCAGCUAUUGUGUGGAUUUGAUAGAGCGGUCACCAACCAUUUUGAAGUUAUUGGAGUAGCACUGAUCGUAGGCACGGCUUUGAGGUCAUUCCCUCUUCUUUUAUGAAUUUGUCUAUUGAUUGACAUCUCUAUAUAUACAUUGAUAGACCAAAUUACUCUUGUUUUAAUGUUUUGUUUGUUGAACUUUGACUGGGGAAUUUGUUUGUUUGUCUCAUAGUUGUUAAUGUGGUUCCUAUUGAAGUGUAUAUAUCUAUCACAUCAAUGUCUGAUGUCAAUUUUCCUUUACUUAAUCAACUAGCAUCCUUUCCAAGUCCAGAUACUUACCCAUUUGUUCAGCCACAGUGAUUGCAGUCUGAAUUCUUCUUUACUGUCUAUAUGUGUUGGAGUUUGUCUAUUGUCAACUUCUCAAAUGGAUUCCAUGCAGGGUUUUGAAUGUCUAAUUAGGAGAAAGAUCAACGGAUGACCUUUUGAAGAAGCCUUGCACAACAGGCUUGAUACCAAAGUCUCCAGGUGGUUGAUACCAAAGAAUGCCAUUGUUUCUGGGCUUGGGCUCCUUGGCGUCAAACAAGAUAAUGGGAAAUAGGGGCAACUAAAGCGCGAAGAAAGAGGAUGGUCCGGAGGAAGGUGUCUGCAUAAAUUUGUUGGAGUUGAUGUAGUCAAUUGCCCAAUUUUGCUGCCUGUCGAAGAGACACGGCAUGGAAGUCCUCAUCAAACUCUGAGACACCUAAGAAAUAGUAUGAGGUGGUGGUAUUUCCCUGGUGUUAAUUUCCUGGCAAGUGUGAUUCACAGAUAGAGGGAUUCUUUUCUUGAUGUCUAAAUGCCAUAUGUGAUGCAACGUCGUAUAUUCUAAGAUAUUAAAUUCUAUUUCAGAUUUCUCAUAUAGUGUCGUUGUCACUUCUGUGGUACACUUUUGAUCGCAAAUUUCCAUUUGAAGUAGCUGAUAUUCUUUACAGACUAAUUAUCUAAUGAUUAUUUUGUACAAUAAAAAUCAAAACUUAAAUUAUUUGAUCAUACUCAACUUAGGUCUUAUUCGAUACUACUAGUUGUUGUGAAGAAAAAAAAAAUGACAAUGUGUAAUAAAUGUAUGACUUUUAAAUAAUAAUUUUAAUAAAAAUAAUAAAGAUAUUAUAAGUUUUUUUUUAUAAUAAAAUAUGAGAUCAAAUCAAAUUAAUUUUUAAGUCACAAUAGCAAAUGUUUAUCAAAACUAUUUAAUUAUAUGACUUAAAAGAUAUAGUUGUCUAACCGCAACAAUAUAUAUAAAGAUUUACCAAACUUUACCCGACUUUAAUUGUACCCACUCAAUUAUGUAAGUCCAUACUCCACGCGCUUGACCAUAUGAAAUGUUACUCAACUUUAACAAAUCUUACUUAAACUUUGCACGUUUGACCUGCUGGAUGAAAUAUGAUAGCAUAUGAUGCGAUAGAAUAUAAUAGGAAUGGUUGUAACAAGAUUAUAAUUAGUACUAGUUUAUAUUUUAUGUGAUGUAGUAUAUGAACACAUUAUAUUACAAAUUUUAGUGUUAUACUAAUUAAAAAUUGGAAUUAUUUUAUUAUUGUAAAAAUUUAAUAUCUUAAAUAACAGUUAUUUUUAUUAAGUAUUUUUGUUGCAAUGAAUUAUACUUUUUAAAAUAUAAUUGAAAAUUCUUAUUACUAAACUAAUAAAAAAUUAAUUAUUUGAGUUAUCUCCUAAACUACUUAGCUCACGAGAUAAAUUCACUUAGUUUAAAACGAAACGGAUUACAUUUAGUACUAUUUUGUAUUUUAUGUGACGUAGUGGAUGAUUCAAUUAUAUUAUAAAUUUUAUUGUAAUAAAAAAAUUUUGAAUUAUUUUAUUAUUGUAAAAAUGUAAUAUCUUAAAUAACAAUUAUUUUUAUUAAGUAUUUUUUAAUGAUUUAAAAUAUAAUUGUAAAUUCUUAUUAUUAAACUAAUAAAAAAUUAAUUAUUUGAGUCAUCUCCUAAACUACUUAUUUCACGAGAUAAAUUCAAAUAGUUUUGAGAGAAAGAAAGAGAGAGAGGGAAAAAAAUCUUGCUUCCUCUACUUUCUACUCUAGAAGAAAAGGAAAAAAUCUAAUAGUUUUCUCUAUUUUCUAUGACUAUUGAUCGUUAUUCAAAUUUUCAAACAAUAGCCUUAAUAUAAACAUAAGUUAAUUUAUGAUUUCAUCUCAAAUUUCUGAUUUUAUCUUUUUAUUAUUCUCUUAAUUAGUUGUGUUGUUAUUUGUUCUUAUUUCUUUUUAAUAUAUUCUUUUAUUCAUCUACUUUUUUUGUGCUUAUUUUAUCUAUUUUGAAAUAAAACUAUAUCAAAAAACUUUAGACAAUAGAAGAAUAAAAAAAGAGUAAUGAUACAGCCACAAACUCUUGUACAAACUUAUUUUGUACAAACUGAUGUGGCAUGAUAAGAUUGGUUGAAUUAAAUAUCACUUGGCCCACAUGAUUUGUUUUUAUUAAUUUAUAUUUUCAUUCAAUCAAUGAAUUAAUGCCACAUCAGUUUGUAUAAAAUAAGUUUGUACAAAAUAAGUUUGUACAAGAGUUUGUGGUUGUACCAUUACUCAUAAAAAAAUUAGUUUAAUUUAAAAAAAUAAAAAAGAUAUCGUUAAACUUAAAAAAAUAAGUAGAAAUGUUAUAAUUGAAUUAAAAUUUUAUGAAUUAACAACAAUAGAAUAAAUUUGUAUUUAAUAAUUUUAUAUUUUAAAGUAUUUAAAGAAUUAAUUUUUAAUAAAUAAUAUUAAUAUAUAUAUAUAUAUAUAUAUAUAUAAGUUACUUAUCUCUCCAUCCGCACUUAUCUCUCCCUCACAUUCAUCCUCAACCACACAUCAACAUCAACAUCAACAUCACCUCUCAUUGGACCCCACAUCCUCAAGCCCAUCACAGCCGUCCAUAACCUCACCCUCCUCCUCCUCUCCCUCAUCAUGGCCGUUGUUUGCCCUCUCUCCAUCAUCCUCCAUUUACCGCACCUCCGUUACACCCUCUGUUUCCUCCUUACCAUUUCUCCGUCUGGCACGGCCUAAUUCCGACGGAAUCAACGACGGUCGUGAUGGGUUUUGGCUGCGACUAUUCGCGCUUCAAACGGCGGCGUUUCGGUUGGUUUUUGGCGACAGUGACGGUGGGAAAGUGAUGGCUGGCUCAGGAGCUUUCGUUGCUACCAUCCAUGGCCGGUGAGGUGGCCGAAAAUCGGAUAUAUGUCUGCGUCGGGUUCGCAGUUUUGGGUCGGGUUUUCCGGGUCAGUUUGACAGCUUCCUCUAUCCCUCUCCCCCAUAAAACAUUACCCAGCUUCCUCUUAUUAUUAUUUUUUUUUUCACAUACGUUACAGAACAUUAAUGAGAGAUGUUUAGUAGUAAGGACUAUUUUGAUAUUUCGAUGAGUAGUAAAAACUAAUGUUAAAAUUUUAUAGACGAAUGUAUAGUAAGAUGCUCAAAGUACUAGAACAUAUAUAAAUAAUCCCAGCUCUUAUAAAAUUUUGCCACAUAAUGAGUUUUAUCCCUUAAGCAAAACAUAUCGAUAAAGUAUACAAAAGCACAAUGCAUGAAUGAUGGUCUUACAAAGUUCGAAUAUAAAGUUUAUAAUCUAAAAUUAAUGAUGUGACAAUUAACCUAAUGGAGUAAGAAGGCCCAAAUAGAUUAUAUUUUGCUAAAGAAGUAAAUUCUACCAAGAAUACCUCUUUCUAUUGAAUUUAAAUGAUGAUUAUUUGUUUAUAUCAUAAAAACUAAAAUAACUGUGUGAGUAAUUUGAUUCUUUUACAGUAUAAAAAUAAAUUCAGAAAAUGUUAGGGCAUGUUCUGUGUUUUAUUUUUAAAUUUAUAUUAUGAGAAUGAAAAUGGUGUUUUCAAGUUGAUAAAUUUUCAAUUGAAAUAUGUGUUUGUUAUUAUUUCAUUUAUCCUAUAUUUUCAAAAUGAAAAUAACCGAUAGAUAAAGUUAAAAAUGAUAAAAUAAUGGAUAUAUUAAGCAAUUUUACUACAUGCAAAUUAUUUUCUGUGUUUAAAGUUCAUAUAAAGCUUGUUUAUUUUUCAACAUACCAACUUACAAUAAUAAUAAUAAAAUUUUUGUGAUAUCCAAUAUUAACUUUUUAAAGUAAUUAUUUUUUGUUAAUGUGUCCGCUGUUCAAUCGAUCUUUCUACUUUCUAUGCUUGAGAUUAGAUCAUUUGCUUCAAAGAUUCGAACUGGACUUAUAGUAGGAAAAAUAAUUUUCUUCAAUAUGAACUCUAACUCUCUUUUUUAUAUAUAAAAAAAAAUCUAAUUCUCCUUUCAACAUUUCAACAUUUUGAUGAAAUAAAAAAUUAUUGGCGAAAGAUUACAUGCUUCCUUACAUUAGAGAACCAAAUACUCAGAUAGGUAGUGUAAAUCUCUACUGAUCGUUGGUGAUUUUAUCAAAAUAAAAUUCAAUAAAAUGUAUAAGAACACUUAAAUCCGUCCAAAAAAAAAAAUGACCCAGCAAAUAAAGAAAAGUACUGUGAAGUAAAAAUUGAACAAACCUAGAAAGAAGAGAAGAAGAAGAAUGGAAGAAGGAGAUUCGGUUCAUAAAUCAUGGAGGGAGAUGAGACUUAAGAGAUAGGGUUAGUGAGACAGACGAGGUCCUAGAGUCUUAAAGAUGAAGACUAUCUAUUAUUAGUUACUUAUUAUAAUGAUGUUUAUUAUUAUAAUUUAUUUUACAAUUUUUUUAAUGAAACAAGUAAAACAUGUUUAAGUUGUUUUGUAAUUUAUAACUGUUAGAGGCAAGUCAGAUUCUGUGUUUUACAAUUAAAUUUUAUGAGGACUACUGAACGCUUAUUUUACUUAGAUUUAUAAAACGAAAAUGAGAAUGGCAACUUACUUCAUCUCAUACUUUUAGGUCACAAAAAUAGCAAUAAGUCUAACAAAUUUAUUAUUGAAUGUGAAUGGUUAUAUAUCGAUCAUUUGACACGUAUUUUUCUUGACAGAACCUCAAUUCAAUAGACAAAAGCUCCUCUUAAUUUUUCUUUUCUAUUUAAAUAAAAGAACAAAAGAAAUUGAUUACAGAGCCAUUACUUCUCCAAGAAUUAAUAAACGAAAAGGCCCAUAAUUUUUGUAAACCCACCCCACUUUCAAGAAAUAAUUACAAUAAGUUCAAAUUAUUUUUAAAAAAUUGAAAUAAAGAAGAUGUAAUUACAAUAAGUUUGGAGAUUGAAUCAAAUAAAAUAAAAUACCUAAACUAUUAUAUACACGAACUCUUGAUUCUUGGGGUAUUUUAGUCAUUUUAUAUUAUCAUGGUAAGUUAGUCAAAUAAAACUUAUCUUAAAGCAACCUAAAUGGUCAAAGACACCUAAGUUAAAAAAAAAAAAUUAUAUGAAUGAUUUAAUUUAUUGAUUGUCUAUACGUUUUAUUGAUUUAUAUAUUUUAAAAAUAGUAUGAACGUAUUACAAUUAUUUUCUGACAGCAAGGUAGAUUUGUAAAAUAAGUGGGUAGAAAAUAUCCCCGUCCUCAAACAAAUAAAUGAAUUAUCGGUGAUGCAUGCUUUUUUCCAACUUCUUUUUUUCUUUUGGUUUUUUUUUUGGUUUUAAAUGGCAUUGGCCCGACCACUACAAAUUAAUUAGAGAAUAUUUACAAUUAUGUAUCACAGCUGUGGAGUAGAAUCAGGGAAAUUAAAAAUGCUAAAAUUAUUGACGAGUGGGUUAGGCGACAAUAACCAUAAACAUUUUUCGUGUAGUGUAAGAAGAAUGCAACAACUCGUUUCUUUCAGUAUUUUUGCAACAAAAGUACGUUGAACAACUUAUGAAAUUAUUUCUCCUUUUCUUUGCCAGAAUGGAUGUGAUCGCUUCCCCUCUCCCGGAGCAGCUGAACUCCUUUGCUGCUUGUGACUUACCAUAAAUCUUCAAGCCAUUCAAGCUGUGCUUGAAGAUGCAGAGAAGGCAAGUUGAUAUAAGAUUGUUGUAUGGAAUAAGCAGGGUAUCUUCCGAGGCUAGAAAUUGGGCUACGAGUAUUCGUUUUGGACAUAUAAUAUAGUUUCCAAGCUUACGAUGAGUCGAACCAAAUGCAGAACAACCUAGGCUGUUAUGUCCUGCGAUUGAGCUAAAAAUUUCACUUCUUUUAUAGUCGUUUUUCAGUUUUAAGAUAUUUUUCUAUUUUUCUUGAUUCUUCUAAGAUUUUUUAUCAUUUUUUCUAGAUGUUGGAUUUAAGUGCCAUCUGUUUUCUUUCUCUUAUUUAGAUUCGAAAAAUUUUAUUAACAUAUAAUAUUUUGAAUUUGCUUAGUUUGUUAAAUUUGCUAUAUUUAGGCUCCUAUAAAUGGGUUUCAAAACCCUAAUUUUGUUCAUUCAAAUUAUUCUCAAUAAAACUUAUUAUUCAAAUACUAGUUUAUAUUAUGUAAUACCCCACCCCUGGUUUUUGACCCUGUUGACCACCCAUAUAUAUUGAGAGAGAGAGAGAGAACGAAAGAGAGAAGAGACAGAGAGAGAGAGAAAGGAGUUGACCCGGUUUGACCCGCAACCCGACCCGGACCCGCCACUUGACCCGGCCGGUUCUCCCAUUUCCGGCCACCGUUCAGGGCAAGGUUGGUACCGAUUUGAAGCUUGAGAGAUGAGCUACGUAUCCAUGUCGUCCUUGCCGCCGAAAAACGAUCGGAAAGCCACCGAACGAAGCGUUGAAGUACCGCGGAAUCGCCGGCUCGAUUCGCCGUGAUUUCGCCGAGUUCCGGUGUAGCCAUCACUUGGGUUUUGUUCCUUACCUUUCCCUCUGCCAUUUCCGACUAACCACUGACGCCGGGGACGUCGUUUUGCCGUUGAUCGGCCGUUGGAGGACUCACGGCUUUGGGACCUCGAUCCGGAGCCAUCGCCGCGCGUGGGAGGUCACCACCGCCACCAUUGGACUCAGCGUGGCUUGAACUUUCAGUUCUGAGCUUCCCGUCGCCGUCGAUUGGAUUCCGGUGACCGUUGACCGGCAAGGGUAUUUCGGUAAUUUCACAGUCUAAGGGCAAUUUUGUAAUUUUAGAUUUUAUGGGUAUUUUAGUAAUUGUUGUAAUUGAGGAUAAAGUUGGUAAUUUAUGAUUUUGAGGUUAAUUUGGUAAUUUUGAUAUGAGAGUAUUUUGGUAAUAUUGAAUUCAAGGGUAAUUCGGUAAAUUCAUAAAUUUGAGGGUAAAUAUGUAAUUUGUGGAAUCAGUGGAUAAAUUGGUAAUUUUAAGUUGGGGUAAUGAGGUAAUUUGAUAUUUCGAGAGUAAUUCGGUAAUUUAAGUUGUUAAGAACAUUUUGGUAAUUUACGCUCCGAGGGUAAUUUUGUAAUUUCUGACAUUGUGGUUAUUUAUGUGAUCUGAAUUGAGGACAAUUUAGUAAUUGAAGAUUUUGAGGAUAAUUUGGUAAAAUAAUGAUGAUGGGGGCAUUUUGGUAAUUUUGGCAUGUAGGGGUUUUUCGGUAAUUUUGUACAUGCGGGAAUAGUUUAUUGUUGAUAGAUUUUCGUUUCGAGAAUUAUUAUGUAAGAUUCGUUGUAUUUCAAGUUAACGGAGAAUGAUUAUGUCGUUUGCUUGAUUAGGAGGAUCUGCGAAACGAGAAUCAACCCGCGGACGUUGUUGACACCGAGUCUGGACAUUGUCACUGUGAGUGGAAUAUACGAAACCUAUUUUUAGAGUUAAUUAUGAUAGUAAAGCAUGUUUGCGGAAUAAGUAUUUUAAAUGUUCUGAUUUAAUGAUUUCUUGAAAUGGAUUUAAUGGGAUUUUCUCGAAAUGGAUUUUAUUCACGUGUUGAUAUUAUAUUAAAAUGUUUGGUUAAUGAUUUUGCGUAUCGAUUUUGAAUAAAGAGUGAUAUGAUUUGAAAGCUAAGAAAAGUGGAUUCAAAUGUGGUAUGAUUUAAAAUAUGGUAAAGAGGUAUGUGAAUAUGAGUACAGUGAUUGUUUUUGAAAUCAUUAGACAGUACCCUUCCCCUCCAGAUACAGUGAUAUAAAUGAUAUGAGAUGAGAGGUCUUUGGGGCCCGUCUGAACACACAUAGAGGCUUUGGGCCGUGUGUUUGGGCGCUUUUGCCUUUGGGGCAUAUGCAUGCGGUAUGAUUAUUACAGUGAUACAGAUAUUGAGAUACAGUGAUACAGAUAUGGGCUACAGACAGUUAUUGAGAUACAGUGAUACAGAGAUGGGAUACAGAUCAGUUAUUGAGAUACAGUGAUACAGAGAUGGGAUACAGAUCAGUUAUUGAGAUACAGAGAUACAGUGAUAUAGAUAUGAGAUACAGACAGUUGAGAUACAGAUGAGAUACAGGCCUUUGGGGCCCGUCUGAGUACACACAGAGGCUUUGGGCCGUGUGCUUGGGCGCUUUUGUCCUUUGGGGACUAGAUUAUGUAUGCACAGAUAUGAUGAGAUAUGAGAUAGUAUUUCCCUGUCUAUCCGUGUAGCUCCGGGGCGUGACGUUACCCAGAUAGUAGCCCGUCCGUUGAGGUCCGAAUAUGACGAGAUUAUUUCCCUGGGUACUUGUUUGAUGAUAGUUUUGGUAUUCAGUAUUUGAUAUGAUAAGUAUUAUGUUUCCAUCGAUUUUAUGCAGAUUUAUGUAAUAUAGUAUUUCAGUGACUGAUUUGAAUUAACUACUUAUGAUAUUCUGAUGAAAUUGAUUUGAGAAAUUGAUGAUUUGAGAAAAUUGAUUUGAGAAAGAUUAAAUCAUUUGAAAAGAAUUGGUUUUUCAAAGUUACUAUCCACUCACUGAGUUCACUGAGUUUUAUACUCAUUCCGCUUUUAUUAUAUUUCCCCCCCCUCACAGGAGAUUUGCAGGUACAUCAGUCGACUCAGUAACGAUAGUUAGAUUUGAAAUUGUGGCCACGUGCUGGUGCUAGGAGUCGUGGAUUUAAUACUGUGAUUUUUGGGAUAUUGCGAGUUGUAUUUAUUUAUUCUAUUUCGUAAUUAAGGAAAACUAUUGUAUUUUAAUAUCAGAAUGAUUUGGGAGUAUUUGGUAUGUCGACUUGAGAAGUUGGUUAUGGAGGAUGGAUGGAUAUUGAAUUAUUUUGGGAGUAUUGUUUUGUAAAUUGCAGGUUGGGAAUGUUUUAUUUAUAAGGGAGAUUCUGCCGAAAUUUUUAUAGAAUUCUUAGAUAUCGUAAUUAAUAUCGUUUUGAUUUUACGAGUUCAGAUGGACUCGCCCUGGGGGUGCGGGGCGGGUCGUUUCAUAUUAUCUAAUAGCUUUUCAAUGUUUCUGCAUCAUCAGCUGGUAUCAGAGCAAGUUCACUUGUCAUCAUGGUGCGAACACACAAUCAAAGGAGCAACCAUCCCGGAGACGAUGUUCAAGGGAUGUAGGCAACGACUGUGGAGGUUAUCAGAUAGAUGGUCAAAGGAGCAGUCUUGCAAGUCAUGAAGGACGCAUAUAACCUGAGAAUGGUAGCAGACAAAUAUUAGGUUAUCUCUUGUAAGCCAUAUUCAUAAAUGUAUUGAGGGAAAGAUACUUUUUUCUUGUCUUAAAUGAUGUGUGGGAUGGACGUUACAAUUAAUGGGAACCAUUCUUCUGUUGUUUAAAGAAUGGUCUCUACGAUAGUCAAAUUUUGAUUACUACACGUAAUCAGUUAGUAGCAAGCAUGAUGAGAUCAACAAAUCUUGCCUUUCUUAAGGAAUUAAUUGAAGAAGAAUGUUGGUCAUUGUUUAAGGAGGUAGCAUUUUUGGGUCAAUUCUUCAAGGAUCGUGAUCAAUCGAUCAAAAAAUUGCAUGUAAGUGCAAAGGCUUGCCUUUUGUUGCAAAGAUAAUAGGGAAAUUCUUACACUAUAAAUGACCAAUAGAAGAAUAGAAAAUAAUUUUAGAUAGUGGAAUGUGGAAGGUAGAAGAGUUUGGGAAAGCUCUUUUGGCUCCUUUGUCGUUAAGUUAUAAUGAUUUGUCGUCCAUAGUAAAACAAUAUUUCUCACAUUGUGCUAUCUUUUCCAAAGGUUACAAUAUGUGUAAAGAGGAACUAAUUACACUAUGGAUGGCUCAAAAUUACCUUAAAUGUAGAAGAAGGAAGAGAUGGAGAUCCGAUCCAAUCUGAUAGUAGUAGUUUAUUUUAAUUUUUAUUAAUUUGAUUUCAUAGGAGUAGUUUUCAUUUUUUGUUGAAAUUUGGUAAAACAAAAAACUGAAAUGAGAUAAUUACUUUAAAACAAUCUUCAAGAACUAAAAUAAUUAAAAAAAAACUCAAAAUAAACAAAAAAGGCUUUAAAAUAACCCUAAUCCGAACAUUAUUUGAAUCAAUCCUAACUAGCCCGAAUAUGAUUUUAACCCAAACCCAACCUAACUCGCUUAUAAUUAUAACCCAAUGCGAUCCAAAUUCAACUUGAAUAUUUGAUCCGAUCUAAUCCAAUUUGUAUAUUCUAACCCUAUCAACCAGAAACGCAAUUAGGUUGAUCUGAACCCACAUUUGUCCACUCCCAAAGGGGAUCAUGACCCUACAAGCUUUGAAAGUUUUUUGAGAUUUCUAAGUGAAUAUUAAAAAUUAUGUAUAAAAAGACUGAUUUGACCCCUAAACACUUGAUAUAGAAACUUUAUACAUACAAUAGAAAUUUAAUUUUAUAUUUUGUGAAAUAAAGUCAAAGUAACUGAAUUUUUUUUUAUUUUGUUAAUUAUUUUUCUACUAUGACAAAAUGACAAAUAGCCUUGUGCCUAGCCCUUUGACUUUUAUUUUGCUAAUUAUUUUUUUCAUUUCUCUUGCAACAGUAACUUCAAUUAUCAAUCAAAGUCGCCAAAUCAAAAUCUCUGCAGCCUGCAGCUACAAGCAAACUUCUCAAAUUUCGAAAUUCCUUAUGACUACAUAAUAGCUAUAAAUAGAAAAAGCGUCUAAAAUAACUAUGUUUUUCGUUUGAGCUUGAGCUCCCUGAAGAUUUACUCCAUACGUAACAAAAUAUUAGUUUUGCUAGUAAAAUUGCUAACUAUGUUUUUCUUUGUAUUUCCACUCAAGGAUGAAGAAAUUUCCCUAGACUUUUGUGGUGAAUAUCUUACGAACAUAUGAAAAUUUAAUCUUUGGCUGAGACUUGCUUAACAUAAGAGAUGACACUUUGAAGCAAUAGGAGAGAGAGAUAAUAAGCUUUGUUCCCCCAAAAAAAUCUAUCAGAUAUAUUAUGCCCCCGGUUGCUAUUGCUAAAAAUAGUCAUAAUUACUAAAAAAAUAAGUAAUUCUUUUUUUAUAUAUUAAAAUGGUAAACGGGUGGAUAAAAUUUAAAAUAAUUAUUUAACUUUUUAUCUAUUUUGACAUUCGAAUUUUAAGCUCGAGAAGUAAAGCAAUAAAUAAACCUUUUUGAGAGGCUAACUAAAUUCUUAGUAAUUUCAUAUAAUUGCAUUUCAUCAGAACAGUUUUAUCAAAAGCAAUUUUAUAAAUCUUUGUGGAAAGCUUUAAUCCUUAAUUAUCUUUCACAUAUUUUCUUUGUAAUAUGAGGUAAGUCAUGGACCAUAGUAUGGUAUUUAUUGUAAAUAAAAUCAUUAUGAAACUGAUUUUAUUCUUUUUUUUUUUCACAAACAAAGUAUCUAGCUAACUGCAGAUAUAAUGAAUUACUAAUUACCAUUAUUUGAGUCGCUCUCUAAAUUAGAUCUUGGAGUCUGUCAUGGCAUAAUAAAAUUAACGACAUAAUGGCUUUUGAUUUUGCCUACCUGAUAAUAAAAGUUGUCUGCCAUAUAGACAAGAAAUGGAUCCAUACGUUAAAGCAAAAUUGAAAAAUAUAAAAAAAAUAAAUUGCUAGGAGAUGAUUUUAUCUGAAAUUUCACUUGCACGGUAUUGGCUACAAAUAAAUUUGUGAUGAAAUUCAUAACGGAUUAAUAUAAUUGAACGGAAUUACUCUAUACAAUUUCAUAAGUAUGUAUUAUACAAUUAAAAAUCUAUUGAUAUUUAUAAUAAAAUAAUAUAUCUACUAAGUGCUGGGAUAUAUAUUUGUGGGGAAUGAUAAAUGUAGAGAAUUACAGUAAUAAAGGUGGAAGUGGAACUUUAUUAUAAUUAAUUAAUGUGUUUACAAUUCUAUAAGUAUAAUAAAAUAAUAGUAAUAGGUAAAUUGUAGAAAAUUAAUGUGUACUUCAAGGCACAUUACAAAUGUCGCCUUCCUAAAGAUAUUAUUUGUCCCACCAAUUAAGUGAUGCAUAUAGGCUAAACAAAUACACCUCCAGGAUACAAUGAAUCACUUAUUUGUUUGCUUGCGUUGUUCAUCGAUGGAAGCAAACUUGAAUACUCUUGAAUGUUGCAAGCUUGCCAAGAAUCAAUAUAUUAUUCAUGUAGUAAACAAUAUAUUAGAUAUUUGAUGCAUAUAGUAUUGAUGUUAUACAAUAAAAUUUGUUUCAGGAAAGAGGGCUGAAAAGAGAGUGAUGCAAUAUCAUUGUUUCCUUGUUUAAAAAUUAAUUCUAAAUUAGCCAUGACAUGCAAUCUUUUAAUAUUCACAUGUUCUAAAUGAAUAUGCUACAAAGAUAAUGAGUCAAUCAUGUAAGCAGAAGAAACAUUAAUUUUAUUAAUAUUGAGCUUGAGCAUUCCCUAAUACAUGUAUUCUUUCCCAAUAAAGGUACCACCCUUAGACAAUGCAAAUUUGCUUUGACUCAAAUAAGGUACCACCCUAAUUUAGAUACAAGAUUUUUCCUACCUUUAGAUACAUGAUAAACAUCAAUAUGAGUUAAAGGUUUUCCACAAGUGAACUCUAGUUGCACAUUCCCUCUAAUUGAUGCACUGGAGGAAUUUCCCAUCUAAAGAACACUUCAAUCAUCCAUUGCUUUGUAAGAUAUGAAAAAGCUACGAUUCUUGUACACAUACUUGAUUGCACCGGAAUCUAUUCACCAUGCAUUAUCAUGUUCGAGAAUAUUAAUCUUAGAUAUCACGGCCAUAAAUUUUGUCCACAAAAUUUGUGUUCGAACACUUCUUUUAUUUCUUAAGAAGUUGACAGUCUUUUCUAAAGUGGCUAGGCUUUUCACAUUGGUCACAUGUACACUUCUUUUUUUAUUCUGUUGGUUUGAUUCUAUUUGAAAUCAAACUUUUGCUUUUGGUUAUUAAUGCGGUCAUUAGACUGCUUAAGCUCCUUCUCCUCCUCCACAACAUUAAUUUCAGAGGACAUAGCAGUUUGUUCCUCAAGACUAUUAAGUCUAAGUUUCUAUUCAAUAUGAAGACUUUGCUAUGCCUUCCAGGCUAAUUUCCUCUUUGCUAUAUUUAAGACUAUUUUCAUAGUUUUUUCAAGUGGGGGGAAGUUUAUCAAUAAUUGAAGAAAUAAUAAUAAACUUGUUACUUUUCAUGUUGUGUUGGUUGAAUUGAUUAAGAAUGCAAAAAAUCUCAUUAUAUUGUUCAUGCAAACACAGCCUGGUUUACAGAUUUUAGUCGUUGCUUCAUGCAAACACAGCCCAUCCAGGAUGCUCAGGUAUCAAAGAUCCGGCGUUGUUUGAGCUAAGAAGCAAAAGCAAACUAUGUAAUUGUUCAAAUAGAAGGAUUUGCAAGCAUGGUGCUCCAUGCCAGCUGAAAUAUGUAAAGAUAUGCAAGAAUCAAAUUCCACAUAUAGCUUUCGAAGAGGUUCGCGCAUUAGGCUUUUCUAGUUUGUCUGAAUAUUUGGAAAGAUUUGCAAGCAUCAUGUUCCAGUCACAGAACAUCCACGUGAGGAUGCUCAUAAACAUGGCUCCCAUGAACUUGCUGAACGUCUUAAUUAUGAACCGCAAGCUGCCAAUAAGCAGAAUAAUUAUAUCUUUUCCAGUUUUUCUGUCAUGGCUCUUUAUUCCUGUUGUUUGUAAGACCAUGAAAACAAAAAAUUUGAUAUUACAAAUGCUGAUCACUAUUUAUGGUAACGUAUGACGUAUCUAGUAGUACAAAUGCAUAUAGGGUGAAUUUCAGCAUUUUAAUUGACAAGUCAUUUGCUGAUGCUCACCUUUCAAAUGCACUACUGGGUUCUGAUAAUUGAGAGGCUAACUAAAUUCUUAGUAAUUGCAUAUAAUUUCAUUUCAUCAGAACAGUUUUAUCCAAAGCAAUUUUAUAAAUCUUUGUGGAAAGCUUUAAUCCUUAAUUAUCUUUCACAUAUUUUCUUUGUAAUAUGAGGUAAGUCAUGGACCAUAGUAUGGUAUUUAUUGUAAAUAAAAUCAUUAUGAAACUGAUUUUAUUCUUUUUUUUUUUCACAAACAAAUUAUCUAGCUAGCUGCAGAUAUAAUGAAUUACUAAUUACCAUUAUUUGAGUCGCUCUCUAAAUUAGAUCUUGGAGUCUGUCAUGGCAUAAUAAAAUUAACGACAUAAAGGCUUUUGAUUUUGCCUACCUGAUAAUAAAAGUUGUCUGCCAUAUAGACAAGAAAUGGAUCCAUACGUUAAAGCAAAAUUGAAAAAUAUAAAAAAAUAAAUUGCUAGGAGAUGAUUUUAUCUGAAAUUUCACUUGCACGGUAUUGGCCACCUAUAAAUUUGUGAUGAAAUUCAUAACGGAUUAAUAUAAUUGAACGAAAUUACUCCAUACAAUUUCAUAAGUAUGUAUUAUACAAUUAAAAAUCUAUUGAUAUUUAUAAUAAAAUAAUAUAUCUACUAAGUGCUGGGAUAUAUAUUUGUGGGGAAAGACAAAUGUAGAGAAUUGCAGUAAUAAAGGUGGAAGUGAAACUUUAUAAUAAUUAAUUAAUGUGUUCACAAUUCUGUAAGUAUAAUAAAAUCAUAUUAAUAGGUAAAUUGUAGAAAAUUAAUGUGUACUUAAGGGCACAUUACAAAUGUCGCUUUCCUAAAGAUAUCAUUUGUCCCACCAAUUAAGUGAUGCAUAUAGGCUAAACAAAUAUACCUCCAGGAUACAAUGAAUCACUUAUUUGUUUGCAUGUGUUUUUCAUCGAUGAAAGCAAACUUGAAUACUUUUGAAUGUUGCAAGCUUUUCGAGAAUCAAUAUAUUAUUCCUAUAGUAAACAAUAUAUUAGAUAUUUGAUGCAUAUAGUAUAGAUGUUAUACAAUAAAAUUUGUUUCAGGAAAGAGGGUUGAGAAGAGAGUGAUGUAGUAUCAUUAUUUCCAUGUUUAAAAAUUAAUUCUAAAUUAGCUAUAACAUGCAAUCUUUUAAUAUUCACAUGUCCUAAAUGAAUAUGCUACAAAAAUAAUGAGUCAAUCAUGUAAGAAGAAGAAACAUUAAUUUUAUUAAUAUUGAGCUUGAACAUUCCCAAAUACAUGUAUCCUUUCCCAAUAAAGGUACCUGAAACGACCCGCCCCGAAAACCCCUAGGCGAGUCUAUCUAGUCUCAUCAAAACGGACUAGAAAAUCUAUUCAUAAAGAGUCUGCCGAAAAUUCGGCAGAGUCUCCUUUAUAUAUAUAACACUCCCAAUCUACAAAUAUGAAAAUAACACUCCCAAUACAAAUCUCAUAUACAACAAACUCCAGUACUCAACAUACUCAACCAAAAUGCUGAGUCUUAUAUUAUACAAUCCCAAAAGAACAAGAUGACCAAAAUGUCCCAACAAAAACAUUUACACAAUCUAGCACCAUCACGUGGCCAAGACUCAAAAUAUAUAUACAGUCGCUGGGUCAGUCUGGUGUACCUGCAACCUCCUGGUGAGGGGGGAAAAAUAUAAUAAAAGCAGGGUGAGUUUAAAACUCAGUGAGAUCAGUGAGUGGAUAGUAGGUUUGAAAAUUAAAUCUUACUUUAAAAGAAAUAAUCAUAUCAUUUCCAAAUACGGUUUCAUUAAACCAUAAGCGAGAAAUCAGAAAUAAAUCAUUAAACAUUUAAAUCAGAUUACCAACCAUAGAAAUCAUAUCACCAAAUCAUAUAGGAUUCACAAAUCUGAAAAUCAUCAUAAAACAAGUACCCAGGGAAAUAAUCUCGUCAUAUCCGGACCUCAACGGACGGGCAAUGACGUACUAUCUGGGUAACGUCACGCCCCGGAGCUACACAGAUAGACAGGGAAAUACCAUCUCAUAUCUCAUCAUAUCUCUGCAUGCAUAAUCUAGUCCCCAAAGGACAAAAGCGCCCAAGCACACGGCCCAAAGCCUCUGUGUGUACUCAGACGGGCCCCAAAGGCCUGUAUCUCAUCUAUAUCAUCUGUAUCACAAUAUCGGUCUGUAUCUCAUGUCUGUAUCAUCUGUAUUUCAAUGUCUGUCUAUAUCUCAUAUCUGUAUCACUGUAAUCAUACCGCAUGCAUAUGCCCCCAAAAGGCAAAAGCGCCCAAACACACGGCCCAAAGCCUCUAUGUGUGUUUAGACGGGCCCCAAAGGCCUCUCAUCUCAUAUCAUUUAUAUCACUAUAUCUGGAGGGAAGGGUACUGUUUAAUGAUUUUAAAAACAAUCAUAAUACUCAUAUUCUCAUACCUCUUAACCAUAUUUUAAAUCAUACCACACAUUUUAAUAUAAUCUCAACACGUGAAUAAAAUCCAUUUCGAGGGAAUCACAUUAAAUCCAAUUCGAGAAAAAUCGCAUUAAACCCAUUUCGAGAAAUCAUUAAAUCAAAACAUUUAAAAUGCUUAUUCCGCAAACAUGCUUACUAUCAUCGCUAACUAUAAAAAUAAGUUUUAUAUAUUCCACUCACAGUGAUGGUGUUCAGGGUCGGUUAUCGUCCAUGUCCGCAGUCCGGUUCUCGCUCGCGGAUCCUCCUAAAUCAAGGAAACGACAUAAUUAUUUUCCAUAAAUCGGAAUUCCGACUCAAUAUAUGCCAUAAACUCGAAACGAACAUUUAUCCAUAAUUUACAACUCCCGUGUCGAUAAAAUUACUAAAAUGCCCUUGCCGGUGAACGGUCGCCGGAAAUUGGUCAACGACGAUGGGAAGCUUAGGUCUGCUAGUUCAGACCUCGGUGAGUCCAAUGGUGGUGGCUGUGAGUCCCCACGCGCGGUACCGACGGCGGAUCGAGCUUCCCAAGCCGUGAGCUUCCAAGUGGCUAUUCGUCGGCAAUCCGGCCGUUUCAGAUGACGAGGUUGGUCGGAAAAUGAUUCUGGUGACGUGAGGAGUAGAAACCAGCUAGAGGUGUGCCCAAACUCUGGCAAAAUCGACGGCGGCGAAAACGGGUCUUGGCCGCGACUUUUCAAGCUCAAACGCCGGCGUUCCAGUCGGUUUCCGGCGACGAGGAUGGCAGGGUUAUGAUGGCCGGCUUCCAAGCUUCAGAUUGGUACCAAGCUCGGCUGGUGAGGUGGCCGGAAUCGUGAAAUCCGUCCGGGUCAAAGUCGCGGGUCGGGUCGGGUUUCCGGGUAAAAAAUCGGGUCAACUCUCUUUCUCUGUGUUACACGUGCAUGUGUUUUCCUUUGUUUCCAACUUAUUCCUUUGCUUAUAAACUCCUUAACCGCCUCAUGCCAUCUUAAGUGCAAACACCACUGCUGCUAGCUCUAAAUCAUGUGUUGGAUAGUUUUGUUCAUGCUUCUUAAGUUGUCUAGAGGCAUAAGCCACCACUUUCCCAUGCUGCAUCAAUACACAACCCAAUCCAUGCCUAGAGGCAUCGCUGUAAACCACAAAUCCUUCAUUACUAUAUGGAAGUGUAAGAACUGGUGCUGAGGUCAAACAUGUCUUAAGUUCUUGAAAACUUUUCUCACAGUCAUCAUCCCACUGGAACUUAGCAUUCUUUCUGGUUAACCGUGUCAGAGGAGUAGCAAUCUUGGAGAAGCCUUCCACAAAUCUACGAUAAUAACCAGCUAACCCAAGAAAACUCCGAACCUCUGUGACAUUUGUAGGUCGUUCCCAUUUCACAACUGCUUCAAUCUUUUGAGGAUCAACAUAAAUGCCUUUAGCUGAUAUCACAUGGCCCAAAAAAUACUACUCUAUCUAACCAGAACUCGCAUUUGCUGAACUUGGCAUACAACUGUUUUUGUCUCAAAAUCUUCAAAACAGUCCACAAAUGCUGUGCAUGCUCCUCCUCGCUUCGGGAAUACACUAAAAUAUCAUCAAUGAAUACAACCACAAACCGAUCCAGGUACAGGCGAAAUACCCUAUUCAUCAGGUCCAUAAAAGCAGCUGGGGCAUUUGUCAACCCAAAUGGCAUCACUAAGAACUCAUAGUGCCCAUAACGGGUUCUGAAUGCUGUUGUAGGAACGUCAACAUCUUUAAUUCUAAGCUGAUGGUAACCCGAGUGCAAAUCGAUCUUAGAAAAUACUUUUGCCCCUUGGAGUUGAUCAAAUAAGUCAUCAAUACGCGGAAGUGGAUACUUAUUGCGCACCGUAACUUUAUUCAACUGUCUGUAGUCGAUGCAGAGUCUAAAAGUCCCAUCGUUUUUCUUAACAAACAAGAUUGGAGCUCCCCACGGGGACACACUGGGUCUAAUAAACCCUUUCUCCACCAACUCUUGCAAUUGAAUCUUCAGUUCCUUCAAUUCUGCUGGAGCCAUUCUGUACGGUGCCAUAGAUAUCGGAGAUGUUCUAGGGACUAAGUCAAUAGAAAACUCAACUUCUCUGUUAGGUGGCAUCCCAGGAAGUUCAUUUGGAAAUACAUCUGGAAAUUCUUUAACUACUGUAAUAUCCUCCAAUCUCAAUUUUCGGACUUCUGUAUCUAUCACAUGAGCUAAAUAAGCUGAGCAUCCUUUUCUUAGCAACCUUCUUGCACUAAUAGCAGAUAUAACACAUGAGGGUAGAACUCUGCGCUCCCCACAAAAUUUCACCUCAGCUUUCCCUGGCUUUUUAAACACAACGUCCUUUUUGAAACAAUCCACCGUAGCAUAAUGAGAUUCAAGCCAAUCCAUACCCAAAAUAGCAUCAAAGUCAUAAAUCUUUAAGGAAAUCAAAUUCGCCUCAAAUUCAUAAUCACCCAUUCCAAUCAUACAAUCUCGAUACACACUCUGAGCAAGUAAUGACUCUCCGGUAGGUGUACGAACAACUAAUUCGCAAUCUAAUAGUUCGGGCUCUCGCCCUAUAUGCAUAGCAAAAGCACGAGAAACAAAAGAGUGUGUAGAUCCAGGAUCAAUAAGAAUAUGAGCCUCGCGGCCAAGGAUAGAUAAUAUACCCAUAAUAACUCUGGUGCAGCACGUGCCUCCUGCUGCGUCAAAGCAAAAACUCAAGCCUGAGUAUGAGGUCGACCAAGCUGACCUCUCUGACCUGGAGCAGUCGUCUGACCCCUAAAGGUAGAUGUAGAACCUCCUGUCUGCACUCCUCUCUGACCCUGAGUCUGGCCAGAGUAAGGCUGAUACCGUGAGGCUGUCCCUCCUGUAGAGCUAUCACCCUGAGAUAAAGUAGGGCAAAAUCUCCUGAUGUGUCCAGGCUGACCACAUAAAUAACAAACUUUGUCUCCAACACGACAUGGGCCCUGAUGAUUCCUGCCACAUGAAGGGCAAGAAAUCUGCUGAAAACGCCUAGAACGAUCAUCACGAUAUCCCCCACCACUGCGGUCGUACUGUCCCUGAUUCUUGGUAUUACUCCCCACCGAUGGUUGCACAGAGCUAUGACUAACAGCUUGUCUCGAGUCCCCCCUGAAGCCUGUACCCUGAUUCCUUUGCGUACUAUCAGAAUAACUCGUAGGAAUACCCCCUCUCUUGGGCGGCCUACUACUAGAGCCACCCUCUGCCCAGCUCUGGCUACGCUUUUGCUUCAGUGCAUGAAAUCUACGUCCUUCUGCAAUACUGUGCUCUACUCUCCUGGCUGCCUCAACUACCUCUCCAAACUUAGUAUAUCGUGAUGCAGUCACAGUGGUACGAAUCUCAAAUCGGAGGCCAUCCUCGAACCGUCUGCAUCUCUCUCUCUCAUCACCGACUACAGAUGUAGCAAAUCUAGAGAGGUCUAAAAAUUUCUUCUCAUACUCCUCAACUGUCAGAGAUCCCUGAACCAACCGAAAGAAUUCACUUCGUUUAAUAUCCUGAUAUACAGCAGGAAAAUAAUGAUCGUAGAAUUCCUUGCGAAAAAUGGCCCAAGUAAUCGCAGCAUGUCCCUGAUAUCGUCUCUCCACUGUCUGCCACCAAUGAUAAGCUCUAUCCUCGAGCAGGAAAGUGGCGAAGGAUAAUCUAUCAUCCUCUGAACACUUCAUCACAUCAUAAAUACGCUCUAACUUAACAAACCAUGACUCAGCCUCAGGUGGUUCUCCGGAACCAUUAAAACUCUUCGCCCCUAAACUCCUCACUCGCUCAAUAGUAUUUGCAUUACCGACAUGCGCUUGCGUCUGAUUUUGCACAACUGUAGUCAUGAUUUGAGCCAGCCUAUCAAAUGACUGCUCAAUAUUCGGGGCAUCCCCCGGUGUCUGUUGUGCAAUUCCAUGCGUAGAGGAUUCAACUAUCCCCUCAUUCGCGGGUUCACGUUCCCCCGCAGGUACACUACCAGAAGUCAACCCAGCUAUUGGCCUAGUACGGCCACGGCCACGUCUACUACUACGACGAAGCAUGAUGGUGCCUACAAGAGAUAAACUCUAACUUUAAUAAAGAUAAAACUUAUUCUGAUUAAGACAGUGAAGUCUACAGAAUCUAAAACCAUGCUCUGAUACCAACUGAAACGACCCGCCCCGAGAACCCCUAGGCGAGUCUAUCUAGUCUCAUCAAAACGGACUAGAAAAUCUAUUCAUAAAGAGUCUGCCGAAAAUUCGGCAGAGUCUCCUUUAUAUAUAUAACACUCCCAAUCUACAAAUAUGAAAAUAACACUCCCAAUACAAAUCUCAUAUACAACAAACUCCAGUACUCAACAUACUCAACCAAAAUGCUGAGUCUUAUAUUAUACAAUCCCAAAAGAACAAGAUGACCAAAAUGUCCCAACAAAAACAUUUACACAAUCUAGCACCAUCACGUGGCCAAGACUCAAAAUAUAUAUACAGUCGCUGGGUCAGUCUGGUGUACCUGCAACCUCCUGGUGAGGGGGGAAAAAUAUAAUAAAAGCAGGGUGAGUUUAAAACUCAGUGAGAUCAGUGAGUGGAUAGUAGGUUUGAAAAUUAAAUCUUACUUUAAAAGAAAUAAUCAUAUCAUUUCCAAAUACGGUUUCAUUAAACCAUAAGCGAGAAAUCAGAAAUAAAUCAUUAAACAUUUAAAUCAGAUUACCAACCAUAGAAAUCAUAUCACCAAAUCAUAUAGGAUUCACAAAUCUGAAAAUCAUCAUAAAACAAGUACCCAGGGAAAUAAUCUCGUCAUAUCCGGACCUCAACGGACGGGCAAUGACGUACUAUCUGGGUAACGUCACGCCCCGGAGCUACACAGAUAGACAGGGAAAUACCAUCUCAUAUCUCAUCAUAUCUCUGCAUGCAUAAUCUAGUCCCCAAAGGACAAAAGCGCCCAAGCACACGGCCCAAAGCCUCUGUGUGUACUCAGACGGGCCCCAAAGGCCUGUAUCUCAUCUAUAUCAUCUGUAUCACAAUAUCGGUCUGUAUCUCAUGUCUGUAUCAUCUGUAUUUCAAUGUCUGUCUAUAUCUCAUAUCUGUAUCACUGUAAUCAUACCGCAUGCAUAUGCCCCCAAAAGGCAAAAGCGCCCAAACACACGGCCCAAAGCCUCUAUGUGUGUUUAGACGGGCCCCAAAGGCCUCUCAUCUCAUAUCAUUUAUAUCACUAUAUCUGGAGGGAAGGGUACUGUUUAAUGAUUUUAAAAACAAUCAUAAUACUCAUAUUCUCAUACCUCGUAACCAUAUUUUAAAUCAUACCACACAUUUUAAUAUAAUCUCAACACGUGAAUAAAAUCCAUUUCGAGGGAAUCACAUUAAAUCCAAUUCGAGAAAAAUCGCAUUAAACCCAUUUCGAGAAAUCAUUAAAUCAGAACAUUUAAAAUGCUUAUUCCGCAAACAUGCUUACUAUCAUCGCUAACUAUAAAAAUAAGUUUUAUAUAUUCCACUCACAGUGACGGUGUUCAGGGUCGGUUAUCGUCCAUGUCCGCAGUCCGGUUCUCGCUCGCGGAUCCUCCUAAAUCAAGGAAACAACAUAAUUAUUUUCCAUAAAUCGGAAUUCCGACUCAAUAUAUGCCAUAAACUCGAAACGAACAUUUAUCCAUAAUUUACAACUCCCGUGUCGAUAAAAUUACUAAAAUGCCCUUGCCGGUGAACGGUCGCCGGAAAUUGGUCAACGACGAUGGGAAGCUUAGGUCUGCUAGUUCAGACCUCGGUGAGUCCAAUGGUGGUGGCUGUGAGUCCCCACGCGCGGUACCGGCGGCGGAUCGAGCUUCCCAAGCCGUGAGCUUCCAAGUGGUUAUUCGUCGGCAAUCCGGCCGUUUCAGAUGACGAGGUUGGUCGGAAAAUGAUGCUGGUGACGUGAGGAGUAGAAACCAGCUAGAGGUGUGCCCAAACUAUGGCAAAAUCGACGGCGGUGAAAACGGGUCUUGGCUGCGACUUUUCAAGCUCAAACGCCGGCGUUCCAGUCGGUUUCCGGCGACGAGGAUGGCAGGGUUAUGAUGGCCGGCUUCCAAGCUUCAGAUUGGUACCAAGCUCGGCUGGUGAGGUGGCCGGAAUCGUGAAAUCCGUCCGGGUCAAAGUCGCGGGUCGGGUCGGGUUUCCGGGUAAAAAAUCGGGUCAACUCUCUUUCUCUGUGUUACACGUGCAUGUGUUUUCCUUUGUUUCCAACUUAUUCCUUUGCUUAUAAACUCCUUAACCGCCUCAUGCCAUUUUACAACCACAGGUGUUACAGUACCACCCUUAAACAAUGCAAAUUUGCUUUGACUCAAAUAAGGUACCACCCUAAUAUAGAUACAAGAUUUUUCCUACCUUUAGAUACAUGAUAAACAUCAAUAUGAGUUAAAGUUUUUCCACAAGUGAACUCUAGUUGCACAUUCCCUCUAAUUGUUGCAAUGGAGGAAUUUCCCAUCUAAAGAACACUUCAAUCAUCCAUUGCUUUGUAAGAUGUGAAAAGCCUACGAUUCUUGUACACAUACUUGAUUGCACCGGAAUCUAUUCACCAUGCAUUAUCAUGUUCGAGAAUAUUAAUCUAAGAUAUUACGGCCAUAAAUUUUGUCCACAAAAUUUGUGUUCGAGCACUUCUUUUCUUUCUUAAGAAGCUGACAGUCAUUUUUAAAGUGGCUAGGCUUUUCACAUUGGUCACAUGUACACCUUUCUUUUUUAUUUUGUUGGUUUGAUUCUAUUUGGAAUCAAAUUUUUGCUUUUGGUUAUUAAUGCGGGUAUUAGACUGCUUAAGCUCCUUCUCCUCCUCCACAACAUUAAUUUCAGAGGACAUAGCAGUCUGUUCCUCAAGACUAUUAAGUUUAAGUUUCUAUUCAAUAUGAAGACUUUGCCAAGCCUUCCAGGCUAACUUCCUCUUUGUUAUAUUUAAGACUUUUUUCAUAGUCUUUUCAAGAGGGGGGAAGUUUAUCAAUAAUUGAAGAAAUAAUAAUAAACUUAUUACUUUUCAUGUUGUGUUGGUUGAAUUGAUCAAGAAUGCAAAAAAUCUCAUUAUAUUGUUCAAUCACAAGUCUAUUGUCAAUCUUUUUAAAACUAAAAAAAAUUAGAAGUCAAGAAUUUCUUACUUGUGGUGUCUUCUAUCAUGUACUUAGACUCCAAUAAGUCUUAUAUUUCUUUUGCAGUGGAUUUUGUUGUGGUACUUAUGAAAACAAAGUACUAGACACAGCAUUGUAAAUGUGUCUUAUGCACACGUAGACAUCUUGCUUCCACUUUUGCCACACUCGAGUUUCUCAUUCUCAUGUUCUUCAGGCUUUGAUAUUGUAAGAACAUUAACAACAUUGAGGCUUGUCAAUAAGAAAUGUAAUAUUUUUUGCCAACGUAUAGAAGUUGUGACCAUAAAUAUUUCUUUACUAUUGAUUUUGAUGAUAACAAACUUGAUUAAGAUUGAUUAAUCCUUUAAAAGCUCAAAAUAAUUUUCAUAUACUUUUAAAUCAUCACUCUCACUUUAUAAAGACUUUAUAUUCUAUGGAAAUAUUUUUGGUUAUUCUCAUGUUAAUGGUUUCAAUUGAAAAAGCUUUGAGAAUUUUGAUAAUAACAAAUAUUGUUUCAAAUCCUGUAAAUGGAUCUAUUUGACAAGUUUUAUAAAGUGUUGGGUCAUAGUAUAAUUUUAUGAAGUUUUGGGGUCAAACUAUUAUUUUGUAAAAUAGUUCAUUGUAGCAGUUACUGUAGAAAACGAUGAUCCGACAUCUUGAUAAUGGCUCGCCGACAUCAAACAGAACUGAAGAUUAGCCUCCGGACACUAACGACAAUCCGACAACUUGAUAACGGCUAACCGACAUUGCACUGAAUUGAAGAUUAGUCUCUGGACACUAACGGCGAUCAACAUCUAGAUAACGGCAAUCCGAAAAUUUAAAAAUUCUGCCCAAUGGUCAUAUUGACAAUUUAAAACAGCGAUUCGACAUCUAGAUAACGGCAAUUCGACAAUGUGUAGAAAGUCAAUAACGGCUAGUUUUCAGCUCCAGUAAUAAAUAAGCUCAAUCAAAUUCAAACUAAAACGAUUGCAACAAUUAUUAUUGACUAAAGUCUUGAGCAUACAACAUUCAUUGAGCCUUAAAUUCUUGUAUUCAUCUCAUUUACUCACACUUUGAAUCUUCAUUUGUAAUCAAACACAGUGUGAGAGAAAUUUAUUUUGUAACAUUCUUUAAAAUCAAAUUGAGUGAUUGUAAGUGUUGGGAUGCACUUGGGUUAAGAGAUUUGGGAUAAUCUCUUUUUGUAAAGGUUUAUUGACACCUUAGGAGUCAAGUGUAAGCAUUUGAAGCCUUGGUGGCUUACUUAGCGGAAUCAUCAAGCCCGGAAAGUUUAGAGGUGUGGACGUGGGCGAGGUUGGCCAAACCACGUAAAAAUCCUCAUGUUUGAAUCUCUCUUACCUUAUCUUUUUAUAUUGUGAUAAAUUUAUUUGUUAUUGCUUUAAAUUUGUUUUAUAUUUGCAUUGAGUUUUGCUUUAAAAAUUGUAUAAUUUUUAGAAUCCUAAUUCACCCCCCUUGGGUUGCAUUACUAGAAUUUCAUUUGGUAUUAGAGCCUUGUUCUCUUGUUAAGACAUAAUCAUCUAGAGUAAAAGAUCAAUGGCAACCCUAAAUGACUCAACCUUUAGAGAAGGACAAUCCACAACUGGACCACCGUUCUUUGAUGGUAAUGACUAUGCAUAUUGGAAAACUAGGAUGAGAAUCUAUUUACAAGUUUUAGAUUAAGAAAUUUGGGAAGUUGUUUAUGAUGGUCCAUUCAUGCCUAUGUUUAAAAAUGAAGGAGAUGAUAUUCCUAAACCAUCAAGUCAAUGAGUGAGUUAGAAAAGAGAAAGAUGUCCUUAAACUCCAAGGCAAUGAAUGCCUUGUUUUGUGCUCUUGAUAAGAAAGAAUUCCAUAGAGUAUCUAGUUGUGAAAGUGCACAAGAAAUAUGGAAUAAACUUGAAGUUGUUUAUGAAGGGACAAAUCAAGUUAAAGAGAUUAAAAUUAGUAGAUACACUCGUCAAUAUGAAUUAUUCCAAAUGGAACAAAAUAAAAAUAUGUAUUCUAUGUAUACUAGAUUUACGAAAAUAGUGAACACCCUAGGAGCUUUGGGAAAAACUUUCUCAAAUAGUGAGAAAGUAAAGAAAAUCAUUAGCUCACUUCUUAAGGAAUGGAGACCUAAGAGGACUGCUAUUUAAGAGGCCAAAAAUUUAAAUACUUUACCUCUUGAUGAUUUAAUUGGCUCUUUUAUUUAAUAUGAAGAAGACUUAGCAGCCGAAAAAAGGGAAAAGUAUUGUUCUCAAAGCUUCAAAAUUUAAGAGCGAUGAGCAAAGUGAACCGGAUGAUGAGGAGUUGGCCAUGAUAGAAAUGAGGUUUAGAAAAUUCUUCAAGAAAACCGGUGAGCGAAGAAGAUUUAGAAACUUCAAGAAUCAAAAGGAGAAGAAAGAGGCAAUCAUAUGCUAUGAAUGCUAAAAGCCCGGCCAUAUAAGAUCGGAAUGCCCACUUCUCAACAAAUUCAAGAAGAAAGCCAUGGUUGCUACUUAGGAUGAUAGCGAUGAAGAUUCAAGUGAUGAAGAUGAAUUGCAUGAAGCAUCAAACCUAACACUUAUGGCAAUAGGAGAUGAUGAUGAUCUCAAUGAGGUAAGUGAUCCUACCUAUGAUGAGUUGUAUGAUGCUUUUAAAUAAUUACAUGAUGAGUUGAUGAAAAUUAGUAAAAAGAAUGCAUGCCUUAAAAAGAAAAUGCUAGAACUUACAAAUGAAAAGGAUGCCCUGGAAAAAUGCAAUAAUGAGAAGAUAAAAGAAUUAGAAUUAGAGAAUAAAAUGUUACAUGAUAAAACUUUAGCUCUUAAAGGUAAACAAAGCACUUAUGAACAUGAAAAAUCACAUGUGGAUGAGUUAAUGAAAGAGAAUGAAGUGCUUAAGAAGAAAAAUAAUGAACUAAAUGAAAUUGUGCUAAAGUUUACAAAUGGACAAAAGAUGUUGGAAAACAUGUCAAUUCACAAAAAAUGUGUGUUUGAUAAAGGAGGUACUGGAUAUAAGCCAAACUUAAAACAAAAAUAUUAUAAAACUACUUUGUGAAAAGUACUUCUAUUAACAAUCAAAUUGUAUGUCAUCAUUGUAAUCAAGAUGGACACAUGAAAAAUAGAUGUCCAGUAAAAAGAAAUGCAUAUUAUGGUGUGAAAUGUAUUUGGGUUCCAAAAGGAACCAUUGCUAACAUACAAGGACCCAAGAAGUUUUGGGUACCUAAAACUUAGAAACUUUUUCUGCAGGGAUUAAAGAAAAAGAAAAAUAAGUGGUUCUUGGAUAGUGGUUGCUCAAGGCACAUGACCAGAAACUAUGCAUGGUUUUCAAGUUUCACCACAAUCGAAAAUGGUGGAGAUAUUUCUUUUGGAGAUAACUCAAAAUGAAGGUACUUCUCAAUCACUCCCCAAAGAGUGGAGGUAUGUUUCUUCUCACCUUAAGGAUGUAAUUUUAGGAGAUCCCUCACGAGGUAUUACAACUAGAUCAUCACUUAGGAAUACUUGUGAGCAUAAUGCAUUUAUUUCUCAAAUUGAACCCAAAUCCUUUGAGGAUGCGGAAAAUGAUGAAUCUUGGAUUAUGACAAUACAAGAGGAGUUAAAUCAAUUUAAAAGAAACAAUGUGUGGGAAUUAGUUCCUAAACCGGAACAUCAAUCUUUCAUAGGUACUGUUGGUGUAUAAAUACUAAUGCUAUUGGUGUCAAUGUGCAAGUGCACACAACAAGUAAUAAAGUGAUGAGUAUUCAAGAUCGUCUCCACAAGGAUUGAUGUUAUCAGAUUUGCUACAGCAAUCUUAACAGUGCAGAUUUUGUGCUAAAAUAAAAUAAACAAUUAAUGAAACUAAUGUACUAAUUAAAAUAAAAACGCAAUAAAUAAAUGCAACAAAGUAAACUAUCACGUCAAGCUCAAGGAUAAAACUAAUGGAAAUAUAUAGUAGUUGAGUGACUAAACUCUUCUAAUGGUCUUGACUAUUUUCUAAUGGUUGGCUCGGUUGCUGCAGUAUUUGCUACAGCACUGGCCAGAAUCCUUAUGUAUCCUCAACUGUCGCAUGUUGGAUAUCUUAUAUCUAUAUGCAACCUAACAGUGAUCAGUUGUUAUGCCAACAUAAGAUAUAGCAUUACAUGCUUAGAUUCCAUUCACCCUACAAGGUGAAUCCAUAUGUCUAGUUCAUCACUAAUUUUAAAUGAAGCAUGGCCCUUUUCGAAUAAGUUAAACUCAAUCCAGGAAACUCAAUCUAAACCAAGUAUUGCUCUGAUAUGUUCCGCUAAGAUAGGCCCUUUUGCGGCUCUCUCCUAACUUGUAUUAUUAAAUGGGUGAUCAACCAAAAUAAUGAAUAAAAAUAAAUACUAUCAAAACAAACUGCUACAGUAAACAUGCAACAACACAUGUAUUUAGUCAAUAAACCAUCAAGAUUGUUUAUCACUCAACCACAAAUAAAUUUAGUUCAUGGUUUGCAAAAAAAAAAAAUAAAGAACAAAGUUUUAGCCAUGAAAUGCAUCCCCAUGUAUAAACAGAAAACACGAAAACAAGAGAAGAAUAAGAAUGAUUGAGCUCCCAAUUGAUUUCUGCAAAUUCUCCUCUUGUGCAGCCCUUAAUCUCUCUCUUGAAUCUUGUUUUUCUUUUGUUUCUUUGUGUUUUUCUCCUUGGGUGACGGCUCCCUCUUUUCCUUAUGAUGUGUGCUUCUUUUAUAGUUGAAAAUUAGGGUAAACGGAAGCCUAGGGCGCGCAUAAGUCAAAUUAGGAAACUGUAGAUCGCAAUUCUGCAAGUAUCCCGCGUGAAAUUUUCUCUGUCAUUGUUCCAGGAUUGCUACAGCAAUGGUUGCUACAGCAAUAUCUACAACAACUGCAUUGUUCCAGAUUUGUUUCAACUCUUUUUUAGCCAUGUUCUUUCCUUAUUUUUGCAACCCUAUUGCAUAGCAUUCCUUCCAUGAAUUAUAAACUUCUGGAAACCUACAAUUUUGCACACAAUUUGAGCACAAAUUACUUUAAAUCGAGCAAAACUUAUUAAGACUAAACUAAAAUGAAUAUUUAUGCAAAAUGUAACAAAAUACAAUAGAAACACAUCAUUUACUCUUUAAACAAUAUUGAUUUAAGUCUGAAAGUGCCAUAAUAACUCUCAUUUUAUAGAGUUAUCACACUCCCAAACUUAAACCAUCACUUGUCCUCAAGUAAUGACAAUAACACUAACACUUCAAUCACACAAUCAUUCAACAAAUAACUUAGCUCUGUCAUCAAAUUUGUAAGGAUUCUUCAACCCUCAUAUCACAUUCUUAAUCACACAAAAUAACCAUAAUAGUUUAGUUCUAGAACUAGGCUUCAUUCUGUCCAGAGUGUGUGUGUGCCACUUUGAUCAAGUUUCAGAGGUGCUACAACAUUACACAGGCAUAUAAUUCAGAGAUAGAACACAAAUAUAUUCACAUAUGAGGGAGUAGAAUUCACCAAUAAACUCAAACUGUGCUACAAUAAUAAUACUUUUUUUUUUCAGUUAAACCCUUCAAUGCAACAUUGAGCUUUCAUGUGAGUGCCCAUCACUUGUAAUGACGACACCCAAUUACUCACUCAAAAUAUUUGUUAGAGUUGCUGCAGCAACACAUUUAGGAUGUUAUAUCUAGGUCUUGCCUUUGGACGCCUUUGACUCAAGGCUGAACAUUGGGCUCAUGAACAGACCAAAUUACUCAGUAUCCUAGGGAGUGGACCUCUUUAUUUUUCAUUCCUUCAUCACCAUUUUUUUCUUUUUUUUCAAUAUAUAAUUGCUGCAGCAUUGCUCAUAACUCUUGCUGCCUUUGGACUCAAGUUUGUAUAUGGGGUACACACUCAACCUUGGUUACUCAGCAACUUAAGCCAUUGGAGCAAAAUUUAUUUCAUAACAAGCACAGUUCAACAAAAAUUUUCCCCCAAACUUGAGAUAUUUUCUACUCUUUUUUGGUUUUCCUGGCUCUGCUACUGCAUUUUCAUAAAACUCAACCAAAGUCUAAGUGUCGGGACAGAAGUUCAACCCCUAUCUAUAACUAUCUCUACUUGGCUUUCUCAUAAAUACUGAAUAGCACUCAAUUUAUCUUCAUGAGGUUUUCAAAUUCAUACACAAAUAUUAGAUAACAAAGCUUCAUACAACACAAGCAUAAAUACAUGCACUCAGAAACAUAACCCCCCCAAACUUGAGUGAUGUUGUGUCCUCACAAGCACACAAAACAAAACCACAUAAACCAGACAUGUAUACACUAAAUAAAAGGACAUGCAUAAUGAAUUAGAAAAUUAAAACUAAAUGAAAGAAAAUUUUUGCAGCAAGAAGUAAAAUAAACUAGCGGUUAGGGGUACUGCCCUGUUACUGGAAGCACUGCUGCAUCAUAGGCUGUAAAAGGUCACUUUUUCUUUGAUAUACUUCUCAAACGCUCCUUAUCAUAAAAUCUGAUCAAUCCAUUUACUGCUGCAAAAGCAAGAAAUGCCUCUAUUGUUUGAGAAUCUUCUGUUAUAUGUCAUGCUGUAAGUGAUGCUGCAACAAUUCUUUCCUGCUCUUUUUUUCGUAUUUUUUUGUUUUUUUUUACCUGUUGCAAUUUAACACAAAGACAUAAAAAACUAGAUGCACACUUAAAAUAACAACAAGACAAAUUCAAUAAUUUAAAAACUAAAUUUAAUGCUUUAAAAAGUUAAAAUAACUUUCCUUAUUGGGUUGCCUCCCAAUUAGCGCUUGAUUUUAGGUCUUUAAGCAUGACCUUUCUUGUUUCCUCAACCUCGAUCCUUUAAGAACCGAUCCUUCAUUAGGCUGUUCACCUCAUCUCCCAUAUAGUGCUUCACUCUUGGCCCAUUAACCACUAAGCCUGUUUAUCUCGAGACCCGAAAGCUCGGUCGAGAGAUUAUGUCUGCGAUCGGAUUUUUUAAGAAGCAUGGGAAGUGGGAAAAGACAACAUCCUCUAAGAAUGAAGACACUUUUAUUGCUCCAGAGGAUGAUCGCAUGCUAAAUGAUGUCUAUUUCAUGGGUGAGUUACCUGACUUCCGCCUUAGGGCUAGACCGUGUGCCCCUCGCCGAGCAACAGCAGCAGCAUCCGCAGCAGCUUCCUCUUCGGAUGACGAGCUAGCUGAGCCAGCUGUCCCUCCUGCAGCAUCUUCUGCCUCUGAGGACCGCUUUUAGCAGCUCUUCGACAAGAUGGAUACACUCUCCUAGUAGCAGCAGCAGCUUCAAUCUGAUUUUGUGACUUUUCGGCAGCAGAUAUUAAAUCAGCAGAUGGAGUUACUUGCUGGACAGUGUCGCAUUCUUGGUCACCUUGGCUAUGAUCCUGGAAGUUCCUCUUCACCACCCCCAUCUUAAUUUUCUGCCCCUAUGAUUUUUGCACAAACAUUACUCAUUUCAUGUAGUUUGUUGUGGUACUUUUCGUUUUUUUGAUUGUUCUUGUGAUGCUUUUAUGAUGUUUUUAUUGGAUAUGUGAAUUUUAUUUAUGCAACGACCUGCCCCGACCUCCACAGGGCGAAUCUUACUGAUAGAUGCUUAAAAAUAUAAUAAUAAUAAAUAAUAAUAAUCCUUUUACAAUCCAUAAAAAUUAUAUCCUUGAAAAUACAAAUAUAAAACGCAAACUGCAGCGGAAGAAUUUAAAAUUCAUGCCAAACCAUCUAAUUCCUCCAUUCAAGUCCUUCUCGACGAUCAUCACGAAUCAAUCCUAAUUUACGAAAACUGAAUUACAAUAAACUAUAAUGAGUACGAAACUCAAUAAGUAAACUAGUUUUGCAUAUACCAAAAUACAUACAUACAUAUAGAUAGUGCAAAUGAAUGGCGUGCCAUGAUAUUCGAAAACAUCGUAAAAAAAAUAAUUGAAAUCUCAUUAUGUCUUUCUCAAACUUUCACAUUCUCUUUCAAACCACUUACUUGAGCUACCUUUAUUCGAUUACCGCUUAGUAGGACACUCCCUUAACUUUCAUAAUUUUCAUAACUUUCAUACUCUUUGUGCUUCUCGCCAAUGCGUCCUUCGCCCACUUAUCUCAUAACUAUAUAAACAUCUAGAGUGUCUUCCACUAAGCCAAUAACGAAUUCAAGCAUCCAAGCUAAAACUGUAAAACAAUCUUUCUUUCUACAAAUUCCAUUUGGCUAAAAUUCACUUUCUCAUUUUAUAGAAAACAUAAUGCAUUUCGUGCUCAUGCCAAUGAAAUAUUCACACAUACGUAUGCCCAUGUCCAUAAACACACAUAACAACACAUCAUAUCAAAAUAUCGUAUAAACACAUGGGCAGAGCAUAUAAAUCAAUAUCCGUACUUAUAUAAAAAUAGGCUUUCCAAACAUGUCAAACAUAUAUAUUGUUUAUUGUGAUUCGUUUGGAAAUCUAGUUUACUUACCUCCCGGUAUCCUUGAGUAACAAAUGCACAUCGAUAUCAUCGGCCUAAAAAUAAAUAAAAAUACUCUCAUAAGAAUAAAAUUAAACCAUAAUCAUAUACUCCAAUAUUCUCAAAUUCCUCAAUAUAAUCACAUUCCAUACUUCACCUCAAAUAAUCUUAAUUUAAAUCAUAAAUCAUCAAAAUACUGAUAAUUCUUAAAAUUUCAAAAUUACCUGCAAAUAUCAAAAUUACCAAAAUGCCCUUGAAUUCAAUAUUACCAAAAUACACUCAAAUAUCAAAAUUACCAAAUUAACCUCAAAAUCAUAAAUUACCAAGUUUAUCCUCAAUUUCAAAUAUUACUAAAAAACCCACAAAAUUUGAAAUUACAAAAUUGCCCUUAGAUUGUGAAAUUACCGAAAUACCCUUGCUGGUCAACGGUCACCAGAAUUCAACCGACGGCAACGGGAAGCUUAGAACUGAAAGUUCAAGCGACGCUGAGUCCAAUGGUGGCGGUGGUGACCUCCCACGCGCGGUGAUGGCUCCAGAUCGAGCUCCCGAAGUCGUGAAUCCUUCAACGGCUAAUCAAUGACAAAAUGACGUCCCCAACGUGAGUGGUUAGUCGGAAAUGGUCAAAGGAACAAAACCCAAGUGAUGCCUUCACUAGAAACCAGCGAAAUCAUGGUGAAUCGAGGCGGCGAUUCCGCGGAACUUCAAAGCUUCGAUCGGUGGCUUUUCGAUUGAUUUCUGGUGGCAAGGACUGCAUGGAUACAUUGCUCGUCUCUCAAGCUUCAAAUCGGUACCAACCUUGACCGGAAUGGUGGCCAGAAAUGGGAGAACCGGCUGAGUCGCACUCACGGGUCGGGUUGGAUCCGGUUCGGUUUCUCCUCUCUCUCUCAAUUUAUAAGGGUAGUCAACAGGGUCAAAAUCGGGUGUGGGGUAUUACAAUUUAUGAUUUCGUUGAUUUUGAUGACAUGUUUGGUUAUUGUUCAUGAUUAUAUUGAAUUUGUUGGAAUGGAGGUUGGUUGAUAAGUUGGAAAGUAUAUAUGGGAGUGUUUUAACUAUUUGUAUUGUUGAGGAUAUGUUCAUUUUUAUAGGGAGAUUCUGCCAAAAUGUUUCCAACAUGGGUACUCUCUGAACUUCUCAUUUUCACUCUUUUCGUGCUCAUUUCUUUUUUAUGAUUAAGGGGGGAGAUAAUUGAUCAAUUCAAUCUGUUCUGUUUAAAUUUUUUUUAUGAGAUUAAAAAUUGAUGAUAUAAUUUAUCAAUUCAAUCUGUUCUAUUUAAUUUCUUUUUAUGAGAUUAAAAAUUGAUGGGCACAUAUUUAGGGGAAGUUAAAUUCCUUAAAUAUUUUACUUAGGGGGAGCACAUAUUUAGGGGGAGCAGGAGCAAAAUUGCACAAAUAUUUUCUUGAAUAGUUUGUCAUGAUCAAAAAGGGGAAGAUUGCUAACAUAAAUAUUUCUUUAUUAUUGAUUUUGUUGAUAACAAAUUUAAUUAAGAUUGAUUAAUCUUUUGAAAGCUCAAAAUAAUUUUCAUGUACUUUUAAAUCAUCACUCUCACUUUAUAAAGACUUUAUAUUCUAUGGAAAUAUUUUUGGUUAUUCUCAUGUUAAUGGUUUCAAUUGAAAAAGAUUUGAGAAUUUUGAAAAUAAAAAAUAUUGUUUCAAAUCCUAUAAAUGGAUCUAUUUAACAAGUUUUAUAAAGUGUUGGGUCAUAGUAUAAUUUUCUAAAGUUUUGGGGUCAAACUAUUAUUUUACAAAAUAGUUCCCUGUAGCAAUUACUGUAGAAAAUGGCUAUCCGACAUCUUGAUAACUGCUCGCCGACAUCGAAUAGAACUAAAGAUUAGCCUCUGGACUAACGGCGAUCCGACAACUUGAUAACGGCUAACCGACGUUGCACAGAAUUGAAGAUUAGUCUCUGGACACUAACGACGAUCCGACAUCUAGAUAACGGCGAUCCAACAAUUUAAGAAUUCAGCCCAACGGUCAUGUUGACUAUUUAAAACGGUGAUUCGACUGUGUGCAGAAAGUCAAUAAUGGCUAGUUUUCAGCUCCAACAAUAAAUAUACUCAAUCAAAUUCAAACUAAAACGAUUCCAACAAUUAUUAUUGAGCAAAGUCUUGAGCAUACAACAUUCAUUGAGCCUUAAAUUCCUGUAUUCAUCUCAUUUACUCACACUUUGAGUCUUCAUUUGUAAUCAAACACAUAGUGUGAGAGAAAUUUAUUUUGUAACAUUCUUUAAAAUCAAAUUGGGUGAUUAUAAGUGUUAGGAUACACUUGGGUUAAGAGAUUGGGGAUAAUCUCUUGUUGUAAAGGUUUAUUGACACCUUAGAAGUCAAGUGUGAGCAUUUGAAGCCUUGGAGGCUUGCUUAGUGGAAUCCUCAAGCCCAGAAAGCUUGGAGGCGUGGACAUAGGCGAGGUUGGCCGAACCACAUAAAAAUCCUCAUGUUUGAAUCUCUCUUACCUUUAUCUUUUUAUAUUGUGAUAAAUUUAUUUGUUAUUGCUUUAAAUUCGUUUUAUAUUUGCAUGCUUUAAAAAUUGAAUAAUUUUUAGAAUUCCAAUUCACCCCCCUCUUGGGUUGCAUAACUAGAAUUUCACUAAACAUGGCCUCUAUUUAUAAAUAAACAUGUGCCCUCCAUUUGGAUUGUCAUUUUUCAUGAUACCCAUUCAUUUAUGGUCAUUGGAUCAAGAUUUGAUUUUAAUCAAUUGUCUAUAUUGGUCCAUCACCAUUUCAAAUGAAAUGACAAUAUGAAAUGAUACAUUCUUAAGUGGAAAGAUACCUUUUAUAUGGGACAAUUACUUGGACAUGUUUUUAUAAUAAAACAUCAUUUAUUUUAAAUUGUUACAGCACUAAGAUUAUUCUAGGUUAAGUUAAUCUAUUAUAUAUAACUUCAGAAGGUUCAUCGGUAGAUUGUUUUAAGUUUUUGUCGUAGUUUACAAAUAUUUUGUUACUUAUAAUGUAAGAAAUUUACAAAUGUUGGUGCUGAGUAAUCUGCAUAAUUAUUAUGAAUUAGAGAAACAGGGCAGAUGUUGUACAAUUAUUGUUGUGGUGGAGCGGAAAGUUAGCCCGAGACGGUGACGGCUAUUGGGAUUUCUUUAAUUUGCAGCAUAAAAGCAUUUACAUUGACAUCGACUCAAGGGUAAAAAUUAAAUAUCUCAUGUAGCAUAAGAAGAAUGCAAAAAUGCUUGAAUGAGCAUUCUGACUGAAUACACAAAAGCUACUUUCCCUUGAGCACUUUCGCAACAAAAGCAAAUGUAAAAUUUAGCAUUUAAAUCUAACAUCAAAUGGCUGAUGCCAUCGUUUCCAUCCCUUGGGGGAACUGAAUUCCUCUACCUGACAUUACAGUUUGGAGCGGCUCUUACCUCAGGCAACUUAGGAUAAUUUAGGUGGUUGUUCAGGACCCCACAUUUAACCUAGGACCCCAUUAUAAAUGAAGGUUUCUAAUUUAAUUCCUAAAUUAUAGUUAUUAAUUAUUGAUUUAUAUUUAUUAUUUAUAACUAUAUUUUCCAUAAACAAACUACUAGAUUCUUACAAAAUCCCCUUUUAACAAUAUAAUUAACAAUUAUAAUCCAUUUAUUUCCUCCAUUUAUUUCAUUUAAAACUCUAUAAAGGCCACACCUUUUUUAAAUUAUUAUCCAUUAAUAUCUUUUUCCAAUAAAAAAAAACACAAAACCUUCAUUGCUUUGGUGAAAAAACUACUUUCUCUACCUUACUUUUUGCAUAAGAAAGAAAAGAAAAUUAAUUGUUUUACUUUCUUUUGAUCAUUGUUGCUCAAAGCCUCAAUCCAUCAAAGUUAAAUUUCUUAAAUUUUCAGGUUUUAUCUUCCAAUUCUCUUAUUAUUUUUACAAAGAAACAAAAACACCUAAAUAACACAAUUAAUUAAAUUUCUUAAAUUUUCAGGUUUUAUCUUCCAAUUCUCUUAUUAAUUAAUUGUGUUAUUUAGGUGUUUUUGUUUCUUUGUAAAAAUAUUAUUCUGCUCAUAGGUUGUUCGCUUUUAAUUAUCUAGCAUAAUUGUUUGCAUGAUUACUCUUGUUUCCUUAGAAAAAAAAAAAAUGUCUACUAAAAACUAUGCAUCAUGAUACAAAAAACUUCAUAAAAGGAGAAGAAUAGAAAAGUUAGCUUAAUCUAAAAACGUGCUAUUGAUAAAAAAUUAUUUAAGAUCAACCAUGUCAUAGGAAAGAUUAAAUAGGUUAACUAUAUUAUCUAUUGAGAAAGAUAUAUUAGCAAAAUUAGAAUAUAAAAAGUUGAUUAAUAAUUUUGCAUCUCAGAAAGGUAGAGAAAUUUAUUUUAAAUAAAUAAAGCUUUAAUAAAAUUAAUACACAUAUUUCAUCUCAAAUUUUUUAGAAGGUCUAAUUAAAUCAAUUUAUUUAAGACCUAAAAUAUGAUUGAGCCGCCUUGAAAUUGCAGUAAGAUAGAAAAGUGAAAUAGACAGAACACUCGCUCAUACGUAAAGAUGCGACGAAUUUGAGAAUAUUUAUUAUUAUGUGCCAAAUUCCUAAUGUGUAGGAAUUUAAAAAUGUUAGUGCAGAACAUGUGUUUAUCGGUGGAGUAGAAUCAGGGAAAUUAAAGAUAAGCAUAAUUUUUGCAUCCAAUGCCAAAUUCCCCCAGGUAGAGAGUGGGGACUCCUUUGCAUAAAAGUUGUUAAAAGUUUAUUGUUAACAAUAAAAAUAACAUGCAGAUAUAGUAUUUUAGGUUAUUGUUAAUAGUUUUACAAUAAUAAAAAUCAUUUUGUUAGAUCGUAAAAUGUAGUACUCACACUCUAUUUUGUGCAAAAGUCUGCGAGAAAGGAUUUUAGAUUUACCUAACGGUGAAGUUGGGAACUUGCUUUUUUACCUAGGCUAAAGUUAUUUCAAUAAAUUCUGAUCGUGGAGACUACCAAGAGUUUUCUUUAGUCAUAUAUAUUUAUUUUUUAGGGACUAAUAUGAAUAUUCCUAAUUUUAUCCAUUAUUAAAAAAACAAUGUGCUAAUUUACCAAUAUGAUUUCUCCAAUCUUUUUUCUUUUCGUCAUUUAUUCCUUUGUGAAUUUGAGUUAAUGCUUGAUAUUAUUUUUGUGCUCACUUUUUAAAGUAGAAGAUUAUGAAAAAGUGAACACACAAAAAGCAUAAAAAUCAUUAUUAGAUCCAAAUUUGUGCUAUUUCAUACAUAACUUGAGAAUAUUUAUAAUUACGCAUGAAAACUAGUGGAGUAGAAUCAGGGAAAUUAAACGUUCUACAAUCAUUGACGUGUGGGGUGGGGAUAAGCAUAAGCUUUUUCUAUGCAGUAUAAAAGAAUGCAAUAACUCCUUUUCUUUCAGUAUCAUCGCAACAAAAGCACAUCUAAUAACUCUUCAGAAUUCUCGUCUUCUUUGUCAGAAUGGUUGAUGCGAUCGUUUCCUCCCUCCUGGAGCAGCUGAUCUCUGUUGCGGCUGAUGAAGUGAAACAACAGGUGAGGCUUGUGACUGGUGUCCGAGAAGAAGUGAAAAAGCUUACCAGCAAUCUUCAAGCCAUUCGAGCUGUGCUGGACGAUGCCGAGCAAAGGCAAAUGCAGCAAGACAAAGCUGUUACUUUUUGGCUGGAUCAGCUCAAAGACGCGUCCUACGACAUGGAAGAUGUGUUGGACGAGUGGGUCUUUGCAAGGCUCAAAUUGCAAAUUAAGGGCGUUGAUGAUGACAAUGCUUUUUCCCUUGCUCCUCACAAGAAGAAGGUACGUUCCUUCUUUCCUGCUGUAUCAAACUGCUUUGGUAGUUUCAAACAACUCAGUCUUCGUCAUGACAUUGCUGUCAAGAUUAGGGAAAUCAAUGAAAAGCUAGAUGAUAUUGCCUCCCAAAAAGAUAGGUUUAAAUUUGUUGAGAAUGUGAGUAACCGUGUUAAAAAACCGAAACAAGCGCCAACCACCUCCUUGAUUGAUGAGGGAGAGGUCUGUGGUAGAGUUGACGAGAAAAACGAGCUCUUAAGCAAGUUGUUGUUUGAAAGUAGUGAACAACAAAAAGGCCUUCAUGUCAUCUCACUAGUUGGGUUAGGGGGCGUAGGUAAAACCACUCUUGCACCACUGGCCUAUAAUAAUGAUGAGGUGAAAAGAAAUUUUGAAAAAGUUAUAUGGGUGUGUGUAUCACACACUUUUGAGGAGAUUAGGGUUGCCAAUGUAAUCAUUGAAGGUCUAGGUGAGUCAGCUUCUAGUUUAAGCGAAUUCCAAUCUCUUCUAAGCCAUAUCCAUGGAUCAAUUGUAGGAAAAAUUUUUUUUCUUGUCUUAGAUGAUGUAUGGGAUGGGGAUUAUAAUAAAUGGGAACCAUUCUUCCAUUGUCUAAAGCAUGGUCUCCACAGAAGUAAAAUUUUGGUUACCACACGUAAUGAGUCAGUUGCACGUAUGAUGGGAUCAACAAAUAUUAUCUUCAUUGAGCAAUUGAUUGAAGAGGAAUGUUGGUUGUUGUUCAAGCAGUUAGCAUUUUCCGGUCGCUCUUUCGAGGAUUGUGAAAAAUUAGAACCAAUCGGGCGAAAAAUUGCACGCAAGUGCAAAGGCUUGCCUCUUGCUGCAAAGGUAACAGGGAAUCUCUUAUGCUCUAAAGUACAAUAAAAGAGUGGCAAAAAAUUUUAGAUAGUGAAAUGUGGAAAGUAGAAGAGAUUGGGCAAGGCCUUUUUGCUCCAUUGUUGUUGAGUUAUAAUGAUUUGCCCUCCAAGUCUAUGGUAAAACGAUGUUUUUCAUAUUGUUCUGUCUUUCCGAAAGACUACAAUAUAAAAAAAAGAACUAAUUUCACUAUGGAUGGUUCAAGGUUACCUUAAUGCAGAAGAAGACGAAGAGAUGGAGAUGACUGGGGAAGAGUAUUUCAACAUUUUAGCAGCAUGCUCUUUCUUUCAAGAGUUUAAAAAAGAUGAUGAUGAUGAUGAUGAUGAUAUUAUGAGCUGCAAGAUGCAUGACAUAGUACAUGAUUUUGCCCAAUUUGUAAGUAGAAAAGAAUGUUUGUGGGUAGAAAUUAAUGGUACCAAGGAAUCAGUCAUAAACUCUUUUGGUGAUAAAGUCCAUCACUUAGGGUUAAAUUUUGAAGGAGGAGCUUCAUUUCCUAUGUCCAUUCAUGGACUUAAUAGAUUGCGGACCCUCCUAAUUUAUUUCCAAAGUCGUUCCAAUCCGUCUCUUAAUAGUAGCAUCCUUUCGGAGUUAUUUAGUAAAUUGGCAUGUUUAAGGGCAUUAGUUAUAGGGCAACAGAACUUUAUAUUUGAUCCUUACCCAAAUUUGAUUAGAGAAAUUCCAGAAAAUGUCGGAAAAUUGAUACAUUUAAAAUAUCUUAAUUUUUCUGAAUUAUGUAUAGAGAAACUGCCUGAGACUUUGUGUGAAUUAUAUAAUUUACAAAAGCUAGAUAUUAGGUGGUGCGAAGAUCUUAGAGAAUUGCCGGCGGGGAUUGGGAAGUUAAAGAACAUGAGGAGUUUACUAAAUGGUGGCACUCCUUCGCUGAAGUACAUGCCAAUAGGGAUUUCCAAAUUAACCAGUCUUCGAACGUUAGAAAAGUUUGCUGUGGGCGGAGGUGUUAAUGAUAUCAGUACGUGUAGGCUUGAAUCUCUAAAAAAUCUUCAACUCCUUCGAGAAUGUGGAAUAGAAGGACUGAGUAAUGUGUCACAUUUAGAUGAGGCUGAGAGAUUAGGACAUCACAAUAUGAAAAACCUCCUUCGUUUAUCUUUUGAGUUUGACGAGGAAGGUGAAGAAGGGAGGAGGAAGAAUCAACAACUUCUGGAAGCCUUACAACCGCCUUUGAAUGCAAAAGAAUUAGGGAUUGUGUCCUACGGAGGCAACAUAUUUCCCAAAUGGUUGACUUCACUAACCAAUCUAAGGGAUUUAAGACUUAAAUCGUGCGUUAUCUGUGAGCAUUUUCCUCCCUUGGGAAAAUUGCCGCUGGAAAAACUCACCCUUUACGGCCUGUAUGGUGUGAAAAGAGUGGGUAAUGAGUUUUUGGGAAUCGAAGGAACCAGUGAGGAUGACCCAUCUUCAUCUUCAUCAUCAUCAUCAGUCAUUGCCUUCCCCAAAUUGAAAUCACUCCACGUUGGGGCAAUGGAAGAAUUGGAAGAGUGGAAUUAUAGGAUUACAAGAAAGGAAAACAUCUCCAUCAUGCCGCGUCUUUCUUCCUUGACGAUUUGGCAUUGCCCCAGAUUAAGGGUGCUGCCGGAUUACCUUUUUCAAUCGACGACACUGCAGAAAUUGAGUAUUUCUUAUUGUCCAAUUAUGGAAGAACUGCCCAUUCUAGAAAGACAUACCACGUCUUUCUUCCUUGGAAAUUGAGUAUUGCCCCAAAUUAAAGGUGCUGCCGGAUUACCUUCUUCGGACGACGACGCUGCAGCAAUUGAGUAUUCAGGGAUGUCCUCUUCUGGAAAACCGUUAUAGAGAGGGGAAAGGAGAAGACUGGCAUAGGAUAUCUCACAUUCCCCACAUCGAGUGGUAAAUUCAAACAACGACACUGCAGACAUUGACAAUUUGGGGUUACAGAGAAGGGGAAGGAGAAGACAGGCAUAAGAUAUCUCACCUUCCCCACAUCAUGCGAUCGGCGUAAGAUAUCACUCGCCGGUAAUUUCUCCUCCUCCACUGAUUUACUCUGUUGUUGCUUGCAAUAAAAUUAAUAAAAAUAAUCAUAUUUUGAAUUAAAAUUCUAUAUAUUGCCCAAUGUCUAACAGGAAUAUACAAUAUUUUCUAAUAUUUUGAUUUGCGUAUUGAAUUUAACUAUUUACUUCCACCAUUAAUUUAAUGGGUCACUUUAUGAUGCUAUUAUAAAAAUUACAGAAUCAAUCAUAGUAUAAAUAUGUAGUGUUAAAUUUAAUCAAUUGGUCAUAAAGGUUAGUUAGGAUAAUAUUUUAAUUUCAAUUAUUUAAAAUUUAAACUUCCUAGUCAUCAAAUUUGUUAAACUUGUUUUCUAAAGCUAAAAUAAUAAUAAAAUAAAAAACAAGUGCAGUCUGUUGAAAUUUCUAUAAUUUCUUUUAAAAAAUAUGUAGUCUUUUGUAAAAUUUCAUACAACAUCAUAGAAAAUCCUAACGUAUUUUAUUUUUUAAUGCACAAAAAUUUGUUGUGUAACUUCCUGAGAGACAAAAUCUCUGUGAUACAUUUGCAGUAAUGUUGAAAACUAAAUUAUCAAUGUUAUCUUGUAUAAUGAUAAUCGUGUUUUUUUAUACAUAAUUUAUGUGACAUUAAUUCUUUAAAGUAAUUGUGUGAUUGUUUUUAGUAGUACAUGAGCCCACUUUGUUUUAUUUCAUACGAGUUUAAUUAUGUUCACCAGUGAUUCGAGGAAAUGUCAGAACUACACUAGCAAUUCGCAGGUCCACGCUAAUUUGGUUCUAAUGAUGCACGCAGGAGAGCAAGAUUAUGAAAAUGAAUAGUUUAGCCAAAGGGUUGUGUUAGAGUGCAAUUUAUGCACUAGUUUUGCAUUGUUUACUUCCCUUAAUAUCGAUGUUUUGCAUUUAAUAAUAGUGAUUUACUUGUGUUUUACUUUUGUAGGUGCAAUUCUAUUGAUUGGUGAUAAAAUUGAGCUAUAAGAUGAUGUUUAAGGAUGAUUGUUCUCUUGAAGAAAUUAUGAGCGGCAGAAGAACUUUGUUGAUAAGGCGUGGGCGCGUGCUGUCAACUGCGGACCUGCAGUUUUUAGUUUAACGUGUUUUGUAUUUUUGGCUAUUUUUUUAAUUACGAAUUUAAUAUUUCAAAUAUUAGUAUUUUAUUUUAAAUAGAACUCUAAAAGAGAAGAGAGAGAGAGUAUUUAAGGGAGGAAUCUAUUGUGAAAAAGGGGGAUUUGGAUUGGAGAAAAAGAAAGAAACCCUAAAUCUAAUUUUUCUCUUCUCUCUAUGAAGAACUAAACCUAUUUUUCUGGUUGAAGGAUAAUGAAGCUUUGAUUCAUCACUACUGUGAGAUCUUUCUUGUGCUUUAAUUGUUUUAUUGCUUUUUGGGUAUUUGUUUAUUCUCUGAAUUAUUUUCAUGAUUAUGUUUGUUAAUUAGGUAAUUGGCCACUAUUUAAUUAUCAACUUAAUCUAUUGUCAAUUAAAGGAUUCAUCGUAUGAAGAAUUUAAUGUUUGUGACAAAUAACAUAGCAGAGAGUUGUGUUAUGAGAAUAAACAAUCUAAUUUAAAUGAAUCAUCAUAUGUGUUGAUUAUGAUUUGGGUCUCUCUGGUUUUUCAGGCUGUCAAUUGAUUAAAUCCUAUGAUCGUAUCUAGGGUUGUCUAUUGAUUAGGGAAAUAACCAACGGUCGUACCUUGGUUAUCGACUAGUUAAGGAGAGAUUGGCUAUUAGAGGGUCUCAGUAGCUAUAACCGGUCUAUUCAUAAGUAAUAAUAAUCUAUAUUUGAAUCAAUGAUCAGUAGUCGAAUCAAGCUGAGUUAAUUCCUUCAACCAGAGCUUUCUCCAAUUUGAAUCACAACUUUAAUUUACAUUCUCGUUAUUUUAAUUUGAUUUUUAUUAUUGUCAACAAUUCCCCCAUUUUACGUUUUACGUUUCAAAAGGUUUUAAAUAAUUACCGAUCUCUGUGGACACGACCCUGCUCAAUCACUAUACACAAUUUAUUUAGAGUAGGAAUUUAUUUUUGUUGGCUUCGACACCCAUCAGGUUGCCAAAAUGUUUUGCUGGUAAUUCACUUGCUUUUUUUUUUUUAUAGAAUUUCAUUUCCAUCUUCUUCUAUUGAUAUCUUGUUGUGAAUAAACAAGAAUAGAGAAGUAAAUAUAUAUAUAUAUAUAUAUAUAUAUAUAUAAAUUCCCUAUUAUGAUGAUGUUAAAGCAAGCUCAUGCUCAAGCAUUGCAUUUUUAUUUUAUUUAAUUUAUAGAAUUUUCAUUUCUACCUGCAUUGCAUUUUUAUUUCAUUUUCAGGUUGACUUUGAAAACUCUAUGGAGGACAUUAGGGUAACCAAGGAUUAUCACUGUGGUUAUUGAGCAACGUUUGGUUGCUGGACUUUGAAGAAGGAAGUGAUGGCCGGGUCUGCUCUGUUUCAAUUGAGGAUGGAUAGCUGCCUGAAAGACAUGAUGAUUAUUAUUGCAUGAUGUUAAGGUGCUAAGAUCAUCAUUUCUAUCUUGUUUCAUUCUUUGAUCGGUUUAUCCUAUAUAAACAUAUGGAAUUCUGCUAAUAUUAUCAAAUUUUUCACCUAAUUUUCACUGUUGUUGUGAAAACAAUUUCAGGCUCUCAAAAGCUACAAAGCAAAGCAUUUGUGGGUUGAUCAUAUGUUUCAAUUGAGGAAGGAGCUUGGUGUUGGCAAUAUUGUCCAGGUAACCACAGCUGAUAAUUUCCACAAAUUUGCAUUGUCAGAAUACACUUUAAUGUUCAUUGUGUUCCUCUGUGUUAUCAGGUUAUCGUGGUAUGUAAAGUAUCAUCUUUAAGGAUUCGUAAGAGACUUCGCAGUAAACUUAGUUGUCACCAUCUCCUGCAAUUGCUCAUUCAUUCAAGAGUACUUCAAAAUUAGAUUCUCAACGUUUGAAUGUUUAGUUGCAAUCAAAAUGUUUAGUCACUCAUUCGUAAUCUUUUCCGAUUUUCAAGUUCUUUAGGGCCAUAAACAGUUUUCCAACUCAUUCUUAAUUUUUAGGUUGAUUUCGAGUACCCUGUUAAGGACAUUCCUGAGACCAAGGAUUAGGCUGGCGAAGGAACUACUACCUCUGUUGUUAUUGUGCAAGGUUUGAUCAUUGGACCUUGAAUAAGAAUCCCUUACACACAUUCUGUACUUCAAGCAUUCUCUAAAGGAAAAGAGCAGUAGAAGGGAUAGUGAUGGCCGGAUCCGCUCUAUUUUAGUUCAAGAUCUCUGUGAUGUCGAUGAACUUAAAGCAGUUGAUACUUCUUGAAAAUUGUUGUUACGGAUGAAUUGAUUCCUGAAGAUGGGUAUCCAUCCAAAGGCAUAUUUUCAUAAACUUCCUUCUUUUAACAAAUGCUCCAAUGCUUGCUGUAGUAACAAUUUCGUAGAUUGCAUCUCUCGGGUGCAUCAUGUUCAUGGGUUGGAAAAAGCACUUGUGGUAAAGCUUCAAAGCUUGUAAAAUGGCUGUGAAAAGGCACAUUCAAUUCGGUAUGCUUUGGUGCGGUCUCCUAAUGCUAAUAUUAUGUUUCAAUGCUGGCCGUAGUAACAAUUUCAUAUCUUGCAUCUGUUGGGUGCAUCAUGUUCAAGGGUUUGAAAAGCAUUUGUGGUAACGCUUUAAAGCUUGUACAAUGGCUGUGAAAAGGCACAUUCAAUUAGGUACUUUUUGGUGCGGUCUCCCAAUGCUAAUAUCAUAUUUUGUAUAGCAAUUAAAAUUUAGCUAUACAAUCUUAAUAUGCAAUAAAUCAUUGUAUACAAAGUUUUCUAUUGAUUAUAUGGUGACUGAAAUUUUAAUUAUCAUAUCAAUUUAAAUUUUUUUGUAACUCUCUUUUACUUUGCUUGUACAGAGUACCUGUUUUGGCUGAUAUGUCUAAUUCGUAGAAAUUCAUUUACAUCGGUUUCCAUUGGCUUUAGCACAAACAGAAACAGAGCUCUGGGGAAAAGUUUUACUUCUUGUGGUAUUAUGCCUUUGUUUCUUCAUUCAUCAUAUUUUUCGAAUUCAUGCUCUCAUUCAGAGGGUAAAGCCUUUUCCAGGCUGCUUUGUAGCCAAACUUUGACGCCUUUGAUGCAUGACUGUCAUUUAGAUUUCCCAAAUAACUGUUAGAUUGGAGAAGAAUAAAAAGAUACUGUUAAAAGGGUAUUUAAUUAGCGCCCUCUGAAUUUCUUGGAGUUAAUGUAGUCAAUUGCCCAAUUUUGCUGCCUGUCGAAGAUACACUGCAUGGAAGUCCUCAUCAAACUCUGAGACACCUAAUAAAUAGUAGGAUAGUAGGAGGGGGUGGUAUUCGCCUGGUGUUAAUUUCCUGGCAAGUAUAGUUCACAGAUAGAGGGGUUCUUUUCUUGAUGUCUAAAUACCUUAUGAGAUACAACAUCGUGUAUUCCAAUUUUUCUCUAGUUAAAUUUUAAUAAGUUAGAAAAGUUAAUUUUGUUUUAGCAAUGAAUUGUUUUCUUAAUAAUAAUAAUUGCCAUGUUCCUCUAAAGUCUUAUUAAUGCCAGACCAACAACUACUAGGUUCAUCUCUCGUUCACUUCCUCAGGGAAUCUCGAGGGCAUUCAUUGGCAGGUAGCCUUUCUUGUUGAGCUCCUGGAAUUACUUUUAAUUUAUCAUUUGUUGGGUUUUGCUUUUUGAUUGCUUUGGGAUUUGUGUUAUUAUCGCUUUGUCGCUCAUUAAUCUUGGCUGUUUUGAAUCUGUGUUGGAUUUAGAAGUUUGGAGUUGAAAACAGUUAAAGCUUAGACUAGUAGAAGAGAUUUAUACAUUCAUUUAUCUUGGACAAAGUUUUUGGGGAUAAAAAAAAAUUAUAAGUAUACACUUUCCAAUGGUUCGGUGAUGUUUGAUUGGUUUAAAGAUGUUGGAUAUCUCAUCAGAUUUCUUAUGUAUUGACUGCUGUUGCCACAGGAUGCUCGCAGAUCCUGCUUUUUUGUAUAAACUUCUACUAGAGCAGGUUGCCACAAUUGGUUGCACUGUUUUGUGGGAGUUGGAGAAUCAUAAGGAGAGGUGUGUUUUUUCUCUCAUAACAAAGGAACUCUUCCCUUCCUUUUUAUUUUCAUCUUACAUAUUAAGCUAAUAAAUGGGAUGGGAUAAAGCAAGAAUGGGAUCAGCUUGGUUUUGGUGCUUUCCUUGGACUAUAUGCAAACAUGAGAUAUCAGCUAUUGUGUGGAUUUGAUAGAGCGGUCUUCAACCAUUUUGAUGUUACCAGGUUAUCUCUCCCUCUCCCUCUUCUGCGUAUUUGUUUAUUGAUCUACACCUCUAUAUACAUUGAUAGACUAUUCUGGACGUACCAAAUUACCCUUGUUUUAAUGUUUUGUUUGUUAAACUUUGACUGGGGAAUCUGUUUAUUUGUCUGAUAAGAGGUUAGUGUGGUUUCUAUUGAAGUGUGCAGAUCUAUCACCAAGUAUUAUUUCAAUUUUUCUUGACUUAAUCAACUUGCAUCAUUUCCAAGUCCAGAUCCUUAACAAUAGUGCGACAUCGCUACAAAAGUACAAUUUCUCUAUUUUGACAGUUAAAUACAUAAGAAUGGUUUUAAAUUAACUGAACUCUGAGAUAGUUCUCUAAGGAAAUACAAGUGGUGAAUACAGUUCCAACUUUUAAGUGCCUUAAUAUCUCCAUUUGUUCAGCCCUGUGCAUAAAAAAUCAGUAAUUGCCGUCCAAAUUCUUCUUUACUGCCUAUAUGUGUUGGACUUUGUCUAUUCUUCAACUUCUCAAAUGGAUUUUUUGAAUGUCCAAUUAGGAGAAAGAUCAAGGCUUGCUUGGCUAGGAGUGGAAGCGGAUCCGCUACUUCAAUCAUAUGACCUUUUGAAGAAGGCUUACAACGGGCGGCUCAGGAUGUCAAUCGCUCAACUCAAAAGUCCCCAAGGUGGUUGAUAUCAAAGAAUGCCAUUGUCUCUGGGCUUGGGCUCCUUGGCAUCAAACAAGGGAAUGUCGACUCUGUUGAAGGGGAAGCAAGGGCCCCUAAAAUGCGAAGAAAGAGGAUAGUCCGGAAGAAGGUGACCGCAUAAACUUUUUGGGAGUUAAUAGCCCAAUUUUGCUGCCUGUCGAAGAGAUACAACUCAGAAGUCCUCAUCAAACUCUUUGAGACAUCUAAGAACUAGGAGGGAGGUGGUGGUAUUCACACGUGUUUCCUGGCAAGUGUAGUUCCUGAUAGAGGGAUUCUUUUCUUGAUGUCUAAAUACUAUAUGUGAUACAACGUCGUAUAUUCCAAUUUUUCUCUAGUUAAAUUCUAGUAAGUUAGAAAAGUUAAUUUUGUUCUAGCGAUGAAUUGUUUUCUUAAUAAUAAUAAUAAUAAUGGCCUGUUGUUUUGGAAUCUUAUUCACUCUCUGUAACCUAGUUAAAUUGUGCAAAGUCUACUACAGAUUUGUCAAAAUGAGUGUCUUUGUGAUUGUUUUGAUACACUUUUGAUGGCAAGUUCAAGUUUGAAUCAUCUUGUAAUGCCAAAAAACCAUAGCAAUUAGUUACUAAAUCGUACUCGAGUUUUUGUUUGACUUUUAACUACGAGAUCAGCGUUUAGUAUUAGCUGUAGUUAUAAUAUAAACGUUAAUUAUGAAACUCUUACCAAAUUUUAGUUGUACUUUCUAGCCCGAUUGUAGAAAUCCAUACAAGAUGUUACUCAAUUUUACUUAAUCUUACUCGUCUUUGAUUUGUAAAUUUUAUGCCUAAAUUUUUGUCAACAAAUUGCUCCCAGUUCCAAGGUUCUUCAGCUUGGGUGAUCCCAGCAAAACCAUUACGUCCAUUCAAAAGGGUUCCACGUUGAGUGCACGAGAUCCACAAGUUUGAUUGGACAGAAAUAGCUAAAAAAAACUAAUGAAACCCACGUCCAAAGAUGCCGUUGUCGCGGAGGCCUAGACACGACUCCCCAUCCUCUUUUACCAUAUUUUAUAAUUGAAGAGGCCAUUAUUGAAUUGAAAAAUUAUGAUUCAACCAUUGGAAACCAACUUGGAGUUUUAAGUUGAUAUGAGAAAAGAUUUUUUCAUCAUCAUCAUUAUUAUUAGGGAAAAUAUCCACCGUCCACCUGUUUUUUCCAACUUUAUAAAAAAUACACAAUUUUUUUUUUUUGGCUGGAAUCCAUCUAAACUUACGUUUUGUUUCACUUCUCCACUUCUGUUUGCUGCCCGUUAUAACGUAACUGAUGUCGUAGGGGUAAAUCAGUCAUUUCAGCAUAGCAGCCAAAAACGACGUCGUUUACAACUUUAAUUGGACAAAAAAAAAAGAAAAGAUAAAGUGGUCCAGAGAAGCAAACGAGAACAGCCAUGUUUAUUCACGAGUGACCCACCACCACCCUGCAUGAAGAACCAACAAAUUCCCACCAUUCUUUCUGCAGUUUCCAUCGAUUUUCAUCAACAAACAACGCUUGAGUAUCAAAACUUUUGUUAAGUCAAAGAUUCAGAGGUAUUGAGGGAAGCUGUGAGCGGUUUAGAAAUCUCGACACUUAGGUUUUCUGGGGUUUGAAUCUAGUAUCAAGUAAGUUUAGUUUUAUUUAUUAAUUUUCAUUUAUUUUUCGUAUGAUAUAAUGUUAUUUAAGAUUUGUAUCGAGAACGUUGUUAAUCGUUGUUUCUUGAAACCCUAGAAUACAUAUUAAGUUGAUUUAUAGUAAACUGAGUCCGUUUUUUUAUGGUAAUGAUAAAUUGAGAAGUAAUAUGUUGUUUUAAGGCUGGUGAGAAGCACAUGUAUGAAAGAUUGCUGCUAGCAUGGUUGAAUGCAUGUUUAUCCCCUGCAUACUCAUGUACUUGUGCACGUGGUUUACAAAAUUUGGGGUUUUUGAAAAUUUGUAGUUGCUACACUAUGGGUCGUGAUUUUUAGAAAUUUUUUAUCUAUAUGCCCUAGCCCCCCUGGUGAAGGUUCGGCAUAUGCAUGUGAAAUUUGAAUCUCUCAAAGAUUAUAAUUUUUAAUCUGACAAAGUCCUCCAGGAUGUUUGUUCCUUUGGUGAAUCUAAUCGUUUGUUUUGGACAUUCAGGAUGCCACCUCUAGAGUUAGUGAUAUUCUUUCGAGGCACGAAGAAGAAUUUAGGGUUGCUUGAACCUGACUGUACUGUUGCGAAGAUAAAAGAGACUGCCGUAAACAUUACGAGUCCAUAUGGAUUAGACUCCACUUCAAAAAUUAUGUUGAAUGCCACGAACCCGGAGAAUAAGAUGAAAGUUGCACUGGAUUCGGAAUUUGCACUCGAAUUUUUGCGUAAAAUUCAUCACAUUGUGGGUGUCAGUACUUUAACUGUUGAAGUUGUACCAGUUCUUCACCCUCAGCAACAUGAGUACAAAGUAGGUGCCGAUGGGAAACAUAGGCUUAAAUUAGGGCAUGUAUUUAGAGAUGUUGGUCAUUUUAGGGAGAUAUUGCAUGAGGUAAUGAUUAGAAAAAGGUUUGCCAUUAAAACAAUAUAUAGUGAGCCAAGACGAUUCGUAGGUACUUGUAAAGAAGCUAACUGUCCAUGGUACGUGUCUGGUACAAAGCUGAAUGAUGGGACUGGUUUUAUAUUGCGAGAAUACAACAAAAACCACGAGUGUAGGCUUACUAACAAGACAGUGAAAGUUACAUCUGCUUGGGUUGCUUCUAAAAUAAAGGGUCAGGUUGCUGUUGACCCUAAUGUCAAGAUUGAUAUUCUGAAGAAUCAUGUGCAAGAGACGUAUGGUUUAAAGAUUGGGAAGCUGACACUGUAUAGGGCUAGAGCAAAGGCAAGACUUGAGGUAUUGGGGGAUCAUUCAAGGGGAUAUCAGAAAUUAUUUGACUAUGUUGCUGCCAUUCACAAGGCUGAUCCAGGAGCAAUAUGCAAGGUGUUAUGUGAUGCUAUUUCUAUUCCUAAUAAGGUAUUAUUCCAGAGGUUUUUUGUUGCCUUUCCAGCACAAAAAAAAUGCAUAUCUUAACGGUUGUAGACCUUUUAUUGGAGUAGAUGGAUGUCACUUAAAAGGUAAGUACGGUGGAGUGUUGUUAGCUGCUGUUGGCAUAGAUGGUAAUAAUGGGAUUGUCCCUUUAGCGCUAUGUGUUUGUGAGAUUGAGAAUACAGAGACAUGGGGAUGGUUUAUGGAGAACUUGAAUAAUUAUUUGGAUGAUGGAAGGCAGGUCACUUUCAUUAGUGAUAGACAAAGGGGUUGAUUAAUGCAAUUUCAACCACUUGGCCUACUGCCUAUCAUAGGGCGUGUUCUUGGCAUGUUUAUGCUAAUUUUUCCAAGUCGUUUGCUGGUGCACAGUUGAAACAAUUAUUUUGGAAAGCUGCCAAGAGCAGUAACAAGCAUGAUUUUGACGAGGCAAUGGCAGAGAUCAAGGCUGAAAAAGAAGCUGCAUUUGAGUGGUUGGAACGAGAACUAUAUAGUUAUAAUUGGUCGAUGCCCACAUAUGACAGAAAUUGCAUGGUAGAUCGUACCGAUAACAAUGCAUCGGAGUGCUUCAACAGCUGGAUAUUAGCUUACCGAGACAAACCUUGCUUGACAAUGCUUGAAGAAAUAAGAUGUAGACUUAUGAAACGGUUUACAAAACGAAGAAAUGAAGCAGCCACUUGGAAAAAACAGCUGACUCCUAAGGUUUUGAAAGACUUGGACAAAAAAAAUAAGAUUGCACAGAAGAUGAUUGUACAAGCUUCUGGUGAUCUUAAUUUUCAAGUCAUGGAUAGAGGCUAUAAUCCACCUAAGAGGUUUGUUGUGAAGUUAGAAUCUAGAACAUGUGAUUGCGGUUAUUGGGAAAUUGCUGGCCUCCCUUGUCAACAUGCUAUGGCUGCCAUGGGAUAUGCAAGACAUCAAGUUCAGGAAUAUGUUCCAACUUGCUUUAGCAGACAAGCUUACCUUAGCACUUAUUCAGUGAUGUUCAGCCCCCUUCCAGAUUAGUGUACAUGGAAGCCUACAGGAAGGCCGUUGAUUGACCCACCAAUUGUUGAAAGAAAGAUUGGAAGGCCCAAAAAAUCCAGAAAAAGAGCAGCAAAUAAGCCUCAGAAAUUAAGAGAAAAGAAAAUUCUUUGUCAUUUGCUCAUUUUGUGGUGGUUCUAAUCACAAUGUGAGAAGCUGUCUGUUGACGCCAUCUGUUGCAAGGUCAAAUAGAGCGAGGAACAAUAAUUUUCAGGUAUAUUUAAUAUACUAUUAUUAUUUAUUAUGUUUAUCAUUAUUUAUUAUGUUUAAUAUAUUUAUACUGUUGUUAUGUUUACUAUCAUAAUGGUUUGUAGGCAUCAACAACAUCAAGCCAGCCAUUAAAUGCUUCACAGCAGGCAAGAUUGAGAAGAAAACAGGUGCUGCUAGCAGUUCGUUUGUGCCUUCAUAGUUUGUUUUAUGUGUAAUAUAAAAUUCAUUUACAAAUCAACAUAUUUUAUAGGCAGCAGUAGCAAAGUCAAUUGGUUCAGGCCAGCCAGUAGCUACUGCAUCUGAAACAGCAAGAAAGGUGUUAUCUUGGUUCAAUAUUUGUAUAUUUUUGUAUUUUUUGUUCAAGUUCUUAAACUAACAUAAUAUAUAAUUUAGAUACCUAGUGGCCCAGGUCAAAGUUCGAAUGCUGGAACAAAGAAAAGAAGGGCUCUUCGAGGUGCUGGAACAAGGGAAAGACAAUCAAGUCCAAGACUGAACCAAUCCCAAAAUUCAUCUCAAGCUUCAAUUAUCACAGGUUCUUUGUAAUGGAACAAACUAAACUUGUUUAAACAAACUAAACUUGUUAACUUGCCAUUUUGGUUGUUAUUUUGGCAUAUUACUGGUUAUUUUGGAUAAUUAUGUGGUUGUCAAAGGUCAUUUAUAAUGUAUUUUGAUGAUAUGAUUAAUGGUUAUUUUGGUUGUACUUUUGGAUAACUAUGAUAUGAUAAUAUUUUCCAAUUAUUGUGGUUAACAAAAUGUUAUUUAGGGUGUAUUUAAAUGCAAUUGCAAAGAUCGAUACUAGGACUGUCAACAAUAAGCUUUUAUUUCAGUAAUGCAUGUUUUAUAGGAUACAUUACAUUUUAAUAAAUACAAUUGCACAGAGGCACACUAGCAGUAUUAUUAUAUAUUUAAGCUUUCCUUCAAUCAGCCUAAGCCUUUUCUUUAUCUUCACCAUCUCAUCAGCUCCAAGGUUUACUGCAUUUGGCUCCAAAUUUUGAUUAUCUACCAUUUGAUCACUUCUACUAGGGUAUAUGAGAGCUUCAGUAGUAAACCAUUGCCAAAACUUGCAUUUGUUCAACCUGCAUGACCAAAACAUUGCAUUAGGAUUUUGUGGUGUAGUGGAAACCAUAGCACACGCCUGCAUGCCACACCAGUAGUACUUGGGAAUGCAUUUAAUUUUUCUCUGUGGCUGUCCACUGGCUGCAGAACUUGAACUAUAACUUGAUGCCAUUUUAAAUGUGUAGAUGAUUUGUUUCAAUGAAUGGUUAAUCAAGUGAUGUGAGGAUGAUGGUUGAGCAGGUCUUGAGUUUGAAUGAAUGAAUGGUUGAGUGGCUGUAAUGUUUCUGAUUAGUAUUAAAAAUUGUUUAAUUAUCAAGCGAUAAUAUGUUAUUUUAUGCUUAUAUUAUAAUUUAUAUUUGUAUUUAUGUAAUUUAUUAUGAAUUAUGAAUUAUGUUUUAAAUAUAUUUAAUUUUUUGUAUUUUUAUGUGCUUAUUAGGAAAAAUAUUAAUUUCACGUACUUUGAGGCUCCAAACAGAUAAACGGAGGUCAAAUUUGGAUUCCGGAGGUCCGAAAACCUUAAGAUCAGUCAAGAUCGGCUUAAAAUUGGGCUUGUGUAAAAAAAGUUGACUUUUCCUGUUGACCGAGUACUGAUUGGAUGAUGAAAUGAGCUUACAAUAGAUAUGAGUGCAUGGGAUAGCUGGCAAUCUUGACCAAAUCUAAACCGUUCAUGAUUCAAUGGCCAUGAUUGUGCCACGUGGCAAUGGUUGGUGAAGCAAGUUGGAGGAUCCGAAUCUUUGUAUUCGGGUCGACCCGAUCCACCCAUUAACCCGCCAAAUCUCAACCGUUCUUUGGGUAAAUCGGACGAGUCAAAUGAUGCCAUGUGUGAUGUUGACUUUUAAAGUUUGACCAGCCAUUGGAUCUUGAUCUAAGGGUUGUGAGGAGCACAUGCUUGAAGCCUAUGAUGGACCACAAAGCACUGGAUUAUGAAUUUAAUUUUCUAUAAAUAGGGCCUCAUUUUUAUGUUUUAAUCAUCUCUCUACAACUCUCUUCUUCUCAAAUUCUCUUCAUCUCCUUGUAAUCUUCAUUUCCAGGUGUGUUUUUAAUAUUUUGUAUAAUUAUUUUCAUUAAUAAAAUUAGUUUUAUUUCCAAUUUUAGUUGUUUUUAUUUCUUUUAAUUAUAAGUAAUGCAAUUUUACUACUUCUUUUUAUUUUAAUUAUCCUUAACUAAAUAAUAUUAGUUAGGGGAAGGUGAAACUCUUAGGAAAUAAAUAUGAUUUAAUCAAAUUCUAUUUUUAAUUUUAUAAAUUAAAUUAUUUUCUAUUUAAUUUUAUACAUGUUUUAUAUUUUGAAAUUUUGAUUUAUUGUAGACAAACAAAUGAAUUUGGCACAAUAAAUUCUUAAGAUCUUAAUAUAAGGCAUGGUGAAAUGGUAUUUUGACUUAUUGUAGACAAAUAAAUUUUGGCACAAUAAAUACUUAAUCCAUCAUAAAAUUAAAGGGAAAAUAAUAAUAAUUUGUAUAAUUAAUCUUUUGGGUAAUAAAUCUAAAAAAAUUGGCAAAAAGAAUUUAUUAAGUUUUAUUUACUACUAAGAGUGGAUCCAUAACCCUAAUUAGUUCAAUUUCAUAGUUUCAUUUAAAUUAAGUUGUUUAUAUUCAAGUUUUAAUUUCAAUUUUUAGAUAAAAUAAAACAAUCAAAUUAAAUCUUUUCUCUGUGGAUCGACCUCGGACUCACCGAGUUAUAAUACAACAAGACACUCUUAUACUUGGGAGUUAAAUAUUACUUUUAAGUUGUGUCAAGUUUUUGGCGCCGUUGCCGGAGAAAUUUUUUUUUUAUUUGGUUUGUUUUUCCCUUUUUAUUUUUCUCUUAUAUGUAAAAUUUCGUUUGCCCCCUUUUCCUUUUCUUAAAUUUUGUUUUGUCCCUAUAUCUUUUAUAAUUCGCGUUUCAUCCCAACAAUUCUCGUUUCUAGCCCAAUCUUCUGGUAAUUACAUUCUGACCCCAACAUCUUUCAGUCGUUUCACUUUCAUCCCAAAAGGCUCAAUUCUAAACUUCUAAAAAUUACAGUUUGACCAUAAAAUUAAAAAUAAUUUGUAAUAAAAUACCUAGACGAAAUUCUCAAAAUAAUCAAGACUUGGACAUACUUUGGACAUAUUUUGGACAUACUUUGGACAUAUUUGGACUUAUUUUGGACCAAACUAACUUUAACUACUAACUCUAAUUACUAACUCUUAACUUACUAACUGCUAACUCCUAACUUUUUUUUUUAAUUUCAGUUAUUUAAUUUUCUGCAUUUAUUUUAUUUCGUAUUUAUUUAUUUAUUUUUGCUUCAUUGGUGGGUUUAACCACCAAACUAACUACUAACUCUUAACUUUAAUUUUCAGUUAUUUAUUUAAUUUUGUAUUUUUUAAUUGGUGGGUUCAACCACCAUUUUUUUUCUAUUAUUAUUUUGCAUUUAUUUUACUUAAUUGGUGGGUUCAACCACCAAAAUUGUUAUUUAAUUUUCUUUUGUAUACAUAUAUUAUUUGCUUAUUUAUUUUUUAUUUUGUUAUCAAUUUGUGUAAAUAUUAUCUUUAUAACAUAACCCUUGCAUGAGACGUUGGUCUCGAUCUUCAAGUAGCAGGUUAAUUCGUAGAUCUCAAUCUCCACCACCAAUCAUGGAUGAGAAUGAAGGCGAAAACGUUUUGGGCGAACUUAAUCCUCAAAUUGAUCAGGGAGACAACCAAUCUCAACAUGGGCAUGAUCAGAAUCAACCAAGGACUCUGAGAGACUACAUGAAUCCAACCAGAACCGGAGCACCGUCGUGUAUAGUAUUUCCUCCAGAAGCAUCUCGAUUCAACUUUAAACCAGGUAUUAUCCAGCUUUUACCAACAUUUCAUGGUUUAGAAUCUGAGAAUCCAUACUUGCAUCUAAGAGAUUUUGAGGAAGUUUGUAAUACAUACACGGACCAAAAUUGUAGCAUGAACAUAAUUAGAUUAAAGUUUUUUCCUUUUUCAUUAAAAGAUAAAGCUAAAACUUGGCUACAAAACCUUAGAUCUGGAUCAGUAAGAACUUGGAAUAACAUGCAAGAACAGUUUUUGAAAAAAUUCUUUCCACCUCAUAGAACAAAUUCUUUUAAAAGGCAAAUCACUUCUUUCACUCAAAAAAAUGGAGAAACAUUAUACCAAUGUUAGGAUAGGUUUAAAGAGUUGCUUAACAUAUGUCCACAUCAUGGUUUUGAAACUUGGCGAUUGGUCACUUACUUCUACGAGGGCUUAAUACCCCAAAGUAGACAGGUUGUUGAAAUGAUGUGUAAUGGUGAAUUUAGGGAUAAAAAUCCUGAAGAUGCACUAGAUUACCUUGACCAAUUAGCUGAAAAUGCACAACAUUGGGAUACUGUUGGAACUUUUGAAUUAACAAAUAAGCAACAAUCAUCCCCAUCUAGUGGAGGAAUCCAUAACCUUAGGGAAGAUCAUAAUUUACAAGCAAAAUUUGCAUCCCUAGUUAGGAAAGUUGAAGCUUUGAGCAUAAAAAGAGUGAUCAAGUCAAAUCUAUUUAAGAAAUUGCAUGUAACAUAUGUAGUUCGAAUGAUCAUUUCACUCAAGAGUGUCCUACUUUGCCUGCACUUAAAGAAUGUCUAAAUGAUCAAGCUAAUGUCAUUAACACUUUCAAUAAACCAAACCCAUAUUCACAGACUUAUAAUCCUAGUUGGAGAAAUCAUCCGAAUUUCAGUUGGAGGAAUAAUAAUAAUGCACAAUCUUCACAAGCACCACCUCCACAAAAUUUUCAAAAUCCUCAGCCUUAUGCACCAUAUGUUCCAUCACCCUGGAAAAAUCUAGAAGACACAAUGCAUUCAUUCAUCAGAAAGCAAGAUGUUAUUAACAAUCAAAAUGCACAAACUUUUUCUUAUUUGAAAGAUACUCUUGCUAAAAUUGCUUUUGCACUCACCAUUCAAGAAAAAGGAAAAUUUCCAGCUCAACCACAACCAAAUCCUAAAAUUCAACAAAAUCCACCCACGGACCAAGUCAAGUCAGUUAUAACUCUUCGUAGUGGUAAGGUUGUUGAUAGACCUAUGCCUGAACCUUAUGAAAAUGAUGAAAAUUCAAAGGGUAAGGAAGGACUAAAUGAACUUACACCUAGUGAAGAAAUAACUAGUGUUCCACCUGAACCACCAUUUCCGCAUGCAUUGAAUAAACCAAAGAAAUCAAACCACUCUUCUGAAAUUUAUGAAAUCUUUAAGCAAGUGAAAGUUAACAUUCCUUUAUUAGAUGCAAUCAAGCAUGUUCCUUCAUAUGCCAAAUUUUUAAAGGACUUGUGCACUGUUAAGAGGAAAUUGAAGGUAAGAAAGAGUGCUUUCAUGGCCGAACAGGUAAGUACAAUUCUGUCUACUAAUAAUAAGUUGAAAUAUAAAGAUCCUGGUUGUCCUACCAUUUCUUGUAUUAUUGGUAACCACAGAAUUGAACAUGCUUUAUUAGAUCUUGGUGCUAGUGUUAAUUUGCUUCCAUAUUCAGUUUAUCUUCAACUUAAUCUUGGUGAGUUAAAAUCAACUUCAACUACACUUUUGCUUGCGAUAGAUUAGUUAAAGUACCAAAAGGAANNNNNNNNNNNNNNNNNNNNNNNNNNNNNNNNNNNNNNNNNNNNNNNNNNNNNNNNNNNNNNNNNNNNNNNNNNNNNNNNNNNNNNNNNNNNNNNNNNNNNNNNNNNNNNNNNNNNNNNNNNNNNNNNNNNNNNNNNNNNNNNNNNNNNNNNNNNNNNNNNNNNNNNNNNNNNNNNNNNNNNNNNNNNNNNNNNNNNNNNNNNNNNNNNNNNNNNNNNNNNNNNNNNNNNNNNNNNNNNNNNNNNNNNNNNNNNNNNNNNNNNNNNNNNNNNNNNNNNNNNNNNNNNNNNNNNNNNNNNNNNNNNNNNNNNNNNNNNNNNNNNNNNNNNNNNNNNNNNNNNNNNNNNNNNNNNNNNNNNNNNNNNNNNNNNNNNNNNNNNNNNNNNNNNNNNNNNNNNNNNNNNNNNNNNNNNNNNNNNNNNNNNNNNNNNNNNNNNNNNNNNNNNNNNNNNNNNNNNNNNNNNNNNNNNNNNNNNNNNNNNNNNNNNNNNNNNNNNNNNNNNNNNNNNNNNNNNNNNNNNNNNNNNNNNNNNNNNNNNNNNNNNNNNNNNNNNNNNNNNNNNNNNNNNNNNNNNNNNNNNNNNNNNNNNNNNNNNNNNNNNNNNNNNNNNNNNNNNNNNNNNNNNNNNNNNNNNNNNNNNNNNNNNNNNNNNNNNNNNNNNNNNNNNNNNNNNNNNNNNNNNNNNNNNNNNNNNNNNNNNNNNNNNNNNNNNNNNNNNNNNNNNNNNNNNNNNNNNNNNNNNNNNNNNNNNNNNNNNNNNNNNNNNNNNNUUAGAAGAGUAGCAGGACAUCCUUACUACUGUUUUUAGAUGGAUAUAUAGGUAAUUAUCAAAUACCUAUAGCCCUAGAGGACCAAGAAAAGACCACAUUCACAUGUCCUUUAGGAACAUUUGCAUUUAAAAGAAUGCCAUUCGGGCUUAGUAAUGCUCCUGCAACAUUUCAAAGAUGUAUGUUAAGCAUUUUUUGUGAUAUGGUUGAACAUUGUUUAGAGGUCUUUAUGGAUGAUUUGACUGUGUUUGGGAAUUCUUUUGAUGAUUGCCUUGAUAAUUUGGAGAAAGUUUUAAAAAGAUGUAUUGAAAAAGAACUCGUGUUGAAUUGGGAAAAAUGUCACUACAUGGUUACUUCUGGAAUUGUUUUGGGUCAUGUUGUUUCUAUUAAAGGAAUUGAAGUUGACAAAGCAAAAAUUGAAGUCAUAUCUAAAUUGCCACAACCAAAAACAGUUAGAGAUGUGCGAUCCUUUUUAGGACAUGCAGGAUUUUAUAGGAGGUUUAUAAAAAACUUUAGUGCCAUAUCUAAACCACUUUGUAACCUCUUAUUAAAAGAUGCACCAUUUGAAUGGAAUGAUGAUUGCCAAAAAUCGUUUGAAAAAAUAAUUUGUCUUUUAACAUCUGCACUUAUUAUGCAAUCUCCUGAUUGGUCUUUGCCAUUUGAAUUAAUGUGUGAUGCGAGUGAUUUUGCUAUUGGUGUUGUUUUAGGACAAUGAAGGGAUGGUAAGCCUUUUGUGAUUUAUUAUGCAAGUAAGACUUUAGAUAGUGCUCAAAUGAAUUAUUCUACAACUGAAAAAGAAUUACUUGCUGUGGUAUUUGCAUUAAACAAAUUCCGUUCAUAUUUGCUUGGCUCUAAAUCUGUUGUGUUUACUGACCACGCUGCUGUGAGAUAUUUGAUGAGUAAACAGGAUGCCAAACCGAGACUAAUUCGUUGGAUUUUGUUACUACAAGAAUUUGACCUUACCAUCAAAGAUAAAAAGGGUGCUGAAAAUGUUGUUGCAGAUCAUCUAUCAAGACUCACAUCCGAAUUCUGCAAUGAUAUAACACCCAUAAAUGAUUCUUUCCCUGAUGAAUUUUUAUUUUCUGUUACUUCAAUGCCAUGGUAUGCUAACAUUGUUAAUUUCCUUGUUACAGGUAAAAUGCCUUUGCAAUGGAAUGCUCAAGAGAAGAAGAAAUUUUUUGUUGAAGUAAAGAAAUUUUAUUGGGAUGACCCUUAUUUGUUCAAAUAUUGCCCAGAUCAAAUUUUUCGGCGAUGUAUUCCUGAUAAUGAGGUAAGUAGUGUCAUUAAUUUUUGUCAUUCUGAAGCAUGUGGUGGUCAUUUUUCUUCAAGAAAAACUACUGCUAAAAUUUUGCAGUGUGGAUUUUAUUAGCCUACCAUGUUUAAAGACACAUAUGAAUUCUGCAAAAGCUGUGAAAAAUUUCAAAAAUUGGGAUCAAUUACAAAAAGAAUCAUGAUGCCCUUAAAUCCCAUACUUGAAAUUGAAAUAUUUGACUGUUGGGGAAUUGAUUUCAUGGGUCCAUUUCCAUCAUCUUUUGGAUUUGUGUAUAUAUUAGUUGCAGUUGAUUAUGUCUCAAAAUAGAUUGAAGUAAUUUCUUGUCGAAAUAAUGAUAGUAAAAAUGUGAUUAAAUUUUUAAGAGAAAACAUUUUAAGUCGAUUUGGAAUCCCUCGAGCCAUUAUCAGUGAUGGAGGUAAGCAUUUUUGUAAUAAGUCAUUUGAGUUUUUAAUGAAGAAAUAUGGAAUUACACAUAAAAUUGCUACCCCUUAUCAUCCUCAAACAAAUGGUCAAGUUGAAUUAGCAAAUAGGGAGAUAAAACAAAUUUUGGAAAAAACGGUUAACCCAAACCGAAAAGAUUGGUCUCUUAGACUUAAUGAUGCACUUUGGGCUUACCAUACUGCAUUUAAAACGUCCUUAGGAAUGUCACCCUAUCGGUUAAUUUAUGGUAAACCUUGUCAUUUACCUGUUGAACUUGAACAUAAAUCACUUUGGGCUAUUAAAGCUUUUAAUUCAAAUUUGGAUGAUGCUGGUAAUGUGCGAAAAUUACAAUUGAAUGAACUUGAGGAAUUAAGGAAUGAUGCAUAUGAAAAUUCAAAAAUUAUUAAGGCAAGAACAAAAGCAUUUCAUGAUAAAAGAAUUUUUCGAAAAACAUUUGAGAUUAGUCAAAAAGUGUUGCUUUAUAAUUCUCGUCUUCAUUUAUUUCCAGGGAAGUUAAAGUCAAAAUGUAGUGGCCCAUUUGUUGUAAAAAAUGUAUAUUCACAUGGAGCCAUAGAAAUUGAGAAUAAAAAAAACGGUGUCACAUUUAAAGUUAAUGGCCAAAGAUUAAAACCAUAUCUGGAACAUCACACACGUGACGAGGACACCGAAAUUAAUUUGGGUGACCCACCAGUUCUUGAUUAAGUCUUUAAUGAUUUUUUUUAAUUUUAUUUUACUAUUAUUUUACCGUUUCAUUGUUUGAUUUUUUUCCUUUUUCUCUAGAUUGAUGCACUGUACAUAGUUUUUUUUAACAUUGUUUUUCUUGUGUAAGCGUGUUUGUUUGACAGUUGUACAUUCUCUCAUCAAUUUCCAUUUUACAUCAUGAGCACCUCAAUGAGAAAAUUCCUGUUCGCACAUCUUAAAAGAUUUCUUCGUGUGAAAUUUCACUUAAGAGGCCUGAUACAAAGCUGUAAAUCACAUCCACUUUGGGAUCUGCAACCACCAGAAUUCGUGUCCUAUGUUGAGGAUCUAAAGGAACAACUCAGAACAGUAGAGAGUGGCAUAUAUAAAUUUCAAUUGGAGCUUGAGGUUAACUCAAUGAGAGGACGAAUGUAAGUUCAUUUUCCUUUUUAUAUUGUGUGCUUCUUUUUGCUCGCUUUCACGCUUGAUUUGAUUUUGCAGAUUUGAUUUUGGUGAGUUUUGAUUUAUUUUCCCGUAUAAAUGGCGGAUAACGGUACUCCGUGACUUCUUAAGUCGGUAUCUUCAGUUUCCCACAAUAACUGAAACCCCAAAAUCAAACAUGGAAAAAAUACAACAUAAACUGCAUAAGCACUUUCCUUCUCUCCCUCAGAAUGCCCUCAGGAAAAUUUACAAAGCUCGUUGUGAACGACUGCGUUUGUUAAUGAUCAAUGGCAUUCCUUUUGACAUUCGUUGGUUAAUUGAAGCAAAGGUCCGAUUAGCAGGUGAGUUUUCUGAUCCAUUUGUUUCUUACAUGCCUGGUUUUGGUAAAAGUACGUUUGCUAAGAAAAGGAGAGCUAAACGACUUGGCUCAAAAUGUCAUAACUGUGUAAGACUUGGUUGCAAACGACCAGAUUGUAAAUCUUUAGGAAUGGUUUCUGAUACUCGUGAAGAUAAAAUUAAAUUCGUUAAAGAUGGCAUGAGUAAAGAAUCGUUGGAUGAUAUCUUAUGAUCUCUUGAGACGCAUCGAAGCGGAUUUGUGCAACGAGAAAUUUAUAAUUUGUGGAUACUAUUCCAAAAACAAAGUGCACAGUUUAGUCUUAGGAAUUUGACUCAAAAAGACCCUGUUUGUCAGUUUGUAAGAAAACUGGAUGGGAAGCCAAUCCUCGACCCAUAGAGGGCGUUUAAGCCGUUACUGGACGUAAAACCAGAGGAAGAUGUGAGCCACAAUCACAACUACCAGUAAAUAUCCUUUCACUUCACUGUUAUUUUACUUUACUGUUAUUUUAUCAUUUGCAUUAUUGCAUUUAGCGGUGUGAUUUUGUAUUUAAUAAAUAUUUGUUUUCUUUUAUUGUUUGCUUUUUCUAAUCAUUAUUUUCUUUUUACUGUUUGUUUUUGAAUUAUUGAGCCACGAGCUUUACUCGUCAUUUGACAAAUAUGCCAACCCAUUUACAGCUGUUUCUCAUUAUUUAUGUCACCAAGAUCUUUAAAUAUGAGCUCGUUUUUCAAACACUCACAACCUGUUUUUGAAAAAUUAGUCCAAUGGCAGCAUCUUCGAGUAAACAAUUCAAAAAUAUUUGUGUGCUUUCUGGGUAUCACUAUGGAAAGUACAAAGAGUUUGUUCAGGCAGCAGUAGAUCUUGGUCGUGUCAUAGCAGAGAGGAAACUGCAUCUUGUAUAUGGAGGAGGUGAACGAGGGUUAUCAAGACUUGUCUCAGAAGCUGUUUUUACCAGAGGAAGUCAAGUACUCGGCAUUAUCCCAAAACCCAUGAAACCGCUAGUGUGCUUGUCUGGCCCACCAAUUGGGGAAGAAUUAGUGGUAUCAAGUAUGCAAGAGAGACUAUCUGAAAUGAUGAAUCAAGCUGAUGCUUUUAUUUUUUUGCCAGGAGAUCUUGCAACUUUUGAGGCACUAAUUACAUUUGCAUCUUGGGCCCACUUGAACAUUCAUCAAAAACCCAUCGGUUUGUUAAAUGUUAAUAACUUUUAUGACGGCUUGCUAACUUUUAUUAACCAUACAAUAAAGAAUCAUUUUGUUCCACAUUCUGUAAAAAAAAACUCUUUAUCUUUGUUUCUACUGCUAAUGAGUUACUUAAUCUCUUACAAGCUUAUACACCAGAGCCAGAUCCAAAGACUUUUGAAUUGAAUUGGUCGACUGAUGAUGGUAGCGGUAACAGUAGCAGUAAUAAGAAGCGCGAUUUAGAUUUAACUCUCCGUCUAUAAAUAUUUUCUGUUGUAGUGUUCAUGUACUGUCUUCUAAACUCUUUCUUUUUCCUUUUAAAACAUUAAGAACAAUGUCUUUUUCAGGUUGGGGGGAGGGAAUAGUUGAUAAUUGUGGAAUGUCUUAGUCCUGGUUAUGUUUUUACAAAAAAAAAAACAAAAACAAAAAAAAAACAAAAUUUUUUUUUUCUGUAAAGACUAACUUAGGACAAAUUUGAGUCGAAGAUGGCAGGAUAUAGAGAAUGUAGUCUCUCUAAAAACGCAUCUUCUUAAUCUUAAGGGUGUUGUUAAAAAAAAAAAAAUUUGACUUUUUCUUCAUUUUUGUUAUCUUCUUUUAAGCUUCUGCAUCAAGUUCAGGUAAGAUCUCCUCUUCUUCUUCUUUUAUUAUUCUCUUUUAUUUUUUAUUCAUUUUUUCUUUUUCUUUUUGCAUAUCUGUAAAAUUAUAAAAUGUUAAGAUAAUGUUUAGAUUAGGUUGUGGGGUGGGGAUAAUUGACGUAUGUUUUAAAUAUGUGUGUUGUUUUUCUCUUUUCUCUUUUCUUUUCUUUGUCAAAAAAAAAAAAAACAAAAUAUUUUUUUUUGGUCUAGGAUGGCCGUGUAAAGAGUCACGACUUUUGAGACGCAUCCUAAUAGUCUUAUUGUAUUAUAUUUUGAUUUUGAAAUUCAUAGUAAGUUGUUUUUGUUCCCUUUUCUUUGAAUUACUCAAAUUUGUGAACUCUCCACUUGGUUAUUAAGUUAUUUAAUUGUUUACUCAUUUAACAGGUAUUAUUGAAUCAUUCUUCACACACACAUUAUGACACAUACUAGUGGGUUGUAAGUUAAAAUUUUACAGCAUUUAGUUCUUUUGAUUUAUUAGGAAAAGUAUCUAAGGUAGUCGAAAGUGUAUAUUUCAAAAAAAAAUAAAAAAAAAGAAAAAAAUUAUUGUUUGUUAUAUCUAGAAACUCGAGUAAUUAAGUCCGUAGGGGUGUUUCAACACCUAGUGCCCUAAGGUCAACUGGUCUGGGAGUCACUGGCCUAAAGCUCGCUACAUGGGUAAUAGAUAUAUUGUUUGUUUAUUAGAAACCCGAGUAAUUAAGUCCGUAGGGGUGCUUCAACACCUAGUGCCCUAAGGCCAACUGGUCUGGGAGUCACUGACCUAAAGCUCGCUACACGGGUUAGAAAUAUAAUACAAAAAAAAAUAUGUGUGAAUAAUCUAUUGCCUAAAGAUAUAAUUUCUAAUGAAUUUUAGAACGAAAAUGUUGUUUUUCUUUUAAUAAAGCCCCAUAAGUAUUGUGUUAAUUACUUGAGCACAAAAGAAGGUUUGAUGAUACUCUGGAUAAUGAGUGAACAUCAAUGUGGUAAAGGAAUUUAGGAGAGUUCAUUUAUUUGGUAAUUUAGAGGAUAGAUGAACAAUUAUUAACUUGCAUGUGAAUUUUAUAAAUCUUAAUAUAACGCUUUAAUUGCUAGAGGGCUAGCAAUAAGCUGGUUGGGGGGUGUGAUUAGUAUUAAAAAUUGUUUAAUUAUCAAGCGAUAAUAUGUUAUUUUAUGCUUAUGUUAUAAUUUAUAUUUGUAUUUAUGUAAUUUAUUAUGAAUUAUGAAUUAUGUUUUAAAUAUAUUUAAUUUUUUGUAUUUUUAUGUGUUUAUUAGGAAAAAUAUUAAUUUCACGUACUUUGAGGCUCCAAACAGAUAAACGGAGGUCAAAUUUGGAUUCCGAAGGUCCGAAAACCUUAAGAUCAGUCAAGAUCGGCUUAAAAUUGGGCUUGUGUAAAAAAAGUUGACUUUUCCUGUUGACCGAGUACUGAUUGGAUGAUGAAAUGAGCUUACAAUAGAUAUGAGUGCAUGGGAUAGCUGGCAAUCUUGACCAAAUCUCAACUGUUCAUGAUUCAAUGGCCAUGAUUGUGCCACGUGGCAAUGGUUGGUGAAGCAAGUUGGAGGAUCCGAAUCUUUGUAUUCGGGUCGACCCGAUCCACCCAUUAACCCGCCAAAUCUCAACCGUUCUUUGGGUAAAUCGGACGAGUCAAAUGAUACCAUGUGUGAUGUUGACUUUUGAAGUUUGACCAGCCAUUGGAUCUUGAUCUAAGGGUUGUGAGGAGCACAUGCAUGAAGCCUAUGAUGGACCGCAAGGCACUGGAUUAUGAAUUUAUUUUUCUAUAAAUAGGGCCUCAUUUUUAUGUUUUAAUCAUCUCUCUACAACUCUCUUCUUCUCAAAUUCUCUCCAUCUCCUUGUAAUCUUGAUUUCCAGGUGUGUUUUUAAUAUUUUGUAUAAUUAUUUUCAUUAAUAAAAUUAGUUUUAUUUCCAAUUUUAGUUGUUUUUAUUUCUUUUAAUUAUAAGUAAUGCAAUUUUACUACUUCUUUUUAUUUUAAUUAUGCUUAACUAAAUAAUAUUAGUUAGGGGAAGGUGAAACUCUUAGGAAAUAAAUAUGAUUUAAUCAAAUUCUAUUUUUAAUUUUAUAAAUUAAAUUAUUUUCUAUUUAAUUUUAUACAUGUUUUAUAUUUUGAAAUUUUGAUUUAUUGUAGACAAACAAAUGAAUUUGGCACAAUAAAUACUUAAUCCAUCAUAAAAUUAAAGGGAAAAUAAUAAUAAUUUGUAUAAUUAAUCUUUUGGGUAAUAAAUCUAAAAAAAUUGGCAAAAAGAAUUUAUUAAGUUUUAUUUACUUCUAAGAGUGGAUCCAUAACCCUAACUAGUUCAAUUUCAUAGUUUCAUUUAAAUUAAGUUGUUUAUAUUCAAGUUUUAAUUUCAAUUUUUAGAUAAAAUAAAACAAUCAAAUUAAAUCUUUUCUCUGUGGAUCGACCUCGGACUCACCGAGUUAUAAUACAACAAGACACUCUUAUACUUGGGAGUUAAAUAUUACUUUUAAGUUGUGUCAGUUUCAAUGUGUUAUGAUGAAUGGUACAGUUAUGAUGUGUUAUGGAUUAUGGUUGUAUGAGGAGGUUUAUAUGUCUGGUUGGGAGCAGCUUGCAUGGUUGAAUGGCCUCUUCAUGCAUGCUGAUUCUUGUGUUUAUAUUCCCCAAAUUGUAGCCGUUGGCAGCUAACGGCUACAAUAACAAACUGCCAUUUUUUGCUUUUUUUGAGGGUGAAAUUGUUAUUUUUGUUCUGGGGGCAAAAUAGUCAUUUGACUAAGAAUCCGUUAGUUUUCGUAACGGGCAGCAAACGGAAGUGAAGAAGUGAAACAAAAUAUAAGUUUAGGUGGAUUCCAGCCAAAAAAAAAAGAAUUGUGUAUUUUUGAUAAAGUUGGAAAAAAUAAGUGGACGGUGGAUAUUUUCCCUUAUUAUUAUUAUUAUUAUUAUUAUUAUUAUUAUUAUUAUUAUUAUUUCCUUUUAACAAAAAUUAAGCUGAGACAACAAUAUAUGCCCAAAAUACCCCUCACAUUAUCCCAAACUUUCUAAACUCCCCCACUCCUCUCAACAUCAUCUCUUCCAAAUCUUUCUUCCUCCAAAAAGCAGCCAUGGCUUCAAAUUCAAUCACCUCAACACUCCAAUAUUGGCUUGUAAACCACCCCCAAAUCCUCAACUUCACAUGGACUCAAAACCAAACCCCAGCUUCCUCCCCACACUUCCUCAUUCUCUCCAUCCUCACUUACCUCUCCCUCACAUUCAUCCUCUACCACAAAUUAACGCCAACAUCACCAUCAUCAUCACCUCUCAUUGGACCCCACAUCCUCAAGCUCAUCACAGCCGUCCAUAACCUCACCCUCCUCCUCCUCUCCCUUGUCAUGGCCUUUGGUUGCACUCUCUCCAUCGUCCUCCAUUCACCCGACCUCCGUCACACCCUCUGUUUGCCCCCCACCAUUUCUGCCUCCGGUCCCCUCUUCUUCUACGCUUACAUCUUCUACCUCUCCAAAAUACUCGAAUUCCUAGACACCCUUUUGAUCAUUUUGUCAAACUCCAUCCAACGGCUCACGUUCCUCCACGUCUACCACCAUGCAACCGUCGUCGUAAUGUGCUACCUUUGGUUACAGACGAAGCAGUCUUUGUUUCCUAUCGCACUUGUCACCAAUGCAAGUGUGCACGUGAUCAUGUACGGGUACUAUCUAUUGUGUGUGAUGGGGUUGCGGCCAAAGUGGAAGAGAUUGGUCACUGACUGUCAGAUUGUUCAGUUCGUGUUUAGUUUUGUUGUUUCAGUUUUGAUGCUGUAUUAUCAUUUUGCGGGAUUUGGAUGCUCUGGGAUCUUGGGUUGGUGCUUCAAUGCUGUGUUUAAUGCUUCUCUUUUGACACUUUUUAUUAAUUUUCAUUCCAAGAGCUAUGCUAAGAAAAAGCAGGGAUGAUCAAAACAAAUCGUCGUUGUGAUUGUUCUCUGUGUGUUUUUUUUUUUUUUUUUUGGUUAAUUAUGACUGGUUGUGAUCGGUUCAUUGCAUUUGACAGAGAUGUUGAAGGGUUAUGUUCUGGAAAAUAGAAAUUAAACCAAAAUUAUCACUAGAACUGGUACAUUAUUACCAUCACAGAUCAAGAUCUGAAUGGACGCAUAGCAGCCAUCCUCAAAACCAAAGGAGGAGAAAAUUGAAAUAGAACAACCACCUUAAGGUGAAGAAGGCCAGAACAAGACACACAUCCUCAAAUCAUAAGGAAGAGGUGGGUGCAACCGAAAAAAAAAAAAAGAAAUCAAGAAUCCACUGGAGAAGGCAAGAAAGAUUUUUGCCUCCGAAGAUUUGGUGAGGAAGAGAUGAGGAGUUUGGAGAGGAAAAGUUUUCGGAGAGAUCUACAGAUUAGCUUUAAAAGUGUGUUUUAAAGAGAAAGUUGUUGAGAACUUGAGAGGAUACAGAGGACGGAACUACCUUACCUUCCUUAUACCAAACACCCAAUUUUAACAUUUUCUUUAACGGUCUUCAUUAUUUUUAGUAAAUAAUAAAAACUAUACAUUCUAAAAAAAUUAACACAAUAAGCCAUUAUAAAAAUAUAAUAAUUUUAGAAUUCUAAAAAUUUUAUUUAGCAUUUUCUUCAGCAAUCUCUACUAUUUUCUGUAAUAUUAAAAACUAUAAAUCUCAAUAAUAAAUAGACCCCAAUUAAAAUAUGAAAAUUUUAAAAUUCUAAAAAAAAUUUCUCUUUCAGUUUUCUUCUCAAUCAUUUUGUUUUGCUUUGAUCUUAAUUUAUUCAUUUAUCCAACAUAUAAUUCUUCUAAAAUAUCAAAAAAUAGAGAGUCUUCUAACUAAAUGAUUAGAUUAAUUUCUUGAACACAAAAUCUCAUAAAAAUAAUGCUUGCAUUCUCUUAAAAGAAAUCUAUUGUGUUUAUUUUUAUUUAUUUUUACUACUACAAUAAGAAAAGAACUAUAUCUUGCUCUCUAUAAUAAAAUCUCAACAAUUAGGGCAUGUUGAAUGCGGUUAAAGAUGGCGACAUACGUUUAUUUUAUUAAAAUUUAAUUUCAAUAUAGUGUUUGGCAUGAAUAAGUAAAUUAAGAAUAAUAGAGUUUGUGCCAAUCAAAUUAUCAUAUGAUAAUUAAUUUUUUGCCCUAAGGGGACCCUUUGAAUAAAAUUUUUAGACUAAAUUUAUAUCUUAUGCUAACAAUUAUAAGGUUAUUUGAUGUUGAGCAAAUUUAUAGAAAUAAAUAAAAGUUAAGUUUCAUUUAUUUAAUUAAAAUAAUUAUUUAUCCUUAUAAGUAACACUAUCUUAAAUGGUAAAACAUUAAAUGCGUAUUUUAUUUUAAAAAAAUUAUAUUAAAAAAUGGGAUUUUUUGUAAUUAAUAUUUUAAAUAAAUGGAUGUGGGGAGUGUUUUAACUAGAUAAAAUAAUCCAUCCAUAUUUAUGUAUAUCUAAAUUUAUUCAUUUAUUAAAUUACCUGGACUCAUAUAAAGAUCAUAAAAUAUUUUGAUGGACUUAUGUGUUAAAAUCUUGAAAUUUAAUCUUUUUUUUUUUUUUAUGAAACAAGAGGGACUGCACCAUUAAUAACCAAGUAAUUAUAUCCUUGCCGUGGGAAUAGCUUUUGCAACUCUUAGAUUGAAUUCAAUGGUUGGAUCACAAAAAGACAAAAAUUGGCUGGACCCGGAUACGUAUGCAAUCAAUCCUUUACUCUUCAUGUUUGUGGACUACGUGGAAUGUUUGUCCACUGAGUGUAAUCGUGACGGUUCGAUUGAGUGAUUAAAAUCACACGGCUGAUAUUAGUUGGUUCUGUGUUGGAGUUGAUCCAACAUAGCCUGAGCCUUUAAAUAAAAAACAUUACAACCCAUGCAUCCAAGCACUUAAAGUUGGCUUGAGUUCAUGGGUUAUUGUCAAUUUUCUUUCCAAUUAAAUUAGAUAGGGAUAAAAUUAUCUCUUUAUUAAUAAGAAUAAAGUAGAUAUUUCUCUCGAUUUUUCUUUUAAUUAAAUUGAAUAGAAGUAAAAUUAUCUAUUGAUUAAUAAGGAUAUAAUAUAUAUCUCUCUAAUAUUAUGUGACGGUAGAAAUUUAGGUUGUUCUGUAAUAUAAUUAUCAAGGAUAGUCUUAAUAGAAUUAAUGUAAAGAAUUAAGAUAAAGCCUCAAAGAUGGAACAGAGGUUAAAAAAAAAAAGAGUACAAGACAAAGAAAAAAGGAAACAAAAGAAGACCAAGAAUAAAAGAAAAAAUAAUUUGGAAAACAAAAAAAUGGAUUGCAAUUUUAAAUUUUAAUUAAGAAUAAAUUGUAGUGAAUGCCAUUGUUGGUAAUUUGUUAUAUUUCAAAGCUCAAAUAAGGAAUAAAAUUAUUAUUAUUAUUAUUAUUAUUUUGCAAUAACUCGUUUCAAAUUUUAAAAGAUUAUAACUUUUUGUUUUUUAACAUUUUAAUCAUAAAUUAAAAAGGAGUUACUAUUCAAGAUUCCUAAGAAUACUGAAAAAAAUGAUAAAUAUUAUUCUAAGAAAAUGAUAUAUAUUGGAUAUACUGAAAUAUUAUAAAUUAUAAAUUAUUUUACUAUUUUACCCCUUAGUUUUAUGUUUGGGGAAAAAAAUACUAAAAUGGCUUUCAAUAAAAAGAAUUAUUAUUAAAAAAUAAGAUUAAAAUUAUAACAAAUGAUAUUAAUAAGAAAGAAAUUGAUAAAAAUUUGGGAUUAGAAAUAGCCAAAUAGGGGUUAAGGCUUCGGUCCUUGAAUUUCUCUAAAUUUUAUAUAUUUUUUAAUUUUUAACCCGUCAAAUUACAUUAUUAAUGGAAUGUCAAUAAAUUUUGUGCGUUAAUUUUUCUUUUAGAUAUUUUGAAAGGUAAAAUGGUAUUUUGGAUGGUAAAAGUCAGCUAAUUAAUUAAAUAUUUAUAUUCCUAAGAUAUUUAAAUUCAAGAGAAGGGUAAAAAUUAUUUUUUAAAUUUUCAUUGUGGUGAUAUCAUAAAAUAAAUUUGUGAUUAUCAUACUUGUUUUAUAGAUUAAGAUAUAAGUAAAAGUUAAAUUAAUCUUGUAAUGGUUUUUUUACCUUUUUUUUUUCUAUAGGGAGUUUUUAUUAAUAAUUUUUUUUGUCGUCUAACUUGAAAUAUAAUAGACCUUAAGGGGCAAAACAAAAUUAUUCUUGUUAACUCCACGAAACUAUUAAUUAGUUAGAGUUAGAGGCAUUCUCGUAUUUUUCAAGUCAACAUCAGUUAACUAUUAAAAAUAGCAGUAUUUGGCAGGUAAAUUGAAAUUUUCAUACUUUUAGAGGGUAAAUUGAAGUAUUUUAAUCUAAUAAGGGUGUGGGACGAAAUUUAACUACAAGUAAAUUAUCCGUGAGGCAAGCUUUUUACAACUUUUGUUUUCUUCUUUUUUUUUUCUUUUGAGUUUUUGUUUUUGUUUUACAUGGCACUGGCCCGACCAGUACAAAUUAAUUUUAGAAUAUUUACAAUUAUGUACCAUAGUUGUGGAGUAGAAUCAUAGAAAUUAAAGAUGGUAAAAUUAUUGAUGUGUGGGGUGGGGUAGGAUAACUAUUAACUUUAUUCAUGCAACGUAAGAAGAAUGCAACUGCUCCUUUGAUUUGGUAUUUUCGUAACAAAAGCAUACAUAACAUCUUAUCAAAUUAUUUCUCCUUUUCCUUGUCAGAAUGGAGGAUGCGUUCGCUUCCCCUCUUCUUGGGCAACUGAACUCCUUUGCUGCUUAUGAAUAAGUGAAACAACAGGUGAGGUUUGUGACUAUUCUCCAACAAGAAGUGAAAAAAGCUUACCACAAAUCUUCAAGCCAUUCAAGCUGCUCGAAGAUACAUAGCAAAGGCAAGUUGAUGUAGGAUGGUUGCAUGGAAUGAGUAAGGUAUCUUCCGAAGGUCAUAACUUAGGAUACAAAUAUCCAUUCCGUUUUGAAUGUAUAGUAUAUCGUUUCAAAACUUGUAAUAAGUUGAACCAAAUGCAGAAUAGUCUACGCUAUCCUGCCCUGUGGUUGAGCAAAAAAUUUCACUUCUUUCUUGGUUGUUUUUCAGUUUAAAGAUAUUUUUCUAAUUUGUCGUGAUUCUUUUGGGAUUUUUAUCUUUUUUUUUUCUAGAUAUUGGAUUUGAGUUCCAUUUGUUUUCCUUUUCUUAUUUAGAUUAGAAGGAUUUUAUUAUCAUAUAAUAUUUUGGAUUUGCCUAUUUUGGUAAAUUCCUAAUAUUUAUGCUUCUAUAAAAGUGGUUCAAUACCCCAAUUUUGUUUGUUCAAAUUAUUCGCAAUAAAACUUAUUAUUUAAAAACCUAGUUUCUAUUAUCUAAUUGCCUUUUAAUGUUUUCUUAUCGUCAGCUGGUAUUAGAGUAAGUUCGCUUGUUAUCAUGAUGUGACCACACAAAGGAACAACUGUCCCGAAGACAUUCAAGGGAAGUAGACAACGACUGUGGAGGCAGAGGCGAAGCUCAGGGGACUUUUUGAAAAAAAAAAUUUAUAAUUUAUAAAUUUACUUUUAUUAAUAUUUAUUAAAAAAAAUAAAAACAAGCCCAAUAAUUAUAUGAAUCUUUAUUUUCCCCAAUCACAAUUCAUAAAACUCACCAGUAUCUAACUAAAUCCGAAUUUGAAAUUCACCAAAAUUCAAUUGCUCAAGUCUCUUACCGCUGCUGAAUACCCAGUCUCCUGCGCUCGAAUUGACGCCCAGCCGCUGCCUCAUGAGUGACGCCGAGCCACUGCUGCAAGGCCUGAACCUGCAGGUUGAAUCUCUGACCGCCGAGCCGACGCCGAAUGCCCAGUCUCUUGAUGCGCCCCUAGUACAAAGCACUUUGCCUUUUAAACUUUAGUUUAUAGAAUAUAAUAUGAUUUUAUGAUAAUGAUGGUUGGCACACAAAGUGGAAUUGUGGAAGGCUGGAAGUUGUUGAUUUUGUGAACUGUGAUUCAUAUUUUUAAAAUUAUAAAAUAAUAGAAUGUGAAAAACGGUGAUGAUAGCAUAUUAAGUGGAACUGUGAAAGGUGCUGAUUCAUCUUCUUGGAAUUAUAAAAUAAUGAUGGCAUGAAAGAAUGAGUGAAUAAAAUAGUAAAACAAUUAAUUUGAAUGUUAACUUUUUUAAUUAGCUUUUAACUUGCGAUUUUGUCAAAUUUUUUAUAAAAUAAAUACUAAAUUUUUAAUGUAUUUUAUUACAGAUUCAAUAUUAAAUAAACCAAGAAAAACUCUACUUUUUUUUUUUUUAAGAGAGUAAGUGAAAAUCAAUCAUCCACCAAGUCUUUAUCUCCAUGUCAAGUUAAUGCUCAAGAUUCCAGUGAGCAACAUACUUCCAAGUUUCAAAGGGUUGAAGUUGAAGAAACUAGAAAUACUUAUCUGGAGCGUGAUCCUGGAUUACGUCAUCAAAUAGGGACAUAUUUAGUAAAUCAACGUGAUGAUAUUAGAAGGGAGUACAUCAAAAUGAGACUUUAUGAGCCUAAACUACGAGAUUAUCCAGUAACUAAUGAUGACAUGCAAGAACGUAGGUUUCACUAUCACUGGUUUAAAAAAUUUCCAUGGCUUGAUUACUCUGAGGUGAAAGAUAGUGCAUUUUGUUUUCAAUGCUUUCUUUUUGAUGAAAUUCCAUCAAACAACCCAAAAUUUGUUAUUGAAGGAUUUUCUAGUUGGAAGAGAGUCAACAAUGGAAAACAAAAUGUCACUUUUUACAGCAUGAAGGGGGUCCAUUUUCUCAUCAUAAUAAGAAUAUGCAGAGUUGGGGUUGUUUGAGGAACCCAAUUCAACACAUUGAUAGAUUAAUUAAUGCCCAAACUUCACAAAAACUUUUGGAGAAUAGGCUACGAUUGAAGACCUCAAUUAUUGCUGUUAAAUGGUUAGCAAAGCAAGCAUGUACUUUUAAAGGUCAUGAUGAAUCAGUUAAUUCAAGAAAUCGGGGAAAUUUCAUAGAGUUGAUAAAGCAUUCAGCGGAGUGUAGUAAAGAAAUUGCUCAAGUUGUCUUGGAAAAUGCUCCAUCAUAUGCUAAGUAUACAUCGUCUGACAUUCAAAAAGAGCUUUUAAAUAUUCUUGCAAACAAAGUGCGAAACAAGAUACGCAAGGACCUUGGAGAUGGUAAGUUUUGUAUUUUAGUAGACGAAGCACUUGAUGAAUCUGAUAAAGAGCAAAUGGCUAUUAUUUUAAGGUAUGUUGAUUGUGAUGGGUAUAUUUGAGAACGUCUUUUUGAAGUUGUCAAUGUCAUGGAAACUACAACAGUAACAUUGGAAAAAGAAAUAUGUAAUGUUCUUGCACGAUAUGAUCUUUUAGUUGAAAAUAUCCGAGGGAUGGUGCUAGUAACAUGCGGGGUGCAUGGAAUGGAUUACAAGCAUUAUUUUUGAAAGAUUGCUCAUAUGCAUAUUAUAUACAUUGUUUUGCACAUCAACUACAACUUGCUUUAGUUGCAGCAUCUAAUAAUGUGCCAGAUGUAUGGCUUUUCUUUUUAGCAUUGGGUUCAAUUGUAAAUGUUCUGACUUCAUUUGCUAAACGGCUUUCUGAGUUAAAAUCUGUUUGGGAAGCAGAAAUAAUAGAUUUGAUAGCUUCAGGAGAAGUUCAAACUGGUACAGGGGCCAAUCAAAUUCAUACUUUGCAAUGGCCUGGAGCUACUUGGUGGAGCUCUCAUUUCCGUUCUGUCAGUAGGUUGCUUGAUUUGUUUAGUGUUAUUCGUAAAGUUUUUGGGAAGUUGGUAGAGUGUGGACUUAACAAUAUCAUACGUGGAAAGGCUAAAGGUGCAUGUGAAUCAAUGACAUCUUUUAAAUUUGUGUUCAUUUUGCAUUUAUUACAUAAAGUUUUGGGGGGUGAGUGAUUUACUUUGUCGAGCAUUACAAGUUAAAUCUCAAGAUAUUCUAAAUGCUGUUCACUUAGUCUCAACUACGAAAACACUUCAUCAAAGGCUGCGAGACAAUGGUUGGGAAAUUUUAUUGAGAACGUAGUUCUAUUUUGUGAAAAGAAUGAGAUAGAUAUGUCUGAUAUGAAAGCUCGCCAUAUGAAAGGCAGAGGACGUUCUUGUCAGUAGAAUGAUUAUAUUACAAUUGAUCAUUAUUAUCAUUAUGAUAUAUUUAAUGCUGUGAUAGAUUUUCAAUUGAUGGAGUUGAAUAAUAGAUUUACUGAACAGACUUUGGAACUCCUCACUCUUAGUUCAGCUUUAAAUCUUAUUGAUGCAUUUAAAUCAUUUAAAAUUGAAGAUAUUUACAGCCUUGCUGAAAGAUUUUAUCCUGAAGAUUUCACUAAGAUUGAGUUACAGGUUUUGAGAAGACAAUUAGAGUGCUUUGAGAUAGAUAUACACUCUCUUCAAGAGUUUCAGAAUAUUACUUUCCUUUCUGAAUUGUGUCGAAGAUUGGUUGAGACUAGAAAGUCACAGAUUUAUUUCUUGUUGGGUAGAUUAAUUCGUUUAGUGUUAACCCUUCCUGUUUCAACAGCAACAACAGAGAGAGCAUUUUCUGCCAUGAAACUAAUUAAGACAACACAUCGAAACAAGAUGGAGAAUGAGUUUCUUUCAGAUUGUAUGGUUAUUUACAUCGAAAGAGAAAUUGCAGACAAUAUUGACUCAGAUGCGAUAGUAGAUGAAUUUUCUUUUUUGAAGAACCGCAUGACACAGCUUCGUCAAUAGGGUUUUUCUUAUUUACAUUGUAUUUUUAUAGUUUUAUGGUUAAAUUUUUGCUUAUGUAGUGUGCUUAAUUUCAUUUAUAUAAAACAAAUUUUUUGAGAAAUAAAUUUCAUUUUUUUUAAAAUCUAGCCCACCCAAACAAAUGAUGCUAGCUUCGCCAUUGGAGGUUAUCAGAUAGAUGGUCAAAGAAGCAAUCUUGUAAGUCAUGGAGUACGCAUAUAAUGCGAGAAUGGCAACAGACAAAUAUUAGGUUAUCUCUUGUAAACCAUAUUGAUAAAUCUAAUGAGGGAAAGAUAUUUUUUUUCUUGUCCUAGAUGACGUGUGGGAUGGAAGUUACAAUCAAUGGGAACCAUUCUUCUAUUGUUUAAAGAAUGGUCUCAAUAGUAGUCAAUUUUUUAUUACUACAUAUUAUCAGAUAGUAGCAAGUAUGAUGAGAUUAACAAAUAUUAUUUUUAUUAAGGAAUUAACUGAAGAAGAAUGUUGGUCAUUGUUUAAGCAAGUAGCAUUUUUUGGUCAAUUUUUUGGUCAAUUUUUUAAGGAUAGUGACCAAAUGAUAAAAAAAUUGCAUGCAGGGCCUGCCUCUUAUUGCAAAGGCAAUUGGGAAAUUCUUACAAUAUAAAUGACCAACAGAAGAAUGGAAAAUAAUUUUAGAUAGUGAUAUGUAGAAGGUAGAAGAGAUUGGGAACAAUAUUAAUAGGGAAAUUCUUAUAAUAUAAAUGACCAAUAAAAAAAAAUGAAAACUACACUAUAGAUGGCUCAAAGUUACCUUAUUGUAUAAGAAGGCCAAGAGAUGAGGAUCCGAUCCAAUCUAAUAGUAGUAGUUCAUUUCAAUUUUUAUUCAUUUGAUUUUAUAGUAGUAGUUUUCAUUUUUUUUGGUUGAAAAUUGGUAAAAAAAUAUUCAAAUGAGAUAAUUACAAUAAAACCAUCUUCAAGAACUACAAUAAUUUUAAAAAAACUCAAAAUAAACAAAAUAGGCUCAAAAACACCCCUAAUCCCAACAUUAUCUGAAUCCAUCCUAGCUGACCGAAUCUGAUUUUAAUCCAACCCCAACUUGAUCCCCAUAUAAUUAUAACCUGAUGCAAUCCAAACUAAACUUGAGUUUUUGAUUUGAUACAAUCUAAUCUGAAUAUUCUAACCCAAUCAACCUAAAAGCCGAUUAAGUUAAUCUGAACACAAAUUUACCCACUCCUAGCGAGGAUCAUGACCCAACAAGCUUUGAAAGAUUUUGAGGUUUCGAAGUGAAAUAUUAAAAAUUAGGUAUAAAAAGACUGAUUAGACCCCUAAGAACUUGAUAUAUAAAAUUUAUACAUAUAAUAGAAAUUUGAUUUAUAUAUUAUUAAAAUAAAAUCAAGUAACUCGAUUUUUUUUAUUGUAUUAAUUAUUUUUCCAUUAUGACGAUAUGACAAAUAGCCUUUUAUUAAAAUUUUGAUAAAACUUGGGCCUAAGUCUUUGAUUUUUAUUUUGUUAAUUAUUUUUUUAGUUUUUACUUGCAACAGUACUUCAAUUAUGAAUCAAAGUCGCCAAAUAAAAUCGCUGCAGCCUGUAGCUACAAGCAAAAUUCUAAAAUUUCGAAAUUCCUAACAACUAUAUAAUCGCUAUAAAUAGAAAAACGGUCUAAAAUUAAAUCCUCAGCUAACAUUUUAAGUUUGAAGUUGGGCCUCCUGAAGAUUUACCCCAUAUGGAUCAAAAUAUUGGUUUCGCUACUAAAAUUGCGAACUAUGUUUUUCUUUGUAUUUUCCGCUCAAGGAUGAAGAAAUUUCCCUCAACACUCUUGGCCGAAUAUCUUGCAAACAUAUGAUACUAAAGUGUCAUUUUUUGUUUUAAACAAAAAAUGACACUUUAAGGCAAUAGGAGAGUUUAAUGUAUUAAAAUGGUAAACGGGUGGAUAAAACUCAAAAUAAUUUUUUAACGUUUUAUCUAUUUUAACAUUCGAAUUUUAAACUUGAGAAGUCAAGCAAUCAAUAAACCUUUUUGAGAGGCUAAUUAAAUUCUUAGUAAUUUCACAUAAUUUCAUUUCAUCAGAACAAUUUUAUCAAAAGCAAUUUUAUAAAUCGUUGUUGAAAGCUUUAUUCCUUAAUUAUCUUUCACAUAUUUUUCUUUGUAGUAUGAGCUAAGUCAUAGACCAUAGUAUGAUAUUUAUUAUUACGUUAAAGAUGCGACAAAUUUGAGAAUAUUUAUUAUUACGUUAAAGAUGCUACAAAUGUGUUCAUCGGAGGAGUGGAAUCUGGGAAUUUAAAGAUGCUACUACAAUUACGAACGUGUGGGUGGGGAUAAGCAUAAAUGUCGAUAAAAGUUUGACUAAGAUCUUAUAUAUUGGAAAUUAAGAUAUUCUCUCUCUGCAUGUUAUUUCUGUAGGAAAUAACAUGCAGAUAUAGUAUUUUAGGUUAUUGUUAAUGGUUUUACAAUAAUAAAAAUCAUUUUGUUAGACCGUAAAAUGCCGUACUCACACUCUAUUUUGUGCAGAAGUCUGCGAGAAAGGAUUUCCACAUAUAUAUAUAUAUAUAUAUAUAGAGUCGUGUACUACAGAUUUAACUAGUGGAGAAGUUGGGAACUUUUUUUUUUUUUUUAUCUAACACAGGCUAAAAAUAUUUCAAUAAAUUAUGAUCAUGCAGACUAAUAAGAUUUUUUUUGUUAUAUAUAUUAAUUUUUUAGGGACUAAUGUGAAUAUUACUAAUUUUUUUGAGAUUAUUAAAAAACAAUGUUCUGACUUACCAAUAUGAUUUUUCCAAUCUUUUUUCUUUUCGUUAUUUAUUCCUUUGAGCAUUAGAGUUAAUGCUUGAUAUAAUUUUUGUGCUCAUUUUUUAAAUUAGUAAUUAAAUCUGAAUCUUAUAGUAGAAGAUUAUGAAAAAGUGAAGACACAAAAAGCAUUAAAAUCAUUAUUAGAUCCAAAUUUGUGCUAUUUUCAUACAUAACUUGAGAAUAUUUAUAAUUACGUAUCACAACUAGUGGAGUAGAAUCGGGGAAAUUAAACAUUCUACAAUCAUUGACGUGUGGGUUGGGGAUAAGCAUAAACUUUUUCUAUGCUGCAUAAAAGAAUGCAAUAACUCAUUUUCUUUCAGUAUUUUCGCAACAAAAGCACAUCUAAUAACUCUUUAGAAUUCUCGUCUUCUUUGCCACAAUGGUUGAUGCGAUCGUUUCCUCUCUCCUGGAGCAGCUGAUCUCUGUUGCGGCUGAUGAAGUGAAACAGCAGGUGAGGCUUGUGACUGGUGUCCGACAAGAAGUGAAAAAGCUUACCAGCAAUCUUCAAGCCAUUCGAGCUGUGCUGGAAGAUGCAGAGAAAAGGCAAAUGCAGCACGACAAAGCUGUUACUUUUUGGCUGGAUCAGCUCAAAGACGCAUCUUACGACAUGGAAGAUGUGUUGGAGGAGUGGACCACUGCAAGGCUCAAAUUGCAGAUUGAGGGCGUUGAUGAUGACACUGCUCUUGCUCUUGCUCCUCAUAAGAAGAAGGUACGUUCCUUCUUUUGUGCUCUAUCAAACUGCUUUGGUAGUUUCAAACAACUUAGUCUUCGUCAUGACAUUGCCGUCAAGAUUAGGGAAAUCAAUGGAACGCUAGAUGAUAUUGCCUCCCAAAAAGAUACGUUUAAAUUUGUGGAGAAUGUGAGUAACAAUGUCAAGAAACCAGAGCGAGUGCGAACCACCUCCUUGAUUGAUGAGGGAGAGGUUUGCGGUAGAGUUGAUGAGAAAAAUUAGCUCUUAAGCAAGUUGUUGUGUGAAAGUAGUGAACAACAACAAGGCCUUUAUGUCAUCUCACUAGUUGGGUUAGGGGGUAUAGGUAAAACCACUCUUGCACAACUGGCCUAUAAUAAUGAUGAGGUGAAAAGAAAUUUUGAAAAAGUUAUAUGGGUGUGUGUAUCAGACACUUUUGAGGAGAUUAGGGUCGCCAAAGCAACCAUUGAAGGUCUAGGUGUGUCGGCUUCUGGUUUAAGCGAAUUCGAAUCUCUUAUGAAACAGAUUCAGGAAUAUAUUACGGGGAAGAAAUUUUUUCUUGUUUUAGAUGAUGUGUGGGAUGGAGAUUACAAAAAAUGGGACCCAUUCUUUUCUUGUCUAAAGAAUGGCCACCAUGAAAGUAAAAUUCUAAUUACCACAUGUGAUAGGUCAGUUGAGCUACGGUUGGGAUCAAUAGAUAUUAUCCCUGUCAAGGAGUUGGGUGAAAGAGAAUGUUGGUUACUGUUUAAGCAGAUAGCAUUUUUACGUAGGUCCUUUGAGGAUUGUGAAAAAUUAGAACCAAUCGGGUGAAAAAUUGCACACAAGUGCAAAGGCCUGCCUCUUGCUGCAAAGGUAAUAGGGAAUCUCUUGCGCUCUAAAAGUACAGUAAAAGAGUGGCAAAGAAUUUUAGAGAGUGAAAUGUGGAAAGUAGAAGAGAUUGGGCAAGGUCUUUUAGCUCCUUUGUUGUUGAGUUAUAACAAUUUACCCUCCAAUUCUAUGGUAAAACGGUGUUUCUCAUAUUGUGCUGUCUUUCCAAAAAACUACAAUAUGAAUAAAGAGGAACUAAUUUCACUAUGGAUGGCUCAAGGUUACCUUAAUGCAGAAGAAGACGAAGAGAUGGAGAUGAUUGGGGAAGAGUAUUUCAACAUUUUAGCAGCACGCUCUUUCUUUCAAGAAUUUAAGAAAAAUGAUGAUGAUGAUAUUAUGAGUUGCAAGAUGCAUGACAUAGUGCAUGAUUUUGCUCAAUUUGUAAGUAGCAAAGAAUGUUUGUGGCUAGAAAUUAAUGGUACCAAAGAAUCAGUCAUAAACUCUUUUGGUGACAAAGUCCGUCACUUAGGGUUAAAUUUUGAAGGAGGCGCUUCAUUUCCUAUGUCCAUUCGUGGACUUGAUAGAUUGCGUACCCUUUUAAUUUAUGAUAGAAGUGAUUUCAAUCUGUCUCUUAGUAGUAGCAUCCUUUCGGAGUUAUUUAGUAAAUUGGUGUGUUUAAGGACAUUAGUUAUAAGGCAAUCGUCCCUAUAUUUUCAUCCUUUUCAUCUUGACCCAAAUUCGAUUAGAGAAAUUCCAGAAAAUAUCAGAAAAUUGAUACAUUUAAAAUAUCUUAAUUUGUCUGAAUUAGGCAUAGAGAUACUACCUGAGACUUUGUGUGAAUUAUAUAAUUUACAAAAGCUAGAUAUUAGGCGGUGCCGAAAUCUUAGAGAAUUGCCAGCGGGGAUUGGGCAGUUAAUGAACAUGAGGAGUUUACUGAAUGGUGAAACUUAUUCGUUGAAGUACAUGCCAAUAGGGAUUUCCAAAUUAACCAGCCUUCGAACAUUAGACAGGUUUGUGGUGGGUGGAGGUGUUGAUGGUAGCAAUACGUGUAGGCUUGAAUCUCUGAAAAAUCUUCAACUCCGUGGUAAAUGUAGUAUAGAAGGGCUGAGUAAUGUGUCACAUUUAGAUGAGGCUGAGAGGUCGCAACUUUACAAUAAGAAAAACCUCCUUCGUUUGCAUCUUGAGUUUGGUAGAGUCGUAGAUGGGGAAGGCGAAGAAGGGAGGAGGAAGAACGAGAAAGAUAAACAACUUCUUGAAGCCUUACAACCGCCUUUGAAUGUAGAGGAAUUCGGGAUUGUAUUCUACGGAGGCAACAUUUUUCCCAAAUGGUUGACUUCACUAACCAAUCUAAGGGAAUUAAGACUUGUCUCGUGCGUUGACUGUGAGCAUUUGCCUCCUUUGGGAAAAUUGCCUCUGGAAAAACUCGAACUAGGGAACUUGAAAAGUGUAAAAAGAUUGGGUAAUGAGUUUUUGGGAAUAGAAGAAAGCAGCGAGGACGAACCAUCUUCAUCUUCAUCGUCAUCAUCAGUUACUGCCUUCCCCAAAUUGAAAUCACUGGAAAUUAAGGGAUUGGAUGAACUGGAAGAGUGGACUUACAGGAUUACGAGGAAGGAAAACGUCUCCAUCAUGCCCCGUCUUUCUUCCUUGCGAAUUGAUUCUUGCUUCAAAUUAAAGGCGCUGCCGGAUUACCUUCUUCAAACGACGGCGCUGCAGAACCUGAGGAUUUUUUUUUGUGAAAAUAUGGAAGAACUGCCCAUUCUAGAAGAUCACAGGACAACAGACAUACCACGUCUUUCUUCCUUGCGAAUUUGGUAUUGCCCCAAAUUGAAGGCGCUGCCGGAUUACCUUCUUCAAACGACGGCACUGCAGAAAUUGACAAUUUGGGGAUGUCCCAUUCUGGAAAACCGUUAUAGAGAGGGGAAAGGAGAAGACUGGCAUAAGAUAUCUCACAUUCCCCACAUCAGGUGGUCGGCGUAAGAUGUCACUAGGGAUGGCAAUUUGCGGGUUUGGGCCGGGCUUUUUAAAGCCCAGGCCCAAGCCCGCAUCAUUCAAAAGAAGCUUAGGCCCUUCAAAAGCCCGUCCAACUUAGACGGGCCGAACUCGGGCCGGGCCUAGACGGGCCUGGGCCGGGCUCGGGCCGGGCUUGGACUUUUUAAAUUAAUUAUAAAAUAUUUUUUAAAUUAAGAAAAAAUAUUUAAAUUAAAGAUAAUAAUAUAAUACAUAGAUAGAAUAAUGGUAAAAUACAUGAAAUAUUAGUAAUACAACCUAAUAAAAUAACAAAUACUAAUAUAAAAAAUUAAACUAAUUUAAUAUUUUGAAUUUUUUCUUUUUUAUUUAAAUUAAAUUUAUUUUUUAUUCAUAAAUUUAAAAAGCCUGGGCCAAGCCCGGGCUUUUUUGCUAAGCCCUUGUCCAGGCCCAACAUAUGCGGGCUUUGUAAUUUUUAGGCCCAUAUCCAUGCCCAUCUGUGCGGGCCGGGCUUUAGGCCCGCGGGCCUGGGCCGGGCUUGGCCGGGCCGGGCCAAGCCCGGGCUUUUUUGCCACCCCUAGAUGUCACUCGCUGGUAAUUUCUCCUCCUUCUCUGAAUUACUUCGUAGUUGCUUGCAAUGAAAUUGAUAAAAAUAAUUAUAUUUUGAAUUAAAAUUCUAUAUAAAAUCAAUCAUCGUAUAAAUAUGUAAAACUUCCUAGUUAUCAAAUCUGUUAAACUUGUUUUCUAAAGAUUAAAUAAUAAAAAAAUACAAGUGUAGUCUGUUUAAAUUUCUAUAUUUAUUUACUUUUAAAAAAUAUGUACUUUUAAAUUUCACACAACAACAUAGAAAAUCUCAGUGUAAUUUAUUUUUUAAUGUACGAAAAGUUGUUAUGUGUAACUUCCUGAGAGAAAAAAUCUCUGUGAUACAUUUGCAGUAAUGUUGAAAACUAAAUUAUUAAUUUUAUCUUGUAUAAUGAUAAUUGUAUUUUUUUAUAUAUAAUUCUUUAAAGUAAUUGUGUAAUUGUUUUUACUACGAGUUUAUGUUUCAUUUUAAUUAUGUUCACCAGGGAUUCGAGGAAAUGUCAGAACCACACUAGCAAUUCACAGGUCCAAUCUAAUUUGGUUUUAAUGAUGCAGGCAGGAGAGUAUGCUAAGAAAAUGAAAAGUUUAGCCAAAGGAUUGCUAAAAUGUUCUGUUGGUAAUUCACUUGCUUUAUUUUAUAGAAUUUCAUUUCCAUCUUCUUCUAUUGAUAUCUUGUUGUGAAUAAACAAGAACAGAGAAGUAAAUGAUUGAACCACAGAGAAGUAAAAAUAUAUCCAAAUUCGAUUAUUAUGAUGAUUAAAGCAAGCUCAAGCUCAAGCAUUGCAUUUUUUAUUUUAUUUAGUUUAUAGAAUUUUCAUUUCCACCUGCAUUGCAUUUUUAUUUUAUUUUUAGGUUUUCUUUGAAGACUCUAUGGAGAACAUUGGGGUAACCAAGGAUUAUCACUGUGGUUAUUGUAUUUUUAGGUUUUCUUUGAAGACUCUAUGGAGAACAUUGGGGUAACCAAGGAUUAUCACUGUGGUUAUUGUGCAACGUUUGGUUGCUGGACUUUGAAGAAGGAAGUGAUGGCCGGGUCCGCUCUGUUUCAAUUGAGGAUUGAUAGCUGCCUGAAAGACAUGAUGAUUGUUAUUGCAUGAUGUUAAGGUGCUAAGAUCAUCAUUUCUAUCUUGUUUCAUUCUUUGAUCGGUUUAUCCUAUAUAAACAUAUGGAAUUAUGCUAAUAUUAUCAUAUGCGUCAAUGGAGGCAGGAAUUUGGUGUUGACACUAUUAUGCAGGUAACCACACUUCAUAAUUUGCACAAAUUUGCGUCAAUGCAGGCAGGAAUUUGGUGUUUCUUUGUAUUAUCAGGUUAUCAUCUCCAAGGGUUUGAAAGAGCCUUUGCAGUAAAGUCAGCUGUCACCAGCUCGUGCAAUUGCACGUUCAUUCAGAGUACUUCAACAUUCGAUUUUCAAGUUUUGUAUGUUUAGUUGCGAUUAAAAUGUUUAGUCACUCAUUUUUAAUCAUUUCUGAUUUUCAAGUUCUUUAGGGCCAUAAACAGUUUUUCAAACUCAUUCUUAUUUUUUUGGUUGAUUUCCUAUUCGUGGAGAACAUUGGCAAGUCCAAGGAUUAGGCUGGCGAUGGAACUACUACCUCUGUUGUUAUUGUGCAAGGUUUGAUCGCUGGACCUUGAACAAGAAUGCCUUAAACGCAUUCUGUAAUUGAAGCGUUCUCUAAAGCAAAAGAGCAGUAGAAGGAAUAGUGAUGGCCGGAUCUGCUCUAUCUUAAUUGAAGAUCUCUGUGAUGUUGAGGAGCUGAAAGCAGUUGAUGCUUUUUGAAAAUUGUUAUUACAGAUGAAUUGAUUCCUGAAGACGAGUAUCUAAUGAUUGUUAAGGCGUAUUUUCAUGCUGUAGUAACAAUUUCAUAUCUUGCAUCUCUCGGGUGCAUCAUGUUCACGGGUUUGAAAAAGCAUUUGUGGUAAUGCUUCAAAGCUUGUACAAUGGCUGUGAAAAGGCACAUUCAAUUAGGUACGUUUUGGUGCGGUCUCCCAAUGCUAAUAUCAUAUUUUGUAUAGCAAUUAAAAUUUAGCUAUACAAUCUUAAUAUGCAAUAAAUCAUUGUAUACAAAGUUUUUUAUUGAUUAUAUGGUGACUGAAAUUUUAAUUAUCAUAUCAAUUUAAAUUUUUUUGUAACUCUCUUUUACUUUGCUUGUACAGAGUACCUGUUUUGGCUGAUAUGUCUAAUUCGUAGAAAUUCAUUUCCAUCGGUUUCCAUUGGCUUUAGCACAAACCGAAACAGAUCUCUGGGGAAAAGUUUUACUUCUUGUGAUAUUAUGCCUUUGUUUAUUCAUUCAUCAUAUUUUUCGAAUUCAUGAUCUCAUUCAGAGGGUAAAGCCUUUUCCAGGCUGCUUUGUAGCCAAACUUUGACGCCUUUGAUGCAUGACUGUCAUUUAGAUUUUCCAAAUAACUGUUGGAUUGGAGAAGAAUAAGAAGAUACUGUUAAAAGGGUAUUUAAUUAGCGCCCUCUGAAUUUCUUGGAGUUAAUGUAGUCAAUUGCCCAAUUUUGCUUCAAACUCUGAGACACCUAAUAAAUAGUAGGAGGGGGUGGUAUUCGCCUGGUGUUAAUUUCCUGGCAAGUAUAGUUCACAGAUAGAUGGGUUCUUUUCUUGAUGUCUAAAUACCAUAUGUGAUACAACAUCGUGUAUUCCAAUUUUUCUCCAAUUAAAUUUUAAUACGUUAGAAAAGUUAAUUUUGUUUUAGCAAUGAAUUGUUUUCUUAAUAAUAAUGAUUGCCAUGUUCCUCUGAAGUCUUAUUAAUGCCAGACCAACAACUACUAGGUUCAUCUCUCGUUCACUUCCUCAGGGAAUCUAGAGGGCAUUCAUUGGCAAGUAGUCUUUCUUGUUGAGCUCCUGGAAUUACUUUUAAUUUAUCAUUUGUUGGGUUUUGCUUUUUGAUUGCUUUGGGAUUUGUGUUUUUAUCGCUUUGUCGCUCAUUAAUCUUGGCUGUUUUGAAUCUGUGUUGGAUUUAGAAGUUUGGAGUUAAAAACAGUUAAAGCUUAGACUAGUAGAAGAGAUUUGUACAUUCAUUUAUCUUGGACAAAGUUUUUGGGGAAAAAAAAAUUAUAAGUAUACACUUUCCAAUGGUCCGGUGAUGUUUGAUUGGUUUUAAGAUGUUGGAUCUCUCAUCAGAUUUCUUAUGUAUCGACUGCUGUUGCCACAGGAUGCUCGCAGAUCAUGCUUUUUUGUAUAAACUUCUACUAGAGCAGGCUGCCACAAUUGGUUGCAUUGUUUUGUGGGAGUUGGAGAAUCGUAAGGAGAGGUGUUUUUUCUCUCAUAUCAAAGGAACUCUCCCCUUCCUUUUUAUUUUCAUCUUAUAUAGUAAGCUAAUAAAUGUUUGUUUCUGUCGUGAUGGGAUAAAGCAAGAAUGAGAUCUUGCCCUAAUAAAUGUGCUCACAGUAACAGCAUGUAAUUUUGUUGUUUGGUCGCUUGCUCCUUGUCGUUCUUAUGGAAACACCUUCCGGUUUGACUUGCAAAAUACAUUACAAAAGCUCCCAAACAAUAUAUUUGAACGGAGUUACCCAUUUCGAGAAUUUGACUUGCAAAAGAGAAUCCACCCCCUUUUUUACAAGGCUGCAGAGUUGUAUAUGGUGGGAUUAAAUGCUGGAGCAGUGCAAGGUUCUUUGUCAAACUAUCUUGCUGGUAAAAAGGACAGGUCAACAUGGUUGCAAAACUUCCUUUUCAUUCCUCAUUCACUUAUUCAUUAUAAAUAAAGAAAACUUAGAAGAUUGUUCUGUUUACUGUCUGAGCCUGUUUAGCAUUUGUUAAAUUUGGGCCACCUUUAAUGUCUGACAGGUUAUCUAUGACAAUCCCAUCUGUGAGUACUAGUGCGCUUGGUUAUGGUGCUUUCCUUGGACCAUAUGCAAACAUGAGAUAUCAGCUAUUUUAUGGAUUUGAUAGAGCCGUCAUCAACCAUUUUGAUGUUAUUGGAAUAGCACUGUUCUUAAACACUGCUUUGAGGUCUCUCCCUCUAUCUCUUUUACGUAUUUGUUUAUUGAUCUACAUCUCUAUAUACAUUGAUAGACUAAUCUGGUCGUACCAAAUUACCCUUGUUUUAAUGUUUUGUUUGUUAAACUUUGACUGGGGAAUCUGUUUAUUUGUCUGAUAUGAUGUUAGUGUGGUUUCUAUUGAAGUGUGUAGAUCUAAGGAUGGUUUUAAAUUAACUGAACCCUGAGGUAGUUUUCUAAGGAAAUACAAGUGGUGAAUAUGGUUCCAACUUUUGAGUGCCUUAAUUAACCCAUUUGUUAAGCCCCGUGCGUAAACAAUCAGUAAUUGCUGUCCAAAUUCUUCUUUACUGCCUAUAUGUGUUGGACUUUGUCUAUUGUUCAACUUCUCAAAUGGAUUCCAUGCAGGGUUCUUAAUGUCCAAUUAGGAGAAAGAUCAAGGCUUGCUUGGCUAGGAGUGGAAGCGGAUCCGCUACUUCAGUCAGAUGACCUUUUGAAGAGGGCUUACAAGAGGCCGUCUCAGGAUGUCAAUGGCUCAACUCAAAAGUCCCCAAGGUGGUUGAUAUCAAAGAAUGCCAUUGUCUCUGGGCUUGGGCUCCUUGGCAUCAAACAAGGGAAUGUCGACUCUGUUGAAGGGGAAGCAAGGGCUCCUAAAGUGCGAAGAAAGAGGAUAGUCCGGAAGAAGGUGACCGCAUAAAUUUCUUGGGAGUUAAUCCUAGUCAAUAGCCCAAUUUUGCUGCCUGUUGAAGAGAUACAACACGGAAAUCCUCAUCAAACUCUUUGAGACAUCUAAGAACUUGUAGGGAGGUGGUGGUAUUCACCGUGUUUCCUGGCAAGUGUAGUUCACUAAUAGAGGGAUUCUUUUCUUGAUGUCUAAAUACUAUAUGUGCUACAACAUCGUAUAUUCCAAUUUUUCUCCGGUUAAAUUCUAGUAAGUUAGAAAUGUUAAUUUUGUUAUAGCGAUGAAUUGUUUUCUUAAUAAUAAUAAUGGCCUGUUGCUUGGGAAUCGUAUUCACUCUCUGUAACCCAGUAAAAUUGUGCAAAUUUUACUGCAGAUUUGUCAAACAGAGUAUUUUGUGAUUGUUUUGAUACACUUUUGAUGGCAAGUUCAAGUUUGAAUCAUCUUGUAAUAAUAAUAUAUGUAUUGUAUUUAUGUAUUGUAUACUAUCCUUAGGGAUAAGGAUAAGAGUGUAUAAAGUGUGAUAAAACAUAAAGUAGGAUAUGAGUUGUAAAGUAGAUUUCUUUGUGAUAAGGAUCAUUAAUGCCUACAGUAUGUAAUAGUAGUUCCCUUGUGCCUAUAAAAGGAAACCCUUGGUUUCUAUCUAGGCAUCGAGUCUUGGAGUGCAAUCUUGUAUUUGUAAAUCUCUCAUUCCUCUUAAUAGAAGUAACAUUCUCUUGUUGGUUAUUUUGAAUUGGUAUCAGAACCAUAUUUCCCAAAAGGAAACCCCUGGGUGUGCAACAAUAUUAUGCUCUGUGGUUGCCGAAAUACUUCGGAUCCUUCACAUCAGAAAGUUGUUGGAUACUGAUCUAACUGUCCAAACUUUCCAUGCUAAAAUACUACAGAGUGAAUUCUGUAAGGUGUGGCGCCCCCUUGAAAAGGCUAGGAGAGCCGAGUUUAGGGUUUAUCACCCCAAAGAAAACCCUUUGAUUUCUUUUAGCCAUGGAAAACCAAAACAACAAUAGAUCAGGAAACCAACCAAUUUCUGAACAGGCAUCCACUUCGGCCAUCAGAGUUACUACUGAUAGCUCGCCCUCCAUAAACUUCCAUUAUGAGACCCGAGAGGAUGAAAGCAGUGAGAGAGCAGUCCAGUCCUUCAGACUUGAUCACCUAAGAGCCAUAAUCCCCAUCAAACAACCUAAGCUUAAAACCAUCUAUAAAUCAUCUGAAAUCACUGUCCAGUCCAUCUCCUCCAGCUCAAAAGAAACAUACCUUCCCAUAAUCUCUACUAAUGAGGUUACAAGGUACAAGAUGCAGGGAUACAAAGGCUUGCACCUUGGAGCAAUCCAGAUAGGAAUACAACCAUUAUUUCUAGUUGGAAAAGAUAUAACAUGUUUUAUUGCCAUUCUGGAUACUAGAUGACAAACUUUAAAAAAGGCCUUGAUAACUGUAGUUGAAGCAGGACUCAACCAAGGUCAUGUUGUCCUCCAAGUUGAACCAAACUUCACCCUUGACAUACACAAACCAUCCCUCACAGAUGACAGAGUCUUUCAACCCAAGACUUAAAGGCAAAACCAACUCAUUUUUCCACCACAAUGGAUCAAUGAGUAUGAGAAAAACAACAGACCUCAACAGAUCCAUGAGGUCCCAAAGAUAAGCAGGUUGCAGGAAGGAAGGGUAUUAGUCUCUUUUCCUACAGAGACCAAAGCCCUCUACCCAUGUGAGAAAUGCCAACUUGAAGGAAAGCAUCCCUCUUUGUGCACACACAUGCCAAGAAGGACGACCUCUUGUAGAAUCAUUGGUCCAGUCAACAUGAUCACCACCCCAGACCUUAAUAAUGAAUUUGUCAUGGAUAUUCCUGGCGGUAUAUAUGCAGCCAAAUGGGUUAUUCAAAAAACUAACCCAACUGAGUUUGGUCAAAUAGAGAAUGCACUCAAUUGGUCAAACAUCAAUGUUGUAGAGUAGAAUCAGGCUCUCGGAGAUAUCAUGGCCACUCAACAGCAAAUUCUUUCUGACUUAGCUGUUAUCAUAAAACAGCUAAAAAAGACCUGAAAGCAUCAUAAGAUGACUAAUCAGCAGUUCUCACAACAGCAUGAUGAUGCCGCCAGAUCAAUCAACAUGAUUGUCAUGACAGGAGCUGCAAAUGAAGAUGAAAUGGAAAGAACAAGGGAAAGCUGUACCAGAAAGAAAGUGUCCAGACACUGGAAGAGCAAAUCCACAAAACCAUGGCAUAUCUGGGAGGAAAAUGCAUCUGGCAACUAUCAGAAGGCAUUCUGGAGAAGUUAUGCUCAUCCUCUGCAAUAUCAGUGGCCUCAAAAGGCUACAAGAUGGAACGAAGAAGAUGAUACUGGCGAUGAGACAAGUGUCUCCUCAGAUGAUCAGUUCCCUCCUAUACCAGUCCUUAUGCAAAGAGCAAAUCCUGCCAAUUCAUUUUAUGUGAAUACUCGUGCAAGAUUUACUAACCCAACACAGGGUCAGACUUUUAAUCCGAACCGGCCAGAACCAACCCAAAAUCUGUCAGGAACAACCCAGUUCACUGCCCCAAAAUUCACUGGUCAGACUGAAUCCACUGCUCAACCAGCUACAUCCGGAGUAGAUUCAUCUAAUCCGGCAGAGCAGGUACCAUACAUGGAUGAGGUGUCUCAAGGAGAAGAGUGGGAAACCCGUGUACAAAUCGGGCACUCAACAACUAGCAAAAUAUUCUGGAACGUUGACGGCAUGAAGCCAAAAGAACGAUUGGCUUACUUCGAAAAAAUGGUGGCCUGGUACGAAGGCGAAUGUCAAAGAGCCCCCCAGUUGAGCAGAAGAUCAGUAGCACUAAGGCUGAUUGGUUCGUAAAUCUUGAGAUCGGCAAUGGCUCUGGAUGAUCUCCAUUGACAUCUGAUAUAGCUGAGCUAGGCUGAGCUGUGCUAAGUCAACAAUUGCACUUCAAGACUCGAUUCCUAGAUACAAACCAAGGGUUCCCUUUUAUAGGCACAAGGGAACCACUAUUACUUACUGUAGACAUUAUUGAUCCUUAUCACAAAGGAAUCUACUUUACAACUCAUAUCCUACUUUAUGUCUUAUCACACUUUAUACACUCUUAUCCUUAUCCCUAAGGAUAAUAUACAAUACAUAAAUACAAUACAUAUAUUAUUAUCACCAUUGCUUCUACUGUAGGGUUCACUAAGCUUCCGCUACAGUCCAGAGUUGCCACUUGUUGGCGUGCUUCUUCCUAACCUGUGGUUCCAUCGUUCUUCGGAUGCGGCAUCCAUGUCAUCUCCCAUAUUAGGCCAUAUGGGAUCUUUAACAUUGCCUGGUUGGGGGUUUAGUUCUGGUUGGGGCCAGUCUUGGAGGUCUAACCAAUGGGCCAUUUCUUCGAGGUCGUUCCUCCAUCUGUCAAUAUCUAGAGUGUCCAGAUAAGUGACUUCCUUUGGCCUGCCAUGUCGAGUGAGGUAGUCAUUAUACCUCAGAUGCAUGUCUGCUGCUUCAUCUUCUUCGUCAUGGAGCUUGAGAUUCCUAAUCUCUUCCCUGUAGUAGAGAUCUGAAGUAUUGCAGAAUUAUGGGGAAACUGGGCUGUGAGUAUUGUACAUAGGAACACUCCCAUAUACAUCUGCCAGUGCCCUUCUUGCAUUCCAGCAGUCUGUCCACAUGGAGUCUAUUUCUUCGUGGGAGUGGUCAUGCUGGACCAUUUGUACAAGCGGCUGCUUGUAUCUUCCCCAGAUAUCUGUGAGUUUCACAAUCACUAUAGUAGAGUGAGUGAUGUGAUACCCGUUGAUAAGCUUUAGCGUUAGGAUAUCCUCAAAGAUAGGAGCGAACAUUCGGUCGAACCAUUUUCCUUUGCCAUAUCUUCUGCUGGUGUGGAUGAGAUUUGGUUCGAACAAUAUCGCCGCCGAGUAGAUGUUAAGCCAAUACCACGUUAUGUAAUAGGCUUGUGGGGUUAUGUCACAGAUAAUAUAAUGUCCCCAGUUGGAGUUCUCAUCUAUUACAUAAUGGAAGGUGCAAUCGAUCUUGAAGACCGUUUCAUGCAUCUGGUCAGGAUUUGGAUGCAGAUCAAAAGCUCUUUGACAUCUUUUAUUAUGGGCAGGUCUAUGUUCUUGCAUGGCCAUGAGCUGCCAUACCUGCCAUGUUAGAGCUUGAUCUUCUGGAUCUCUUUUGUGGGUGAUGACUUUCUCAAAGAUAUCUUCCUGGACUUCUGAGGGAAGCCAUGCGAUGAAAGUGUUAAGAUCCUUGAGAAAGUGUGCUCUAGUUUCAUGAGCACUAGAGCUACCUUCUUCCCAUCUUCUUGGGAGAUUCCUCCUUCUGAUCAUAGAGAUUGGUCUGGAAAGGAAAUCCGCUACAGUGUUGGAUUCUCCUUUGAUGUGUCUUAUUUCGAACUUGAAUCUCGAGAGAGACUCAGACCACCUUGCAAGCUGUGGAUAUGAGAUUUCUCAUUCUUUUCUCCUGAGUAAUCCCUGGAGUAUUUAUAGUCUGUUUCAAUCACAAAGGGAGUUAAUGAGAGAAAGAACUGGAAUUUCUUGAUCCCUUUGACGACAGCUAAGACUUCUUUCUUAGAGGAAGGGUAGUGGCUUUGGGCAUCGUUGAACUGGCCAGAUUUAUAGCCACAUACUUUCUUGUUUCCCUCGGUUUCCUCUAUCAACAAUGCUCCCCAAUAAUGGUCACUAGCAUCUGUCUGUAGGAUGAGCUGUCAUUUGUCAGGUAUCUUUAAUGGCGGAAGUGACUGGCACUUUUGUUUUAAGUCUGUCACUGCUUUUGUCGCAUCUUCCGACCAUUGUGGGGCAUUCUUCUUUAAAUGCUUGAAUAUCUGACUCGUCAUCUUUGACAGGUCCUGCACAUGGUCUGCUGCAUAGUUGAUUAUCCCAAGGAAUUGCUGGAUCUACUUUCUUGUAAACAGCUGGUUAGGAAAUUGUGAUAUUUUCUCAGCAAUAUGUGGCUGAGGAAUAAUGAAUCCCUGCUUGAUGUGUAAUCCCAAAAAGUCUACCUCAUCAAGGCCUAUCUUCAUCUUUGGUUCGGACAGGGCUAACCCAUGUUUGUAGGUUAGAGCUUUGAAUUUAGAUAGGUGCUCAACAUGUUCUUCUUCACUGUUGCUGAAGAUGAGAGCAUCGUCGAUGUAGAUAAGGCAAAAUCCUGAGAUGGAUUUGUAUACCUCAUCCAUUCUGUUUUGGAAUUCUGACGGUGCAUUCUUUAGACCGAAAGGCAUCACGUUCCACUCAUAAUGCCCAUGGGGGACCACAAACGCUGUCUUGUGUCUGUCUUCUUCCUUGAUUCCAAUUUGCCAAAAGUCUGACUUCAUGUCAAACUUUAAGAACACCUUUGCUCCAGCAAUGCGUUUCAAAAGGUGUUUCCUGCGUGGAAUGGGGUAUCUUAUGUCCUGCAAGCAAUCAUUCAGUUUCCUGUAGUCUAUCACUAAUCGCUUCUUUCCACAUAUCUGUUCUGAAUGCUUGUUGACAUAAAAUGCUGGGCUGGCCCAAUGAGAUUUUGAGGGCCUGAUGAGCUUCAGAUCCAUAAGUGCUUGGAUCUCAGUUCUGCGUAGUCCUUCGUCAUGGGGCAUGUCUGGAUGUGAGGCUGUCUGGUGAGGAUGGUCCAUCCAUCCUUGUAGGGUAGAGACACAAAAUGCUGUUCUCUAGCCCAAAAUUGGUUAGGAGCUUCUGCACAACAUUCCAAGAGCUCGUUGAUCUGGGGUUCAUAUUAUGGAUAGGGUAAUUUUCUAGUUUUCCACCCUCCCCAAAAAUGGAGUGUUUUUCAACCCAAGGAACUUGGAAAGAAUGACUCGUACCAUCCAGAGGAUUGCGAAUGGUAUAAGAGAAUCCUUCGGGAAAAAAGGCAAAAGGGGCAACCAGACUAAAAAAGUCGGUUCCCAACAAGAUAUCUUCACCGGAAUAAUCAAAAGUGAAGAAACCAUGCAUGAUCAUGAAUGGUUGGAUUUCUAUUGGUCGAGUAAUCUUUUUGCUAUAGAAGUCUCUGCCACUGGCGGAUCCAAAAGAAACUUUAGUAGGAACAUAAAAGCUUUUUGGAAUACAAGCUUCUCAGAUAAACGAGCACAUUGCUCCUGUAUCAAUAAGAGCAGUUAGUGCUACUUGAGUAUCCUCUGUUAGAUUGAGGAUAAUUUUGAUAUGUGGCCUAAAAAGAGAUGAUGGUUGCAUAGCGAGCUUUAUCUGUAAUGGGUCAUGGACAACCAUAACAAGGUCCUCGUCAUCAGAACUGCUAUCAAGGCUUGUGAUGGAGUCGGUAUCCUCAAUAUCUGAAUAAGGAUACUCAUCUAAUGUGUAGACUGCUCCGAGUGGACUAUCCUACCAGGCAUAGAUUUCAUCGUCAAAAUCGUCCUGUUGGAUUAGGUGGAGGAGCUUUGCCGGAAGCUUUCUCUUAAAUUUGCAUUGUUUGGCAUAGUGACCUUUCUUUCCACAGAUAAAACAUCUACCAGAUCCCUUCUUCUGGUUUCGCUUUUUGAUGAAGCGGUGUUUCUUGCCUUUGUAGGGUUUCCAGGGCUGUUUUUCUUUUCUUCGUUUGCCAGUAUUGCAGGAGCACAUUUUGUCAGUAUGUUGGCAACCAAACUUGUUUGGUUCGUCGUUACAAAAUUUUUGCAGAGAGGAUUUCUCAAUCUGCUUCAUGUGCUUUCGUAAAUCUUGAGAUCGGCAAUGGCUCUGGAUGAGCUCCAUUGACAUCUGAUAUAGCUGAGCUAGGCUGAGCUGUGCUAAGUCAACAAUUGCAUCAGCUUUGAAUUUUGCCUCCAUCAUUUCUGCAACUAGUCCUGGCAUAUUCAGCACGAACGUUCUGUGGAUGGUGUCAGAUGUUUUAUCAAAGGUGUAGUACAACCUUUCUUGCUCCAUGUAGUACUCUUCCAUCCUUCGAACGUCACAGCAUUUGUUUUGGAGAAAUUACUUUUCUGCAACUUCCUCUUCUUUUGUGAACUGUCCUAGAAAAUCUAAUGAUAGAUUUUCUAGAAGACUUCCACAAGGAUCAUCUCUGUUGAGAAUGUGCUGCCGUUGUUCUCUUGUGAGCUUUCUUCCCCACCAUCGUCGUAAUGAGCCGACGAAUCCUGCAAUCAGCCUUAGUGCUGCUGAUCUUCUGCUCAACUGGGGGGCUCUUUGACAUUCGCCUUCGUACCAGGCCACUAUUUUUUCGAAGUAAGCCAAUCGUUCUUUUGGCUUCAUGCCGUCAACGUUCCAGAACAUUUUGCCAGUUGUUGAGUGCCCGAUUUGUACACGGGUUUCCCACUCUUCUCCUUGAGACACCUCAUCCACGUGUGGUGCCUGCUCUGCCGGAUUAAAUGAAUCUACUCCGGAUGCAGCUGGUUGAGCAGUGGGUUCAGUCUGACCAGUGAAUUAUGAGGCAGUGAACUGGGUUGUUCUUGAUGGAUUUUGGGUUGGUUCUGGCCGGUUCGGAUUAGAAGUCUGACCCUGUGUUGGGUUAGUAAAUCUUGCACGAGUAUCCACAUAAAAUGGAUUGGCAGGAUUUGCUCUUUGCAUAAGGACUGGUAUAGGAGGGAACUGAUCAUCUGAGGAGACACUUGUCUCAUCGCCAGUAUCAUCUUCUUCGUUCCAUCCUGUAGCCUUUUGAGGCCAUGGAUAUUGCGGAGGAGGAGCAUAACUUCUCCAGAAUGCCUUCUGACAGUUGCCAGAUGCAUUUUCCUCCCAGAUAUGCCAUGGUUUUGUGGGUUUGCUCUUCUAGUGUCUGGACACUUUCUUUCUGGUACAACUUUCCCUUGUUCUUUCCAUUUCAUCUUCAUCUGCAGCUCCUGUCAUGACAAUCAUGUUGAUUGAUCUGGUGGCAUUAUCAUGUUGUUGUGAGAACUGCUGAUUAGUCAUCUUAUGAUGCUUUCGGGUCUUUUUUAGUUGUUUUCUGAUAACAGCUAGGUCAGUAAGAAUUUACUGUUGAGUGACCAUGAUAUCUCCGAGAGCCUGAUUCUGCUCUACAGCAUUGAUGUUUGACCAAUUGAGUGCCUUCUCUAUUGGACCAAACUCAGUUGGGUUAGUUUUUUUAAUAACCCAUUUGGCUGCAUAUAUAUAGCCAGGAAUAUCCCUGACAAAUUCAUUAUCCAGGUCUGGGGUGGUGAUCAUGUUGACUGGACCCAUGAUUCUGCAAGAGGUCGUCCUUCUUGGCAUGUGUGUGCACAAAGAGGGAUGCUUUCCUUCAAGCUGGCAUUUCUCACAUGGGUAGAGGGCUUUGGUCUCUGUAGGAAAAGAGACUGAUACCCUUCCUUCCUGCAACCUGCUUAUCUUUGGGACCUCAUGAAUCUGUUGAGGUCUGUUGUUUUUCUCAUACUCAUUGAUCCAUUGUGGUGGAAAAAUGAGUUGGUUUUGCCUAUAUGUCCUAGGUUGAAAGACUCUGCCAUCACCAGCAAGAAAUCUGGUAAUAGGUUUGCCAGAGCUGUUCAUGGAGAACAGAUGGGUUUGGACAUUAUAGGUCAUGGUGUGGUGAAUUGUCAAGGCAGAUUCAUCAGGUUUCAUGGUUAAACCAUUGACCUGAAUUAGUACCUUUAUGGCAUCUGUGAGGGAUGGCUUGUGUAUGUCAAGGGUGAAGUUUGGUUCAACUUGGAGGACAACAUGACCUUGGUUGAGUCCUGCUUCAACAGUAGUUAUCAAGGCCUUUUCAAAAGUUUGCCAUCUAAUAUCCAGAAUGGCAAUGAAACAUGUGAUAUCUUUUCUAGCUUGGAACAAUGGUUGUAUUACUAUCUGGAUUGCUCCAAGGUGCAAGCCUUUGUAUCCCUGCAUCUUGUACCUUGUAACCUCAUUGGUAGAGAUUAUGGGAAGGUACGUUUCUUUUGAGCUGGAGGAGAUGGACUGGACAGUGAUUUCAGAGGAUUUAUAGAUGGUUUUAAGCUUAGGUUGUCUGAUGGGGAUUAUGGCUCUUAGGUGGUUAAGAGUAGGGCUAAAGAUGGAAGAGUACUUGUUGAGGGUUAGAAAAUGUAUAUUUAUAAAGGAGAAAAUCAUAAUUUUACACUACAACCUUUACUAACACCCUUACUUUUAUGCAUUUAACAUUUUUUUGAUUUAAUUCCGUGUGUUUUAUUUUAAUUAAGCAUUUUAUGUAUUUUAGGGGCAUCAUAGUCAUUUCACAAAAAACGAGAGAUCAGACGGCAAAACGGACAUCACUUUUGAACUCAGGACGGUCGAAAACCUUAGGAGGAGCAUAAAAGGAAAAAUGGCACUAUUCACAUGUACGAUACUAUUCACGUGUACGGUACUGUCUACGUUACUGUUCAUGACACUGUUCACAUAGACGGAUCGAUGACGUGGCAUUAACCGAUGAUGUGGCAUUGACUGAUGAGGUGUCACGAUCCUAUUGGGCUAAAAUUCUUAUGUACUGUCGAUGGUGACGUGACAGCAUAUUAGUGGACGAAAAAUCUCGCGUACGGUACAUGCAUCACACAGGAUUAUUUUCAACCAAACCGUGUCACUGUUCACCCAGGUCAAACUGUGUUACUGUUCAUCCGCGUGGUCAAACCGCGUACUGUUGACUGAUGACGUGGCGCAAUCCUGAGCGUCCAAACUGUUUUUAAUCCGAUUGCCAUGAUUUACUCCAUGUAUCUAUAAAAAGGGGGCUCCCCCCCCUAAUUUGAUAUCUCUGAAUCCAUUUUUGGGAUCCAUUUUCUGUAAUUCCUUCUCCAUCUUAUAUUUUCUAUGUAUUUUAAUAAAUUCUCUUUUUGCCCCUAGUUCAAUUAUGAGUGGCUAAUUUUCUUUCAAACUUGGGUUGAAGGUGAAGUCUCAACAUGUGUCAUGGGCUUUAUUUGGUAAAUUUAUUUUCUUUUCCCCUCUAAUUUUUGUGGAUGAUUUGACUUUUCGUCGACAAAUAAUAAUAAUCUUGUCUAGAUACCGCCUUGGUUACACCGGUUCUCUAGUACAAGGUUAUUAUUAUUUGGCACGAUAAGUUUUUAGCACCAUAUUGAUUAGAGUGUGGUUCAUGAGGUGUGGAUUCCCCCCUCAUGAUUUAACUGGCAUUAAUAAGGAUUAUUUAGCCUAUGAUGCAUGUUGAUACGGAUCCAGAUACCCAAGUACGUCAUUUCAAUAGAAUUCUCUUCAAUUUAUUCUUGCCAUUUCAAUUCCAAUUUUAGAAUUUAUUCUCGCCAUUUUAAUUUAAGUUUUAGCAUAUUCCAAUUCAUUUCCACCACAAAUCCAAUCACCCAUUUACAAAAUUAAUUCUACACACAAUUAAAAUCCACCUCCUCGUGGGAUCGACACUCGUCACCAUUGAUCUAUACUACAAUAGAUUCGUGCGCUUGCGAGUACAUUAAAAUUUGCACAACAAGUUUUUGGCGCCGUUGCCGGGGAGGUAAGUAAUUUUAAUUCAUAGAAUUAAUUUUUGUGAAUAAUUUCUUUUAUUUGUUUUCUUGUAUUUUUUAUAAAAAAAAAAAGUGAAUCCGCAUUUAGAGGUUAGUAUUUCUUUUCUUUUUCUCUUCUUUAAAAUUCUGUAAUUUAAUUUUUAAUUUAUUUUUCUUUGUAAUUUUUGUUUAUCUUAUUAAUUUAAUUUCUAGUUAAUUUAUUUCACGUAUUUAUUUUUGUAUUUUUAUGGUAAGGUUGUAAUAGCGCAAUAAGGUUAGUAUCGUAAUUUCUCCCUCUUAUUUAUUUUUAUUUGUUUUGUUCCCAUCUUUAUUUUUAUUUUUAUUUUAUUUUGCAUGCAUGGUCGUAGGUCAUUAUUACCUAAUCUUGAACCUAUAGACAUUGAAUUAGAAAAAACACUUCGCACACACAAACACGUUAAAAAUAAAAUGAAUUUGCAACCACAGGAGAGGCAAUUUAAGGACUAUUUUAGUCCCUUAGCUAAUUUGAGCACAUCAUGUAUUAGAUACCCAAAUGUAGCUGCUAAGAGCUUUGAACUAAAACCUAGUGUGCUAAAUUGUCUGCCCACAUUCUAUGGCUUAGAAAAUGAGGACCCAUAUAAUCAUCUGAAUGAUUUUCAUACUAUUUGUCAAACAUUUAAAUAUGAGAAUUUUUUAGACGAUGAUGUUAAACUCAGAUUAUUCCCAUUUUCUUUAAAGGAUAGAGCUCGUUCAUGGCUUAAUACAUUGCCUGCUAAUAGCAUUGCAUCAUGGGAACAAAUGGUUACAAAAUUUUUGAAUAAAUAUUUCCCAGUGCAUAAAACCAAUGCUAUUCGCAGGGAAAUCUCAGAGUUUACCCAGAGAGAGGACGAGCAGUUUUUCGAAACAUGGGAGCGAUUUAAUGGGCUACUCUUGAAGUGUCCACAUCAUGGGUACGAGAAAUGACACCAAUGCCAAUACUUUUUGGAGGGAUUAUUGCCGAAUGUGCAAGAAUGGCUAAUGGCAACAAGUGGAGGAGAGCUAAUGUCAAAAAGUGCAUCAGAGAUUUGGGAAUUUUUCCAGCGACAAGCAGAUAAUUCCCAACAACGGAGUCGAUCACUCAGGAAUACUAGAAGAAUUAAAGGAGUAAAUGAGGUUCACAUUGGCGAGUCAAGUUCAGAAAUCAAAGAAGUCAAGGAGAUAAUUGAAGGUCUCUCUCGACAAAUAACAUCAUUAUCAACUACUAAAUCAACAGAGCCACAUGAUUAUGACACAUACUCAGAUCAAGCCAAUGCCAUAGGUGUAAUGAGAAAACCAUCAAAUUACAACCCAUACUCCAACACAUAUAACCCGGGAUGGAGAGACCACCCCAAUUUUUCAUGGUCUUAGGGAUUCCAACAGAAUGGACCAACAGCUCCAGCUCCACCAAUGCAACCAAUUCCUCAAAAUCCUCAAGCCUCUCAGCCACCAUUUAGACCAUACAAUCAGAACCAGAACUACUCUCAACCCAGACCAUGGGAGGAUUCAUUCCAGAAUUUCAAGAAUGCUACUCACUCUACGAUUGAGCAACAGAAUCGCACCAUUGAUGGACUACGAAAUGAGUUAAGAGCAGGCUUCAACUCACAAGCUCUAUCAGUUUCAAGCCUGGAGAAAAUGGUGGGACAACUUGCUUCUUCAGUUCAGACUUUGGCAAUGACUGUUGAGAAAGGCAAGUUUCCAAGUCAACCAGUGCCUAAUCCUAAAGGAGUACAUGAAGCAAGUACCAGUUCACCACAGCAGCAUGGAGAGGUCAAAGCAGUCAUGACCUUGCGAAAAGGAAAGGAAGUCGACAACAAAGUGGAGAUGCCGGUGACAAAAGAAAAUCAAAUUAUACCUGUGAAUGUUGAGGACUCACCAUCGGAGGAGAAAGAAGAAACCAACCCGCGAGAAUAUGUUCCGAAAGCUCCAUUUCCUCAGAGGUUAGCGAAAGGAAAGAAGGGAAAAUCCACAGGUGAGAUUCUCAAAAUCUUCAAACAGGUAAGUGUUAACAUCCCUUUACUUGAUGCUAUUAAACAAGUUCCAUCUUAUGCCAAGUUUCUUAAAGACCUUUGUACUAAAAAGAGAAAUAUGCAUGUUCAAAAGAAGGCAUUUUUAACAGAAAACGUUAGUUCUAUACUCCAACAUAAAAUUCCUUUAAAAUGCAAAGACCCAGGCUCCCCCACUAUCUCAUGUAGUAUAGGGAACCACACAAUUGAGAAUGCUUUGUUGGAUUUAGGAGCUAGUGUAAAUCUUUUGCCUUACUCUGUAUUCGUGAAACUUGGACUAGGAGAAUUACACCCAACUCCAGUGGUGUUACAGCUUGCAGAUCGGUCCACGAAAAUACCUCGUGGUAUUGUCAAGGACGUGCUUAUCCAGGUAGACAAGUUUUAUUUUCCUGUUGAUUUCAUUGUAAUUAACACUCAACCAAUACAGGAUUCAAGGAAGCACAUCCCCAUUAUUCUAGGCCGACCUUUCUUGGCAACUGCGGAUGCUCACAUUCAAUGCAGGACUGGAAAUAUGCAGUUGUUCUUCGGCAAUAUGACUAUGGAGCUAAACAUUUUCAACAUUGCCAAACAACCUCACAAUGCAGAUGAUGAAGUUGUUGAUGUGGAUGAAAUUGAAGCAUUAGUUGAUGACACUUUUCUUUCAAACCUUAGUGAUGAUCCUUUACAGACAUGCUUAACUCACUUUGGUUUUGAUUUUGAUAUUGACAGAUCGGUCAAUGAGGUCAACGCCCUACUUGACUCAGCACCAUCCAUGGACACUAAUAAAUGGAAGUCAAGAGCUGAACAACUAGCACCAUCAGAAAAGAAACUCAUCCCAUCAUCAGAAUCACCACCAAAACUCAAGCUCAAACCAUUGCCCAACACAUUGGAAUAUGCAUUUUUGGGAGAAGAAAGUACUCUACCGGUAAUCAUCUCAUCAUCCCUAAAUGAUGAACAAAAAGGUAAGUUGUUGGAUGUUUUAAAAGAGCACAAAGGGGCAUUAGGAUGGACCAUAGCAGACAUAAAAGGUAUAAACCCAGUAGACUGCAUGCAUUACAUUCACCUUGAUGAAAAUGCUAAAUCUACUAGGGAAAUGCAACGUCGGUUAAAUCCUAAUAUGAAAGAAGUUGUUAGAACUAAAGUCCUUAAGCUAUUAGACGCAGGUAUCAUUUACCCAAUUUCUGAUAGUUCAUGGGUCAGUCCUGUACAAGUUGUCCCCAAAAAGUCAGGAGUCACAGUAGUUACGAAUGCUGAUAAUGAAUUGAUACCCACUAGAGUGACUACAGGAUGGCGUGUAUGCAUUGAUUAUAAAAAGUUGAAUUCUGUCACACGUAAAGACCAUUUUCCUUUACCAUUUAUUGAUCAAAUGCUUGAUAGAUUAGCAGGCCAUGAAUUUUAUUGCUUUCUAGAUGGCUACUCAGAAUAUAAUCAGAUUCCCAUAGCACCAAAAGAUCAAGAGAAAACUACUUUCACUUGCCCUUUUGGCACUUUUGCAUAUAGGAGAAUGCCAUUUGGAUUAUGUAAUGCACCUGCUACGUUUCAACGAUGCAUGUUAAGCAUUUUUUCUGAUAUAGUUGAACGAUUCCUUGAAGUCUUUAUGGAUGACGUUUCUGUCUUUGGUGAUUCGUUUGAUCAAUGUUUACAUCAUCUAACGCUAGUUCUGCAGAGAUGUACCGAGAAGAACUUAGUCUUGAAUUGGGAGAAGUGUCAUUUUAUGGUAAAACAAGGUAUUGUUCUAGGUCACAUCAUUUCGAGCAAAGGUAUUAGGUUGACAAAGCCAAGGUGGAUCUCAUUUCUAAUCUUCCUCCACCUAAAACAGUCAGAGAAGUAAGAUCUUUCCUUGGGCAUGCUGGUUUCUAUAGACGUUUCGUUAAAGAUUUUAGCAAAGUUUCUAGACCCUUAUGCAAUUUACUUGCUAAGGAUGUACCUUUUAUCUUUAAUGAUUCAUGUCUUAUGGCUUUUGAAAAAUUAAAGCAAUUGUUGACAUCAUCACCCAUCAUUCAGGCCCCAAACUGGAGCUUAUCAUUUGAGCUCAUGUGUGAUGCAUCUGAUUAUGCAGUAGGAGCAGUAUUAGGACAAAGAGUUGAUCGAAUUCCCCACGUUAUUUACUAUGCUAGUAUGACAUUGAAUGAUGCACAGUUGAAUUAUUCAACUACUGAAAAAGAAAUGCUAGCAGUAGUGUUUGCAUUAGAGAAAUUUCGAUCUUAUCUCAUUGGUUGUAAAAUAAUUAUAUUCACAGAUCAUGCUGCUCUUAAAUAUCUUCUCACAAAAAAAGAUGCAAAAGCUAGACUAAUUCGUUGGGUGUUACUUUUGCAGGAAUUCGACUUGGAAUUUAAAGAUAAGAAAGGCACAGAGAAUGUUGUGGUUGACCAUCUCUCUCGUCUCCAUUUUGACACAAUUAUAGAGCCAUUAAUAUUGAAUGAGUCAUUUCCAGAUGAACAAUUAAUGAGUGUGGAAGUAUUACCUUGGUAUGCUGAUAUAGUUAAUUAUCUUGUUACAAGUAAACUUCCAGAGCAUUGGACCAAGCAAGAUAAGGCUAAAUUCUUUGCAGAAAUAAAGAAUUUCUUUUGGGAUGACCCGUAUUUGUUCAAGUAUUGUGCAGACCAAAUUGUUAGACGAUGUGUCCCAGAAAGUGAAAUUCAGAAUAUCCUUUCAUUCUGCCAUGAACAAGCUUGUGGAGGCCAUUUCAGCGCUAAGAAAACAACGACUAAAGUUUUACAAUGUGGUUUCUAUUGGCCAACUAUAUUUCGAGAUGCUUACACUUUCUGUUCUUCAUGUGAUAGGUGUCAACGAAUGGGGAGCAUUACACGAAGGAACAUGAUGCCACUAAAUCCAAUUUUAGUGGUUGAGAUUUUUGACGUAUGGGGUAUCGACUUUAUAGGACCAUUUCCCCCUUCUUUUGGCCAUCAAUACAUAUUGGUUGGUGUUGACUACGUCUCAAAAUGGGUAGAAGCAAUUCCAUGUAGAACCAAUGAUCACAAAGUGGUGAUAGGAUUUUUGAAAAGCAACAUUGUCUCACGCUUUGGAUUCCCUCGAGCAAUAAUCAGUGAUGGUGGUGCCCACUUUUGUAACAAAGCAUUCAAAGCUCUUUUGACAAAGUAUUCAAUCACACACAAAGUGACGACUCCGUAUCAUCCGCAAACCAGUGGCCAAGUUGAGAUAUCCAAUCGAGAAAUAAAGCACAUAUUAGAAAAAACGGUGAGACCAGACAGAAAAGAUUGGUCAUUAAGACUUGAUGAUGCAUUAUGGGCAUAUAGAACGGCUUUCAAGACCCCGAUUGGGAUGUCACCCUACAGGCUAGUGUAUGGAAAAGCUUGCCACCUACCUGUGGAACUUGAGCAUCGUGCAUAUUGGGCCAUCAAGAAAUUCAACUUUGACAUGCAGCAAGCCAGCUUAGAAAGAAGAUUACAACUGGCAGAACUUGAAGAAAUUCGUAAUGAUGCAUACGAAAAUACCAAGAUUUACAAGCAACGGAUGAAAGUCUUCCAUGACAAGCAAAUUAUGAGAAAAUCGUUCACUCCAGGUCAGAAAGUGCUUUUAUUCAAUUCUCGCUUGCACUUAUUCCCAGGUAAGUUACGCUCUCGAUGGUCUGGUCCAUUUAUGGUUUAUACUGUUUUUCCACAUGGGGCAAUUGAAAUUAAGGACCCAAAGAACGGUGUCACGUUUAAAGUUAAUGGUCAAAGAUUAAAGCCAUAUCUAGAAUACCAACCACAUGGAGAAGACACCGAAAUAAAUUUGAGUGACCCACCAGAUUUGAAUUGAUUUUUAUUCUUCUUUUUGUUGAUUUGAUUUUUCUUUCUUUCUUUUUAUUAUUCUUUUGCUAAUUGAAAUUAUUUUUGCAUAAGUGUGUUUGUUUAAGUUUUCUCUUAUCACUUUUAAUCAUGAGUACCUUACUUAGACCGUUCCUCCUGAACAUUCUUAAACCACUUCAACGUGUCAAAACUCAUCUCAAAAGGCAGAUUCAAUUUUGUAAAACACAUCGCAUUUGGACUCUACAGCCACCAGAGUUAGUAGCCUAUGUUAAGGGUUUAGAAAGCCAACUCAGAGACAUUGAGAGAAGUGUUUACGACAUCCAGUUGGAGCUUGAGGUAAGUUCAAUAAGAGGACAAUUUUAAUUUUCUUUGUGUGUUUUAAUUUUUUUUCUGUUUGUGUGCUUUAGUUUGUUACCCCGGUGAAGUGGCGGAUAACGGUACUUCGUGACAAUCAAGUCCGUUACUUCAGUUUCCCAUAAUAACUGACAUUCUGAGGCGAAAGUAUGGACAGAAACGAGAUUCUAGCGAAGCUUCACAAGCGAUUCCUUUCACUUCCUCAGAAUGCCCUCCUUACGAUCUAUAAAGCUCGGUCCCAACGCAUGCGAUUACUCAUGAGGAAUAACAUACCUGCUGACAUCCGUUGAUUAAUCGAGGCUAAAGUACGAUUGGCAGGUGAGUUACCUCCAAAAUUUAUUGCAUACAUGCCUGGUUGUGGUAAAGGAAAUUAUGCAAGAAAACGACGAGCUCGAAGAAUUUCUGUUGCUUGUCAUAAGUGUGCCAGAAUGAGUUGCGAUAAAAACCCAUGUUCUUUAGGAAUGGUGUCUGAUAACAGGGAAGAUAAGAUUCAAUUCAUUAGGGAUGGCUUGAAUAAGGAGUCAUUGGAUGAUAUCCUUUUGUCUCUUGAAACGCAUCCCAGUGGAUAUGUGCAAGGAGCGAUUCUCCAGUUAUGGCCAUUAUUCCAGAAAGAGCAUGCACGAUAUAGUCUUGGGAAUCUGACUAUAAACGACCAUGUUUGCCAGUUUAUAAGAAAACUGGAUGGGAAGCCCAUCCUCGACCCAUAGAGGGCGUUCAAGCCGUUUCUGGACGUAAAACCAGAUGAAGAUGUGAGCCACAAUCGCAACUACCUGUAAAUAUCAUUUUACUUUACUGUUGUUUUAUUUUACUGUUGUUUUAUCGUUUGUAUUAUUGUCUUUAAUAAUUUUAUUACUGUUUACUUUUUCCUUUUUACUGUUUCCUAUUUGACUCGCGAGCCACGUGCUUUACGCGUUAUUUGACCCUGACAUGUUACCUCAUUCACAGCUGUGAUCCACUGUCACCAAGAUUCUUAAAUGUGAUUUAAUUUUUGUCAAGCACUUACAAAUUAUUUUUGAGAAGUAUCACAAUGGCAGCUACUCCCAAUAGACAAUUCAAGAACAUUUGUGUUCUUUCUGGAUUUACCUAUGGCAAACAUAAAGAGUUCGUGGAGGCAGCCAUAGAUCUUGGUCGAAGUAUAGCAGCGAGAAAAUUACACUUGGUGUAUGGAGGAGGUAACUGAGGGUUAUCAAAAAUGGUCUCAGAAGCAACUUUUAUCAGAGGAAGUCAAGUGUUAGGCAUCAUCCCCAGAGUCCUAAAACCAUUGGACAGUUCGUCUGACUCAUCAACUGGAGAAGAGUUAGUCGUCUCAGGUAUGCAAGAAAGAAUAACUGAAAUGCUUAAUUAUGCUGAUGCUUUUAUUUUCCUUCCAGGAGAUCUUGCAACACUAGAGGCACUUAUCACACUAGCAUCUUGGGCCCAUCUGCACAUCCACCAGAAACUCAUCGGUUUGUUAAAUGUCAAUAACUUUUAUGAUAGCUUUAUCGCAUUUCUUAACCAUGCAAUAAAAAACUAUUUCAUUCCUUCUAAUGUGAAAAAACUCUUUAUUUGUGCUCACACUGCUAAUGAGCUACUUGAUAUGUUACAAACUUAUAAACCGGAGCCAGACCUCUGGACCUUUGUGUUGGAGCGACCAAAUAAUGAUGGUAACAGUAGCCGUAGUAAGAAGUACAAAUUAGAUUUAACUCUCCACCUAUAAAUAUUUUCUUCUGUGUUGCACCACCCAGGUGAUGUCUUCUAAACUCUACUUCUUUCCUUUAAAACAUUGAGGACAAUGUUUCGUUCUGGUUGGGGGGAGGGAAUAAUCGACAAUUGUGGAAUCUUGGUUAAGUUUUUACUGAUUUUUUGUUGUAGAAACUAACUGUUGCUAACGUUUUAUGUUGAAGAUGGCUGAAUAUGGAGUGUAGUUGCUCUAGAAACGCAUCUUCAUCGUUCAAAAAGAAAAAAAAAACUGUUUUCUUCCUCUUUCUCCUUUAUAAAUAUAUAUUUUCAAAUUUUUGAGUCGAAGAUGGCUGAAUAUGGAGUGUAGUGCCUCUAGAAACGCAUCUUCUUAGUUUUAAAAAAAAUUCUUUUUCUAAUUAAUUUUUCUACAUCAUUUUCACAUUUCUGCAUGCAUAUUUUCCUUUCAUGUUUAGAAUAGGUUGGGGGGGGUAGAAUGUUGUUUAAAAAAAAAAACAAAAUUGUGUUAUUUGUUUUAACAUUGAAUGACAUGAUUAAUUUCAAAUUUUAGUAUUUGCAUUAUCUUUGGUCUUAAGUGAUGUUACGCUAUGUUUGCUACUUUACAUGUUGAUGUCGGAGACAAAUAUGAGUUGCUUGAAGGAAUGAACAUGUCAUAAAUAAGUGCCCAGUGAGUUGUUGAGCCUAUCAUUUUCUUGGAGAGUAGCCCUUUUGCCCAUUCUCUAUACAGCUUAGCAGUUUAUUAUUUUAUACAUGAUCUCUAGAUUUCUUUUGAGUUAACCCUUUAAAAAAAUGGUAAAAUUAAAAAAAAAAUGUGUGUUGCUACAUUGGGAGGCCCAUCUAACUAGUAGAUAUGGAUAAUUAUUUAGAGCCCUAAAAGACGAUGGAAAUGCCAUCUUUGAUUUGGUUGAGCCUUUCUAGCCAUCCCUUUUAUUAAAUAUCCAUAGUUACCCCUUUUGAGCCUUUAAAAAAAAAAAUCUCUGCUUUUCUUUGUCAACUUAUCAUCUUUACCCACUCCGAUUUGGAGUAUUACCCGAUGUCUUCUAAGUUCCAUCACCUAUUUAUGUUUGAUAAAAUGUAAAUAAUUAUUUUGUUCAGUGAAGUUAUGCCAAAAAAAAAACAACAAAACAAAAGUUGUUGUUUCAAAAGAAUAAAAAUAACAACAACAGGUGAAAUACACCUUGCAACUUAAAAAAAAAAAAUCUCUGUAUUUUUCUCAAACAUAUACUUUGUUUUCCUUAUUUCCCUUCUGUGUUAGCCAUGUCCCUAGCCUACGUUACGUCCUAAUAAAAGUCCUUGAUUUUAGGGAACUAUAGUUUGAAGUAGAAGCUAGUUAUAUGGGCUAAAAAGAUGUAGUGGUGCAUAAUAAUAAAAGAAAAAGAGAUAAAUAAAAUGGGUUCACUAGCAUUUUUGUUUGACUUGAGAUCAUAUUAUUUCUAAGCUGGGGGCAUAUUUCAUUCAUCUUGGUGAGAGCAUGUGAUAUCACUUCUUUAUUAUUUUCUCUCAAUUACCAUUCAUUGGAGUGACUAUUUUUAUUGGGUUUAAUUUCUUUGUGAGAGCGUCACUACUUCCAGUGAGAUUUUGGGGUUUGACAUGUCAUUCUUGAAAGUAGUUAUAACAAAGUCUACUGGGCUGAUUCAUGUGGAUGGUUGAUGUGGAUGUGAUGUUUCUUUAGACUGGAGAUAAUGCUUAUACUUUUAUUUGAUUGCUAUCAUUAAUCUGAUUGAAUAAACACGAGUGUUUCUAUAAAAAAAAAAAUCAUUUUGGAUUUGAAUUUUGUUUUCGCUUUAUUUGCUAGGGACUAGCAAUAAGCUGGUUGGGGGGUGUGUUGAGUGUUAGAAAAUGUAUAUUUAUAAAGGAGAAAAUCAUCAUUUUACACUACAACCUUUACUAACACCCUUACUUUUAUGUAUUUAACAUUCUUUUGAUUUAAUUCCGUGUGUUUUAUUUUAAUUAAGCAUUUUAUGUAUUUUAGGGGCAUCAUAGUCAUUUCACAAUAAACGAGAGAUCAGACGGCAAAACGGACAUCACUUUUGAACUCAGGACGGUCGAAAAUCUUAGGAGCAUAAAAGGAAAAAUGGCACUAUUCACAUGUACGGUACUAUUCACGUGUACGGUACUGUCUACGUUACUGUUCAUGACACUGUUCACAUAGACGGAUCGAUGACGUGGCAUUGACCGAUGAUGUGGCAUUGACUGAUGAGGUAUCACGAUCCUGUUGGGCUAAAAUUCUUAUGUACUGUCAAUGGUGACGUGGCAGCAUAUCAAUGGACGAAAAAUCUCGCGUACUGUACAUGCAUCACACAUGAUUAUUUUCAACCAAACCGCGUCACUGUUCACCCGGGUCAAACCGUGUUACUGUUCAUCCACGUGGUCAAACCGCGUACUGUUGACUGAUGACGUGACGCAAUCCUGAGCGUCCAAACUGUUUUUAAUCCGAUGGCCAUGAUUUACUCCAUGUAUCUAUAAAAAGGGGGCUCCCCCCGUAAUUUGAUAUCUCUGAAUCCAUUCUUGGGAUCCAUUUUCUGUAAAUUCCUUCUCCAUCUUGAAUUUUCUACGUAUUUUAAUAAAUUCCCUUUUUGCCCCUAGUUCAAUUAUGAGUGGCUAAUUUUCUUUCAAGCUUGGGUUGAAGGUGAAGUCUCAACAUGUGUCAUGGGCUUUAUUUGGUAAAUUUAUUUUUGUUUCCCCUCUAAUUUUUGUGGAUGAUUUGACUUUUCGUCGACAAAUAAUAAUAAUCUUGUCUAGAUACCGCCUUGGUUACACCGACUCUCUAGUACAAGGUUAUUAUUAUUUGGCACGAUAAGCCCUUAGCACCAUAUUGAUUAGAGUGUGGUUCAUGAGGUGUGGAUUCCCCCCUCAUGAUUUAACUGACAUUAAUAAGGAUUAUUUAGCCCAUGAUGCAUGUUGAUACGGAUCCAGAUACCCAAGUACGUCAUUUCAAUAGAAUUCUCUUCAAUUUAUUCUUGCCAUUUCAAUUCCAAUUUUAGAAUUUAUUCUCGCCAUUUUAAUUUAAGUUUUAGCAUAUUCCAAUUCAUUUCCACCACAAAUCUAAUCACCCAUUUACAAAAUUAAUUCUACACACAAUUAAAAUCCACCUCCUCGUGGGAUCGACACUCGUCACUAUUGAUCUAUACUACAAUAGAUUCGUGCGCUUGCGAGUACAUUAAAAUUUGCACAACAGUACUACCUGGAGCAAGAAAGGUAGCAGUGAGAGAGUGUUGAGUGUUAGAAAAUGCAUAUUUAUAAAGGAGAAAACCGUCAUUUUACAUUUCAAGUCUUACUAACAAUCCUUACUUUUAUGUAUUUAACAUUCUUGUGAUUUAAUUACGUGUGUUUUAUUUUAAUUAAGUAAUUUAUGUAUUUUAGGGGCAUUAUAGUCAUUUCACAAUAAAGGAGAGAUCAGACGGCAAAACGGACAUCACUUUUGAACUCAGGACGGUCGAAAACCUUAGGAGGAGCAUAAAAGGAAAAUGACACUAUUCACAUGUACGGUACUAUUCACGUACACGGUACUGUAUACGUUACUGUUCACGGCACUGUUCACAUAGACGGAUCGAUGACGUGGCAUUGACCGAUGAUGUGGCAUUGACUGAUGAGGUGUCACGAUCCUGUUGGGUUAAAAUUCUUAUGUACUGUUGAUGGUGACGUGGCAGUAUAUCAGUGGACGAAAAAUCUCGCGUACGGUGCAUGCAUCACACAGGAUUAGUUUCAACCAAACCGCGUUACUGUUCAUCCGGGUCAAACCGCGUUACUGUUCAAAGUCGGGUCAAACCGUGUUACUGUUCAUCCGCGUGGUCAAACCGUGGACUGUUGACUGAUGACGUGGCGCAAUCCUGAGCGUCCAAACUGUUUUUAAUCCGAUGGCCAUGAUUUACUCCAUGUAUCUAUAAAAAAGGGGCCUCUCCCCCCUAAUUUGAUAUCUCUGAAUCCAUUUUUGAGAUCCAUUUUCUGUAAUUCCUUCUCCAUCUUGUAUUUUCUUAGUAUUUUAAUAAAUUUUCAUUUUGCCCCUAGUUCAAUUAUGAGUGGCUAAUUUUCUUUCAAGCUUGGGUUGAAGGUGAAGUCUCAACAUGUGUCAUGGGCUUUAUUUGGUAAAUUUAUUUUCUCUUCCCCUCUAGUUUUUGUGGAUGUUUUGACUUCUCGUUGACAAAUAGUACUAAUCUUGUCUAGUACCGCCUUGGUUACACCGGCUCUCUAGUAUAAGGUUAUUAUUAUUUGGCACGAUAAGCCCUUAGCACCAUAUUGAUUAGAGCGUGGUUCAUGAGGUGUGGAUUCCCCCCUCAUGAUUUAAUUAGUAUUAAUAAGGAAUAUUUAGCCUAUGAUGCAUGUUGAUACGGAUCCAGAUACCCAAGUACGUCAUUUCAAUAGAAUUCUCUUCAAUUUAUUCUCGCUAUUUCAAUUCCAAUUUUAGAAUUUAUUCUCGCCAUUUUAAUUUAAGUUUUAGCAAAUUCCAAAUCAUUUCCACCACAAAUCCAAUCAUUCAUUUACAAAAUUAAUUCUAUACACAAUUAAAAUCCACCUCCUCAUGGGAUCGACAUUCGUCACCAUUAGUCUAUACUACAAUAGAUUCGUUCGCUUGCGAGUACAUUAAAAUUUGCACAACAAGUUUUUGGCGCCGUUGCCGGGGAGGUAAGUAAUUUUAAUUCAUAGAAUUAAUUUUUUUGUGAAUAAUUUCUUUUAUUUGUAUUUUUUUUAAUUAUUAAAAAAAAAGAAAAAAAAAGUGAAUCUACAUUUAAAGGUUAAUAUUUCUUUUCUUUUUCUCUUCUUUAAAAUUCUGUAAUUUAAUUUUCAAUUUAUUUAUUUUUUUCUUUUUAAUUUUUGUUUAUUUUAUUAAUUUAAUUUUUAGUUAAUUUAUUUCACAUAUUUAUUUUUGUGUAUUUUUAUAGAAAGGUUGUAAUAGCGCAAUAAGGUUAGUAUCGUAAUUUCUCCCUCUUCUUUAUUUUUAUUUGUUUUGUUCCCUUCUUUAUUUUUAUUUUAUUUAUUUUGCAUGCAUGGUCGUAGGUCAUUAUCACCUAAUCUUGAACCUAUAGACCUUGAACUUGAGAAAACACUUCGCACACACAAACAAAUUAAAAAUAAAAUGGAUUUGCAACCACAGGAGAGGCCAUUUAAGGAUUAUUUCAGUCCUUUAGCUAAUUUGAGCACAUCAUGCAUAAGAUACCCAAAUGUAGCUGCUAGGAGCUUUGAACUAAAACCUAGUGUGCUAAAUUGUCUCCCCACAUUCUAUGGCUUAGAAAAUGAGGACCCAUAUAAUCAUCUGAAUGAUUUUCAUGCUAUUUGUCAAACAUUUAAAUAUGAGAAUUUUUCAGACGAUGAUGUUAAACUCAGAUUAUUCCCAUUUUCUUUAAAGGAUAGAGCUCGUUCAUGGCUUAAUACAUUGCCUGCUAAUAGCAUUUCAUCAUGGGAACAAAUGGUUACAAAAUUUUUAAAUAAAUAUUUCCCAGUGCAUAAAACCAAUGCUAUUCGCAGGGAAAUCUCGGAGUUUACCCAAAGAGAGGACGAGCAGUUUUUCGAAACAUGGGAGCGAUUCAAUGGGCUACUCUUGAAGUGUCCACAUCAUGGGUACGAGAAAUGGCACCAAUGCCAAUACUUUUUGGAGGGAUUAUUACCGAAUGUGCAAGAAUGGCUAAUGGCAACAAGUGGAGGAGAGCUAAUGUCAAAAAGUGCAUCAGAGAUUUGGGAAUUUUUCCAGCGACAAGCGAAUAAUUCCCAACAACGGAGUCGGUCACUCAGGAAUACCAGAAGAAUUAAGGGAGUAAAUGAGGUUCACAUUGACAAAUCCAGUUCAGAAAUUAAAGAAGUCAAAGCAAUAAUUGAAGGUCUCUCUCGACAAAUAGCAUCGUUAUCGACUGCUAAAUCAACAGAGCCAAAUGACCCUGACUCAUAUCCAGAUCAAGCCAAUGCCAUAGGUGUAAUGAGAAAACCAUCAAAUUACAACCCGUACUCCAACACAUAUAACCCUGGAUGGAGAGAUCACCCCAAUUUUUCAUGGUCUCAAGGAUUCCAACAGAAUGGACCAACAACUCCAGCUCCACCAAUGCAACAAAUUCCUCAAAAUCCUCAAGCCUCUCAGCCACCAUUCAGACCAUACAAUCAGAACCAGAACUACUCUCAACCCAGACCGUGGGAGGAUGCAUUCCAGAAUUUCAAAAAUGUUACUCACUCCACGAUUGAGCAACAGAACCGCACCAUUGAUGGACUACGAAAUGAGUUGAGAGCAGGCUUCAACUCACAAGCUCAAUCAGUUUCAAGCCUGGAGAAGAUGGUGGGACAACUCGCUUCUUCAGUUCAGACCUUGGCAAUGACUGUUGAGAAAGGCAAGUUUCCAAGUCAACCAGUGCCUAACCCUAAAGGAGUACAUGAAGCAAGUACUAGUUCACCACAGCAGCAUGGAGAGGUCAAAGCAGUGAUGACCUUGCGAAAAGGAAAAGAAGUCGACAACAAAGUGGAGAUGCCGGUGACAAAAGAAAACCAAAUUGUACCUGUGAGUGUUGAGGACUCACCACCGGAGGACAGAGAAGAAACCAACCCACGAGAAUAUGUUCCCAAAGCUCCAUUUCCUCAGAGGUUAGCGAAAGGAAAGAAGGGAAAAUCCACAGGUGAGAUUCUCGAAAUCUUCAAACAGGUAAGUGUCAACAUCCCUUUGCUUGAUGCUAUUAAGCAAGUUCCAUCUUAUGCCAAGUUUCUUAAAGACCUGUUUACUAAAAAGAGAAACAUGCAUGUUCAAAAGAAGGCAUUUUUAACAGAAAACGUUAGUUCUAUACUCCAACAUAAAAUUCCUUUAAAAUGCAAAGACCCAGGCUCCCCCACUAUCUCAUGUAGUAUAGGGAACCACACAAUUGAGAAUGCUUUGUUGGAUUUAGGAGCUAGUGUAAAUUUGUUGCCUUACUCUGUGUUUGUGAAACUUGGACUUGGAGAAUUACACCCAACUCCAGUGGUGUUACAGCUUGCAGAUCGGUCCACGAAAACACCUCGUGGUAUUGUGGAGGACGUGAUUAUCUAGGUAGACAAGUUUUAUUUUCCAGUUGAUUUCAUUGUAAUUGACACUCAACCAAUACAGGAUUCAAGGAAGCACAUCCCCAUUAUUCUAGGCCGACCUUUCUUGGCAACUGCGGAUACUCACAUUCAAUGCAGGACUGGAAAUAUGCAGUUGUCCUUCGGCAACAUGACUAUGGAGCUGAACAUCUUCAACAUUGCCAAACAACCUCACAAUAUAGAUGAUGGAAUUGUUGAUGUGGAUUUAAUUGAAGCAUUAGUUGAUGACACUUUUGUUUCAAUCCUUAGUGAUGAUCCUUUACAAACAUGUUUAACUCACUUUGGUUUGGAUUUUGAUAUUGACAGAUCGGUCGAUGAGGUCAACGCCCUACUUGACUCAGCACCAUCCAUGGACACUAAUAAAUGGAAGUCAAGAGUUGAACAACUAGCACCAUUAGAGAAGAAACUCAUCCCAUCAUCAGAAUCACCACCGAAACUCGAGCUCAAACCAUUACCCAACACACUGGAAUAUGGGUUUUUGGGAGAAGAAAGUUCUCUGCCGGUAAUCAUCUCAUCAUCCCUAAAUGACGAACAAAAAGGUAAGUUGUUGGAUGUUUUAAAAGAGCACAAAGGAGCAUUAGGAUGGACCAUAGCGGACAUAAAAGGUAUAAACCCUGUAGACUGCAUGCAUUACAUUCACCUCGAUGAAAAUGCUAAAUCUACUAGGGAAAUGCAACGUCGGUUAAAUCCUAAUAUGAAAGAAGUGGUUAGAACUGAAGUCCUUAAGCUAUUAGAUGCAGGUAUCAUUUACCCCAUUUCUGAUAGUUCAUGGGUCAGUCCUGUACAAGUUGUCCCCAAAAAGUCAGGAGUCACAGUACUUACGAAUGCCGAUAAUGAAUUGAUACCCACUAGAGUAACUACAGGAUGGCGUGUAUGCAUUGAUUAUAGAAAUUUGAAUUCUGUCACACGUAAAGACCAUUUUCCUUUACCAUUUAUCGAUCAAAUGCUUGAUAGAUUGGCAGGCCAUGAAUUUUAUUGCUUUCUAGAUGGCUACUCAGGAUAUAAUCAGAUUCCCAUAGCACCAAAAGAUCAAGAGAAAACUACUUUCACUUGCCCUUUUGGCACAUUUGCAUAUAGGAGAAUGCCAUUUGGAUUAUGUAAUGCACCUGCUACGUUUCAACGAUGCAUGUUGAGCAUUUUUUCUGAUAUGGUUGAACGAUUCCUUGAAGUCUUUAUGGAUGACUUUUCUGUCUUUGGUGACUUGUUUGAUCAAUGUUUACAUCAUCUAACGCUAGUUCUGCAGAGAUGUAUCGAGAAGAAUUUAGUCUUAAAUUGGGAGAAGUGCCAUUUUAUGGCCAAACAAGGUAUUGUCCUCGGUCACAUCAUUUCAAGCAAAGGUAUUGAGGUUGACAAAGCCAAGGUGGAUCUCAUUUCUAAUCUUCCUCCACCCAAAACAGUCAGAGAAGUAAGAUCUUUCCUUGGGCAUGCUGGUUUCUAUUGACGUUUUAUUAAAGAUUUUAGCAAAGUUUCUAGACCCUUAUGCAAUCUACUUGCUAAGGAUGUACCUUUUGUCUUUGAUGAUUCAUGUCUUGUGGCGUUUGAAAAAUUAAAGCGGUUGUUGACAUCAUCACCCAUCAUCCAGCCCCCAAAUUGGAGCUUACCAUUUGAGCUCAUGUGUGAUGCAUCUGAUUAUGCAGUAGGAGCAGUAUUAUGACAAAGAGUUGAUCGAAUUCCCCACGUUAUUUACUAUGCUAGUAUGACAUUGAAUGAUGCACAGUUGAACUAUUCAACUACUGAAAAAGAAAUGCUAGCAGUAGUGUUUGCAUUGGAAAAAUUUCGAUCUUAUCUCAUUGGUUGUAAAAUAAUUAUAUUCACAGAUCAUGCUGCUCUUAAAUAUCUUCUCACAAAGAAAGAUGCAAAAGCUAGACUAAUUCGUUGGGUGUUACUUUUGCAGGAAUUCGACUUGGAAUUCAAAGAUAAAAAGGGCACAGAAAAUGUUGUGGCGGACCAUCUCUCUCGUCUUCACUUUGACACAAUUACAGAACCAUUACCAUUAAAUGAGUCAUUUCCAGAUGAACAAUUAAUGAGUGUGGAAGUAUUACCUUGGUAUGCUGAUAUAGUUAAUUAUCUUGUUACAGGUAAACUUCCAGAGCAUUGGACCAAGCAAGACAAGACCAAAUUUUUUGCGGAAAUAAAGAAUUUCUUUUGGGAUGACCCGUAUCUGUUCAAGUAUUGUGCAGAUCAAAUUGUUAGACGAUGUGUCCCAGAAAAUGAAAUUCAGAAUAUCCUUUCAUUCUGCCAUGAACAAGCUUGUGGAGGCCAUUUCAUUGCUAAGAAAACAGCGACUAAAGUUUUACAAUGUGGUUUCUAUUGGCCAACUAUAUUUCGAGAUGCUUACACUUUCUGUUCUUCAUGUGAUAGGUGUCAACGAAUGGGGAGCAUUACACGAAGGAACAUGAUGCCACUAAAUCCAAUUUUAGUGGUUGAGAUUUUUGACGUAUGGGGUAUCGACUUCAUGGGACCCUUUCCCCCUUCUUUUGGCCAUCAAUACAUAUUGGUUGGUGUUGAUUACGUCUCAAAAUGGGUAGAAGCAAUUUCAUGUAGAACCAAUGAUCAUAAGGUGGUGAUAGGAUUUUUGAAAAGUAACAUUGUCUCACGCUUUGGAUUCCCUCGAGCAAUAAUCAGUGAUGGUGGUGCCCACUUUUGUAACAAAGCAUUCAAAGCUCUUUUGACAAAGUAUUCAAUCACUCACAAAGUGGCAACUCCGUAUCAUCCGCAAACCAGUGGCCAAGUUGAGAUAUCCAAUCGAGAAAUAAAGCACAUAUUAGAAAAGACAGUGAGGCCAGACAGGAAAGAUUGGUCAUUAAGACUUGAUGAUGCAUUAUGGGCAUAUAGAAUGGCUUUCAAGACCCCGAUUGGGAUGUCACCCUACAGGCUAGUGUAUGGAAAAGCUUGCCACCUACCUGUGGAACUCGAGCAUUGUGCAUAUUGGGCUAUCAAGAAAUUCAAUUUUGACAUGCAGCAAGCCAGCUCAGAAAGAAGAUUACAACUGGCAGAACUUGAAGAAAUUCGCAAUGAUGCAUACGAAAAUGCCAGGAUUUACAAGCAACGAAUGAAAGUCUUUCAUGACAAGCAUAUUAUGAGAAAAUCUUUCACUCCAGGUCAGAAAGUGCUUUUAUUCAAUUCUCGCUUGCACCUAUUCCCAGGUAAGUUACGCUCUCGUUGGUCUGGUCCAUUUAUUGUUCAUACUGUUUUUCCACAUGGGGCAAUUGAAAUUAAAGACCCAAAGAACGGUGUCACGUUUAAAGUCAAUGGUCAAAGAUUAAAGCCAUAUUUAGAGUACCAAGCACAUGGAGAAGACACCGAAAUAAAUUUAAGUGACCCACCAGAUUUGAAUUGAUUUUUUUUCUUUUCGUUGAUUUGAUUUUUCUUUCUUUCUUUUUAUUUGUUAAUUGAAAUUAUUUUUGCAUAAGUGUGUUUGUUUUUCCAUUAAGUUUUUUCUUAUCAUUAUUAAUCAUGAGUACCAUACUUAGACCGUUCCUCCUGAACAUUCUUAAACCACUUCAACGUGUCAAAACUCAUCUCAUAAGGCAGAUUCAAUUUUGUAAAACACAUCGUAUUUGGUCUCUACAACCACCAGAGUUAGUAGCCUAUGUUGAGGGUUUAGAAAGCCAACUCAGAGAUAUUGAGAGAAGUGUUUACGACAUCUAGUUGGAGCUUGAGGUAAAUUCAAUAAGAGGACGAUUUUAAUUUUCUAUGUGUGUUUUAAUUUGUUUUUCUUUUUGGUGUGUUUUAGUUUGUUACCCCGGUAAAGUGGCGGAUAACGAUACUCCGUGACAGUCAAGUCGGUUACUUCAGUUUUCCCAUAAUAACUGAUAUUCUGAGGCGAAGGUAUGGACUGAAACGAGAUUCUAGCGAAGCUUCACAAGCGAUUCCCUUCACUCCCUCAAAAUGCCCUCCUUACGAUCUAUAAAGCUCGAUCCGAACGCAUGCGAUUACUCAUGAGGAAUAACAUACCUGCAGACAUCCGUUGGUUAAUCGAGGCUAAAGUACGAUUGGCAGGUGAGUUACCUCUUAAAUUUAUUGCAUACAUGCCUGGUUGUGGUAAAGGAAAUUAUGCAAGAAAACGACGAGCUCGAAGAAUUUCCGUUGCUUGUCAUAAGUGUGCCAGAAUGAGUUGCGAUAGAAACCCAUGUUCUUUAGGAAUGAUGUCUGAUAACAGAGAAGAUAAGAUUCAAUUCAUUAGGGAUGGCUUGAAUAAGGAGUCAUUGGAUGAUAUCCUUUUGUCUCUUGAAACGCAUCCCAGUGGAUAUGUGCAAGGAGCGAUUCUCCAGUUAUGGCCAUUAUUCCAGAAAGAGCAUACACGAUAUAGUCUCGGGAAUCUGACUAUAAACGACCCUGUUUGCCUGUUUAUAAGAAAACUGGAUGGGUAGCCAAUCCUCGACCCAUAGAGGGCGUUCCAGCCGUUUCUGGACGUAAAACCAGAGGAAGAUGUGAGCCACAGUCGCAACUACGUGUAAAUAUCCUUUUACUUUACUGUUAUUUUAUUUUAUUUUACUGUUGUUUUAUUGUUUGCAUUAUUGUCUUUAAUAAUUUUAUUACUGUUUGCUUUUUCCUUUUUACUGUUUCCUUUUUGACUCGCGAGCCAUGUGCUUCACACGUUAUUUGACACUGACAUGUUACCUCAUUCACAGCUGUGACCCACUAUCACCAAGACUCUUAAAUGUGAUUUCUUUUGUCAAACACUCACAAAUUGUUUUUGAGAAAUAUUCCAAUGGCAGCUACUCCCAAUAGACAAUUCAAGAAUAUUUGUGUGCUUUCUGGAUUUACCUAUGGCAAACAUAAAGAGUUCGUUGAGGCAGCCAUAGAUCUUGGUCGAAGCAUAGUAGCGAGAAAUUUACAUUUGGUGUAUGGAGGAGGUAACCGAGGGUUAUCAAAAAUGGUCUCAGAGGCAGCUUUUAUCAGAGGAAGCCAAGUGUUAGGCAUCAUCCCAUCUGCACAUCCACCAGAAACCCAUCGGUUUGUUAAAUGUCAAUAACUUUUAUGAUGGCUUAUCGCAUUUCUUAACCAUGCAAUAAAAAAUUAUUUCAUUCCUUCUAAUGUGAAAAAACUCUUUAUUUGUGCUCACACUGCUAAUGAGCUACUUGAUAUGUUACAAGCUUAUAAACCGAAGCCAGACCCCUGGACCUUUGUGUUGGAGCGACCAAAUAAUGAUGGUAACAGUAGCCGCAGUAAGAAGUACAAAUUAGAUUUAACUCUCCGCCUGUAAAUAUUUUCUUCUGUGUUGCACCACCCAGGUGAUGUCUUCUAAACUCUACUUCUUUCCUUUCAAACAUUGAGGACAAUGUUUCAUUCUGGUUGGGGGGAGGGAAUAGUCAACAAUUGUGGAAUCUUGGUUAAGUUUUUACUGAUUUUUUGUUGUAGAAACUAACUGUUGCUAACGUUUUGUGUUAAAGAUGGCUGAAUAUAGAGUGUAGUUACUCUAGAAACGCAUCUUCAUCGUUAAAAAAAAAAAAAAUUGUUUUCUUCCUUUUUCUCCUUUAUAAAUAUAUAUUUUCAAAUUUUUGAGUCGAAGAUGGCUGAAUAUGGAGUGUCGUGCCUCUAGAAACGCAUCUUCAUCGUUAAAAAAAUAUAUAUAUAUUUCUUUUUCUAAUAAAUUUUUCUACAUCAUUUUCACAUUUCUGCAUGCAUAUUUUCCUUUCAUGUUUAGAAUAGGUUGGGGGGUAGAAUGUUGUUAAAAAAAAAUUGUGUUAUUUGUUUUAACAUUGGAUGACAUGAUUAAUUUCAAAUUUUAGUAUUUGUAUUAUCUUUGGUCUUAAGUAAUGUUACGCUAUAUUUGCUACUUUACAUGUUGAUGUCGGAGACAAAUAUGAGUUGCUUGAAGGAAUGAACAUGUCAUAAAUAAGUGCCAAGUGAGUUGUUGAGCCUAUCAUUUUCUUGGAGAGUAACCCUUUUGCCCAUUCUCUAUACAGCUUAGCAGUUUAUUAUUUUAUACACGAUCUCUACAUUUCUUUUGAGUUAACCCUUUAAAAAAAAAAUGUGUGUUGCUACAUUGGGAGGCCCAUCUAACUAGUAGAUAUGGAUAAUUAUUUAGAGCCCUAAAAGAUGAUGGAAAUGCCAUCUUUGAUCCGUUUGAGCCUUUCUAGCCAUCCCUUUUAUUAAAUAUCCAUAGUUACCCCUUUUGAGCCUUUAAAAAAAAAAAAACCUUUUCUUUGUCAACUUAUCAUCUUAACCCACUCCGAUUGGGAGUAUUACCCGAUGUCUAAUAAGUUCCAUCACCUAUUUAUGUUUGAGAAAAUGUAAAUAAUUAUGUUGUUCAGUGAAGUUAUGCCAAAUAAAAGCUAAAUAAAAAAAAAACAAAAGUUGUUGUUUCAAAAGAAUAAAAAUAACAACGAUAGGUGAAAUACACCUUGCAACUUCAAAAAAAAAAAAAAUUCUCUGCAUUUUAGGGAACUAUAGUUUGAAGUAAAAGCUAGUUAUAUGGGCUAAAAAGAUGUAGUGAUGCAUAAUAAAAAAAAAAGAUAAAUAAAGUGGGUUGACUAACAUUUUAUUUGACUUGAGAUCGUAUUAUUUCUAAGCUGAGGGCAUAUUUAUUUCAUCUUGGUGAGAGCAUGUGAUAUCAUUUCUUUAUUAUUUUCUCUCUCAAUUACCAUUCAUUGGAUUGACUAUGUUUAUUGGGUUUUAAUUUCUUUGUGAGAGUGUCACUACUUCCAGUGAGAUUUUGGGGUUUGACAUGUCAUUCUUGAAAGUAGCUAUAACAAAGUCUACUGGGCUAAUUCAUGUGGAUGGUUGAUGUGGGUGUGAUGUUGCUUUAGACUGGAGAUAAUGCUUAUACUUUUAUUUGAUUGCUAUCAUUAAUCUGAUUGAAUAAACACGAGUGUUUCUAAAAUAAAAAAAAAAUCAUUUUGAAUUUGAAUUUUGUUUUCGCUUUAUUUGCUAGGGACUAGCAAUAAGCUGGUUGGGGGGUGUGUUGAGUGUUAGAAAAUGCAUAUUUAUAAAGGAGAAAACCGUCAUUUUACAUUUCAAGUCUUACUAACAACCCUUACUUUUAUGUAUUUAACAUUCUUAUGAUUUAAUUACGUGUGUUUUAUUUUAAUUAAGUAAUUUAUGUAUUUUAGGGGCAUUAUAGUCAUUUCACAAUAAAGGAGAGAUCAGACGGCAAAACAGACAUCACUUUUGAACUCAGGACGGUCGAAAACCUUAGGAGGAGCAUAAAAGGAAAAAUGACACUAUUCACAUGUACGGUACUAUUCACGUACACGGUACUGUAUACGUUACUGUUCACGGCACUGUUCACAUAGAUGGAUCGAUGACGUGGCAUUGACCGAUGAUGUGGCAUUGACUGAUGAGGUGUCACGAUUCUAUUGGGUUAAAAUUCUUAUGUACUGUUGAUGGUGACAUGGCAGUAUAUCAGUGGACGAAAAAUCUCGCGUACGGUGCAUGCAUCACACAGGAUUAGUUUCAACCAAACCGCGUUACUGUUCAUCCGGGUCAAACCGUGUUACUGUUCAUCCACGUGGUCAAACCGUGUUACUAUUCAUCCGCGUGGUCAAACCGUGGACUGUUGACUGAUGACGUGGCGCAAUCCUGAGCGUCCAAACUGUUUUUAAUCCGAUGGCCAUGAUUUACUCCAUGUAUCUAUAAAAAGGGGGCCUCUCCCCCCUAAUUUGAUAUCUCUGAAUCCAUUUUUGGGAUCCAUUUUCUGUAAUUCCUUCUCCAUCUUGUAUUUUCUUAGUAUUUUAAUAAAUUUCCAUUUUGCCCCUAGUUCAAUUAUGAGUGGCUAAUUUUCUUUCAAGCUUGGGUUGAAGGUGAAGUCUCAACAUGUGUCAUGGGCUUUAUUUGGUAAAUUUAUUUUCUCUUCCCCUCUAGUUUUUGUGGAUGUUUUAACUUCUCGUCGACAAAUAAUACUAAUCUUGUCUAGUACCGCCUUGGUUACACCGGCUCUCUAGUAUAAGGUUAUUAUUAUCUGGCACGAUAAGCCCUUAGCACCAUAUUGAUUAGAGCGUUGUUCAUGAGGUGUGGAUUCCCCCCUCAUGAUUUAAUUGGUAUUAAUAAGGAAUAUUUAGCCCAUGAUGCAUGUUGAUACGGAUCCAGAUACCCAAGUACGUCAUUUCAAUAGAAUUCUCUUCAAUUUAUUCUCGCUAUUUCAAUUCCAAUUUUAGAAUUUAUUCUCGCCAUUUUAAUUUAAGUUUUAGCAAAUUCCAAAUCAUUUCCACCACAAAUCCAAUCAUUCAUUUACAAAAUUAAUUCUAUACACAAUUAAAAUCCACCUCCUCGUGGGAUCGACACUCGUCACCAUUAGUCUAUACUACAAUAGAUUCGUGCGCUUGCGAGUACAUUAAAAUUUGCACAACAGAGAGCGGUCCAGUCCUUCAGACUUGAUCCGGUAGACCCUUAUAGAUACUACCUGGCAGGAUUUGCUCUUUGCAUAAGGACUGGUAUAGGAGGGAACUGAUCAUCUGAGGAGACACUUGUCUCAUCGCCAGUAUCAUCUUCUUCGUUCCAUCCUGUAGCCUUUUGAGGCCAUGGAUAUUGCGGAGGAGGAGCAUAACUUCUCCAGAAUGCCUUCUGACAGUUGCCAGAUAUGCCAGAUAUAAAAGUUACUUAUCUCUCCAUCCUCACUUACCUCUCCCUCACAUUUAUCAUCUACCACACAUCAACAUCAACAUCACCACCAUCAUCACCUCUCAUUGGACCCCAAUUCCUCAAGCCCAUCACAGCCGUCCAUAACCUCACCCUCCUCCUCCUCUCCCUCAUCAUGGCCGUUGGUUGCCCUCUCUCCAUCAUCCUCCAUUUACCCCACCUCUGUUACAAACUCUGUUUACCCCCUACCAUUUCUCCGUCUGGCAUGGCCUAAUUCCGACGGAAUCAACGACGGUCGUGAUAGGUUUUGGCUGCGACAAUUCGCGCUUCAAACGGCGGCGUUUCGGUUGGUUUUUGGCGACAGUGACGGUGGGAAAGUGAUGGCUGGCUUAGGAGCUUUCGUUGCUACCAUCCAUGGCCGGUGAGGUGGCCGAAAAUUGGAGAUAUGUCUGCGUUGGGUUCGCAGUUUUGGGUUGGGUUUUCCGGGUCGGUUUGACAGCUUCCUCUAUCCCUCUCCCCCAUAAAACAUUACGCAGCUUCCUCUUAUUAUUAUUAUUUUUUUCACAUACGUUAUAGAACAUUAAGAACAUUAAUGAGAUAUGUUUAGUAAGGACUAUUUUGAUAUUUCGAUGAGUAGUAAAAAGUAAUGUUAAAAUUUUAUAGACGAGUGUAUAGUAAGAUGCUCAAAGUACUAGAACAUAUAUAAAUAAUCCCAGCUCUAAUAAAUUUUUGCCACAUAAUGAGUUUUAUCCCUUAAGCAAAACAUAUCGAUAAAGUAAACAAAAGCACAAUGCAUGAGUACAUGUCAAUAACAAAUGAAAGUAAUUAAGAUAAAGAAUAUGCUUUAUUUUCUUUUAUUUUAGUUUUUUUUUUGGUUUCUUUUGAAAGGAGACCAACUAGAUCAUGCAAGAAGUUAAUUUUUUUUUUUAAAUAAAAAGGGAGAAAUGAUGGUCUUACAAAGUUCGAAUAUAAAGUUUAUAAUCUAAAAUUAAUGAUGUGACAAUUAACCUAAUGGAGUAAGAAGUCCCAAAUAGAUUAUAUUUUGCUAAAGAAGUCAAUUCUACCGAGAAUACCUCUUUCUAUUGAAUUUAAAUGAUGAUUAUUUGUUUAUAUCAUAAAAGCUAAAAUAAUUGUGUGAGUAAUUUGAUUCUUUUACAGUAUAAAAAUAAAUUCAGAAAAUGUUAGGGCAUGUUCUGUAAUAUAUUUUUAAAUUUAUAUUAUGAGAAUGAAAAUGGUGUUUUCAAGUUGAUAAAAUUUCAAUUGAAAUAUGUGUUUGUUAUUAUUUUAUUUAUCAUAUAUUUUCAAAAUGAAAAUAACCGAUAGAUAAAGUUAAAAAUGAUAAAAUAAUGGAUAUAUUAAGCAAUUUUACUACAUGCAAAUUAUUAUCUGUGUUUAAAGUUCAUAUAAAGCUUGUUUAUUUUUCAACAUACCAACUUACAAUAAUAAUAAUAAAAUUUUUGUGAUAUCCAAUAUUAACUUUUUAAAGUAAUUAUUUUUUGUUAAUGUGUCCGCUGUUCAAUCGAUCUUCCUACUUUCUAUGCUUGAGAUUAGAUCAUUUGCUUCAAAGAUUCGAACUGGACUUAUAGUAGGAAAAAGAAUUUUCUUCAAUAUGAACUCCAAUUCUCUUUUAUAUAUAUAUAUAUAUAUAUAAAUCUAAUUCUCCUUUCAACAUUUUAACAUUUUGAUGAAAUAAACAAUUAUUGGCGAAAGAUUACAUGCUUCCUUACAUUAGAGAACCAAAUACUCAGAUAGGUAGUGUAAAUCUCUACUGAUCGUUGGUGAUUUUAUCAAAAUAAAAUUCAAUACAAUGUAUAAGCACACUUAAAUCCGUCCAAAAAAACAUAAAUGACCCAGCAAAUAAAGAAAAGUACUGUGAAGUAAAAUUGAAAAGUACAAUCCGUCGAUCAUUUGAUACGUAUUUUUCUUCACAGAACCUCAAUUCAAUAGACAAAAGCUCCUCUUAAUUUUUCUUUUCUAUUUAAAUAAAAGAACAAAAGAAAUUGAUUACGGAGCCAUUAAUUUCCAAGAAUUAAUAAACGAAAAGGCCCAUAAUUUUUGUAAACCCACCCCACUCUCAAGAAAUAAUUACAAUAAGUUCAAAUUAUUUUUUAAAAAUUGAAAUAAAGAAGAUGUAAUUACAAUAAGUUUGGAGAUUGAAUCAAAUAAAAUAAAAUACCUAAACUAUUAUAUACAAGAACUCUUGAUUCUUGGGGUAUUUUAGUCAUUUUAUAUUAUCAUGGUAAAUUAGUCAAAUAAAACUUAUCUUGAAGCAACCUAAAUGGUCAAAGACACCUAAGUUAAAAAUAAAAAUUAUAUGAAUGAUUUAAUUUAUUGAUUGUCUAUACGUUUUAUUGAUUUAUGUAUUUUAAAAAUAGUAUGAACGUAUUACAAUUAUUUUCUGACAGCAAGGUAGAUUUGUAAAAUAAGUGGGUAGAAACUAUCCCCGUCCUCAAACAAAUAAAUGAAUUAUCGGUGAUGCAUGCUUUUUCCCAACUUUCCUUUUUUUUUUCUUUUGGUUUUUUGUUUUUGUUUUAAAUGUAGAAGAAGGAAGAGAUGAAGAUCCAAUCCAAUCUGAUAGUAGUAGUUUAUUUUAAUUUUUAUUAAUUUGAUUUCAUAGGAGUAGUUUUCAUUUUUUGUUGAAAAUUGGUAUAAAAAAAAACUGAAAUGAGAUGAUUACUUUAAAACAAUCUUCAAGAACUAAAAUAAUUUAAAAAAAACUCAAAAUAAACAAAAAGUCUUAAAAAUAACCCUAAUCCGAACAUUAUUUGAAUCCAUCCUAACUAGCCCGAAUAUGAUUUUAACCCAAACCCAACCUAACUCGCUUAUAAUUAUAACCCAAUGCGAUCCAAAUUCAACUCGAAUUUUUGAUCCGAUCUAAUACAAUUUGAAUAUUCUAACCCUAUCAACCAGAAACCCAAUUAGGUUGAUCUGAACCCACAUUUGUCCACUCCCAGAGGGGAUCAUGACCCUACAAGCUUUGAAAGUUUUUUGAGAUUUCUAAGUGAAUAUUAAAAAUUAUGUAUAAAAAGACUGAUUUGACCCCUAAACACUUGAUAUAGAAACUUUAUACAUAUAAUAGAAAUUUAAUUUUAUAUUUUGUGAAAUAAAGUCAAAGUAACUGAAUUUUUUUUUAUUUUGUUAAUUAUUUUUCUAAUAUGACAAAAUGACAAAUAGCCUUGUGCCUAGCUCUUUGACUUUUAUUUUGCUAAUUAUUUUUUUCAUUUCUCUUGCAACAGUAACUUCAAUUAUCAAUCAAAGUCGCCAAAUCAAAAUCUCUGCAGCCUGCAGCUACAAGCAAACUUCUCAAAUUUUGAAAUUCCUUAUGACUACAUAAUAGCUAUAAAUAGAAAAAGCGUCUAAAAUAACUAUGUUUUUCUAAGUUUGAGCUUGAGCCCCCUGAAGAUUUACUCCAUACGUAACAAAAUAUUGGUUUUGCUAGUAAAAUUGCUAACUAUGUUUUUCUUUGUAUUUCCGCUCAAGGAUGAAGAAAUUUCCCUAGACUUUUGUGGUGAAUAUCUUACGAACAUAUGACAAUUUAAUCUUUGGCUGAGACUUGUUUAACAUAAGAGAUGACACUUUAAAGCAAUAGGAGAGAUAGAUAACAAGCUUUGUUCCCCAAAAAAAAUCUAUCAGAUAUAUUAUGCCCCCGGUUGCUAUUGCUAAAUAUAGUCAUAAUUACUAAAAAAUAAGUAAUUCUUUUUUUAUAUAUUAAAAUGGUAAACGGGUGGAUAAAAUUUAAAAUAAAUUUUUAACUUUUUAUCUAUUUUGACAUUCGAAUUUUAAGCUCGAGAAGUCAAGCAAUAAAUAAAGCUUUUUGAGAGGCUAACUAAAUUCUUAGUAAUUGCAUAUAAUUUCAUUUCAUCAGAACAGUUUUAUCAAAAGCAAUUUUAUAAAUCUUUUUGGAAAGCUUUAAUCCUUAAUUAUCUUUCACAUAUUUUCUUUGUAAUAUGAGGUAAGUCGUGGACCAUAGUAUGGUAUUUAUUGUAAAUAAAAUCAUUAUGAAACUGAUUUUAUUCUUCUUUUUUUCACAAACAAAGUAUCUAGCUAACUGCAGAUGUAAUGAAUUACUAAUUACCAUUAUUUGAGUCGCUCUCUAAAUUAGAUCUUGGAGUCUGUCCUGGCAUAAUAAAAUUAACGACAUAAUGGCUUUUGAUUUUGCCUACCUGAUAAUAAAAGUUGUCUGCGAUAUAGACAAGAAAUGGAUCCAUACGUUAAAGCAAAAUUGAAAAAUAUAAAAACAUAAAUUGCUAGGAGAUGAUUUUAUCCGAAAUUUCACUUGCACGGUAUUGGCCACAUAUAAAUUUGUGAUGAAAUUCAUAACGGAUUAAUAUAAUUGAACGAAAUUACUCCAUACAAUUUCAUAAGUAUGUAUUAUACAAUUAAAAAUCUAUUGAUAUUUAUAAUAAAAUAAUAUAUCUACUAAGUGCUGGGAUAUAUAUUUGUGGGGAAAGACAAAUGUAGAGAAUUGCAGUAAUAAAGGUGGAAGUGAAACUUUAUAAUAAUUAAUUAAUGUGUUCACAAUUCUGUAAGUAUAAUAAAAUCAUAUUAAUAGGUAAAUUGUAGAAAAUUAAUGUGUACUUAAGGGCACAUUACAAAUGUCGCUUUCCUAAAGAUAUCAUUUGUCCCACCAAUUAAGUGAUGCAUAUAGGCUAAACAAAUAUACCUCCAGGAUACAAUGAAUCACUUAUUUGUUUGCAUGUGUUUUUCAUCGAUGAAAGCAAACUUGAAUACUUUUGAAUGUUGCAAGCUUUUCGAGAAUCAAUAUAUUAUUCCUAUAGUAAACAAUAUAUUAGAUAUUUGAUGCAUAUAGUAUAGAUGUUAUACAAUAAAAUUUGUUUCAGGAAAGAGGGUUGAGAAGAGAGUGAUGUAGUAUCAUUAUUUCCAUGUUUAAAAAUUAAUUCUAAAUUAGCUAUAACAUGCAAUCUUUUAAUAUUCACAUGUCCUAAAUGAAUAUGCUACAAAAAUAAUGAGUCAAUCAUGUAAGAAGAAGAAACAUUAAUUUUAUUAAUAUUGAGCUUGAACAUUCCCAAAUACAUGUAUCCUUUCCCAAUAAAGGUACCUGAAACGACCCGCCCCGAAAACCCCUAGGCGAGUCUAUCUAGUCUCAUCAAAACGGACUAGAAAAUCUAUUCAUAAAGAGUCUGCCGAAAAUUCGGCAGAGUCUCCUUUAUAUAUAUAACACUCCCAAUCUACAAAUAUGAAAAUAACACUCCCAAUACAAAUCUCAUAUACAACAAACUCCAGUACUCAACAUACUCAACCAAAAUGCUGAGUCUUAUAUUAUACAAUCCCAAAAGAACAAGAUGACCAAAAUGUCCCAACAAAAACAUUUACACAAUCUAGCACCAUCACGUGGCCAAGACUCAAAAUAUAUAUACAGUCGCUGGGUCAGUCUGGUGUACCUGCAACCUCCUGGUGAGGGGGGAAAAAUAUAAUAAAAGCAGGGUGAGUUUAAAACUCAGUGAGAUCAGUGAGUGGAUAGUAGGUUUGAAAAUUAAAUCUUACUUUAAAAGAAAUAAUCAUAUCAUUUCCAAAUACGGUUUCAUUAAACCAUAAGCGAGAAAUCAGAAAUAAAUCAUUAAACAUUUAAAUCAGAUUACCAACCAUAGAAAUCAUAUCACCAAAUCAUAUAGGAUUCACAAAUCUGAAAAUCAUCAUAAAACAAGUACCCAGGGAAAUAAUCUCGUCAUAUCCGGACCUCAACGGACGGGCAAUGACGUACUAUCUGGGUAACGUCACGCCCCGGAGCUACACAGAUAGACAGGGAAAUACCAUCUCAUAUCNNNNNNNNNNNNNNNNNNNNNNNNNNNNNNNNNNNNNNNNNNNNNNNNNNNNNNNNNNNNNNNNNNNNNNNNNNNNNNNNNNNNNNNNNNNNNNNNNNNNNNNNNNNNNNNNNNNNNNNNNNNNNNNNNNNNNNNNNNNNNNNNNNNNNNNNNNNNNNNNNNNNNNNNNNNNNNNNNNNNNNNNNNNNNNNNNNNNNNNNNNNNNNNNNNNNNNNNNNNNNNNNNNNNNNNNNNNNNNNNNNNNNNNNNNNNNNNCCAAAGCCUCUAUGUGUGUUUAGACGGGCCCCAAAGGCCUCUCAUCUCAUAUCAUUUAUAUCACUAUAUCUGGAGGGAAGGGUACUGUUUAAUGAUUUUAAAAACAAUCAUAAUACUCAUAUUCUCAUACCUCUUAACCAUAUUUUAAAUCAUACCACACAUUUUAAUAUAAUCUCAACACGUGAAUAAAAUCCAUUUCGAGGGAAUCACAUUAAAUCCAAUUCGAGAAAAAUCGCAUUAAACCCAUUUCGAGAAAUCAUUAAAUCAAAACAUUUAAAAUGCUUAUUCCGCAAACAUGCUUACUAUCAUCGCUAACUAUAAAAAUAAGUUUUAUAUAUUCCACUCACAGUGAUGGUGUUCAGGGUCGGUUAUCGUCCAUGUCCGCAGUCCGGUUCUCGCUCGCGGAUCCUCCUAAAUCAAGGAAACGACAUAAUUAUUUUCCAUAAAUCGGAAUUCCGACUCAAUAUAUGCCAUAAACUCGAAACGAACAUUUAUCCAUAAUUUACAACUCCCGUGUCGAUAAAAUUACUAAAAUGCCCUUGCCGGUGAACGGUCGCCGGAAAUUGGUCAACGACGAUGGGAAGCUUAGGUCUGCUAGUUCAGACCUCGGUGAGUCCAAUGGUGGUGGCUGUGAGUCCCCACGCGCGGUACCGACGGCGGAUCGAGCUUCCCAAGCCGUGAGCUUCCAAGUGGCUAUUCGUCGGCAAUCCGGCCGUUUCAGAUGACGAGGUUGGUCGGAAAAUGAUUCUGGUGACGUGAGGAGUAGAAACCAGCUAGAGGUGUGCCCAAACUCUGGCAAAAUCGACGGCGGCGAAAACGGGUCUUGGCCGCGACUUUUCAAGCUCAAACGCCGGCGUUCCAGUCGGUUUCCGGCGACGAGGAUGGCAGGGUUAUGAUGGCCGGCUUCCAAGCUUCAGAUUGGUACCAAGCUCGGCUGGUGAGGUGGCCGGAAUCGUGAAAUCCGUCCGGGUCAAAGUCGCGGGUCGGGUCGGGUUUCCGGGUAAAAAAUCGGGUCAACUCUCUUUCUCUGUGUUACACGUGCAUGUGUUUUCCUUUGUUUCCAACUUAUUCCUUUGCUUAUAAACUCCUUAACCGCCUCAUGCCAUUUUACAACCACAGGUGUUACAGUACCACCCUUAAACAAUGCAAAUUUGCUUUGACUCAAAUAAGGUACCACCCUAAUAUAGAUACAAGAUUUUUCCUACCUUUAGAUACAUGAUAAACAUCAAUAUGAGUUAAAGUUUUUCCACAAGUGAACUCUAGUUGCACAUUCCCUCUAAUUGUUGCAAUGGAGGAAUUUCCCAUCUAAAGAACACUUCAAUCAUCCAUUGCUUUGUAAGAUGUGAAAAGCCUACGAUUCUUGUACACAUACUUGAUUGCACCGGAAUCUAUUCACCAUGCAUUAUCAUGUUCGAGAAUAUUAAUCUAAGAUAUUACGGCCAUAAAUUUUGUCCACAAAAUUUGUGUUCGAGCACUUUUUUUCUUUCUUAAGAAGCUGACAGUCAUUUUUAAAGUGGCUAGGCUUUUCACAUUGGUCACAUGUACACCUUUCUUUUUUAUUUUGUUGGUUUGAUUCUAUUUGGAAUCAAAUUUUUGCUUUUGGUUAUUAAUGCGGGUAUUAGACUGCUUAAGCUCCUUCUCCUCCUCCACAACAUUAAUUUCAGAGGACAUAGCAGUCUGUUCCUCAAGACUAUUAAGUUUAAGUUUCUAUUCAAUAUGAAGACUUUGCCAAGCCUUCCAGGCUAACUUCCUCUUUGUUAUAUUUAAGACUUUUUUCAUAGUCUUUUCAAGAGGGGGGAAGUUUAUCAAUAAUUGAAGAAAUAAUAAUAAACUUAUUACUUUUCAUGUUGUGUUGGUUGAAUUGAUCAAGAAUGCAAAAAUCUCAUUAUAUUGUUCAAUCACAAGUCUAUUAUCAAUCUUUUUAAAACUAAAAAAAUUAGAAGUCAAGAAUUUCUUACUUGUGGUGUCUUCCAUCAUGUACUAAGACUCCAAUAAGUCUUAUAUUUCUUUUGCUGUGGAUUUUGUUGUGGUACUUAUGGAAACAAAGUACUAGACACGGCAUUGUAAAUGUGUCUUAUGCACACGUAGGCAUCUUGCUUCCACUUUUGCCACACUCGAGUUUCUCAUUCUCACGUUCUUCAGGCUUUGAUAUUGUAAGAGCAUUAACAACAUUGAGGCUUGUCAACAAGAAAUGUAAUAUUUUUUGCCAACGUAUAAAAGUUGUGACCAUAAAUAUUUAUUUAUUAUUGAUUUUGAUGAUAACAAACUUGAUUAAGAUUGAUUAAUCUCUUAAAAGCUCAAAAUAAUUUUCAUAUACUUUUAAAUCAUCACUCUCACUUUAUAUUCUAUGGAAAUAUUUUUUGUUAUUCUCAUGUUAAUGGUUUCAAUUGAAAAAGCUUUGAGAAUUUUGAUAAUAACAAAUAUUGUUUCAAAUCCUGUAAAUGGAUCUAUUUGAUAAGUUUUAUAAAGUGUUGGGUCAUAGUAUAAUUUUAUGAAGUUUUGGGGUCAAACUAUUAUUUUACAAAAUAGUUCAUUUUAGCAGUUACUGUAGAAAACGGCGAUCCGACAUCUUGAUAAAGGCUCGCCGACAUCGAACAGAACUGAAGAUUAGCCUCUGGACACUAACAACAAUCCGACAACUUGAUAACGGCUAACCGACAUUGCACAGAAUUGAGGAUUAGUCUCUGGACACUAACGGUGAUCCCACAUCUAGAUAACGACAAUCCGACAGUGUGCAGAAAGUCAAUAACAGCUAGUUUUCAGCUCCAGCAAUAAAUAAGCUCAAUCAAAUUCAAACUAAAACGAUUGCAACAAUUAUUAUUGAGCAAAGUUAUGAGCAUACAACAUUCAUUGAGCCUUAAAUUCUUGUAUUCAUCUCAUUUACUCACACUUUGAAUCUUCAUUUGUAAUCAAACACAUAGUGUGAGAGAAAUUUAUUUUGUAACAUUCUUUAAAAUCAAAUUGAGUGAUUGUAAGUGUUGAGAUACACUUGGGUUAAGAGAUUAGGGAUAAUCUCUUGUUGUAAAGGUUUAUUGACACCUUAAAAGUCAAGUGUAAGCAUUUGAAGCCUUGGAGGCUUGCUUAGUAGAAUCCUCAAGCCCGAAAAGCUUGGAGGCAUGGACGUGGGAGAGGUUGGCCGAACCACGUAAAAAUCCUCAUGUUUGAAUCUCUCUUACCUUAUCUUUUUAUAUUGUGAUAAAUUUAUUUGUUAUUGCUUUAAAUUCGUUUUAUAUUUGCAUUGAGUUUUGCUUUAAAAAUUGUAUAAUUUUUAGAAUCUCAAUUCACCCCUCCUCUUGGGUUGCAUAACUAGAAUUUCAUUUGGUAUCAGAGCCUUGUGCUUUUGUUAGGACGUAAUCGUCUAGAGUAAAAGAUCAAUGGCAACCCUAAAUGACUCAACCUUUAGAGAAGGACAAUCUACAACUAGACCACCGUUCUUUGACGGUAAUGACUAUGCAUAUUGGAAAACUAGGAUGAGAAUCUAUUUGCAAGUUUUAGAUUAUGAAAUUUGGGAAGUUGUUUAUGAUGGUCCAUUUAUGCCUAUGUUUAAAAAUGAAGAAGGAGAUGAUAUUCCUAAACCAUCAAGUCAAUGGAGUGAGUUAGAAAAGAGAAAGAUGUCCUUAAACUCCAAGGCAAUGAAUGCCUUGUUUUGUGCUCUUGAUAAGAAAGAAUUCCAUAGAGUAUCUAGCUGUGAAAGUGCACAAGAAAUAUGAAAUAAACUUGAAGUUGUCUAUAAAGGGACAAAUCAAGUUAAAGAGUCUAAAAUUAGUAGAUACACUCGUCAAUAUGAAUUGUUCCAAAUGGAAUAAAAUGAAAAUGUGUAUUCUAUGUAUAUUAGAUUUACGGACAUAGUAAACACCCUAGGAACUUUGGGAAAAACUUUCUCAAAUAGUGAGAAAGUAAAGAAAAUCAUUAGGUCACUUCCUAAGGAAUGGAGAUUUAAAAGGACUGCUAUUUAAGAGGUCAAAAAUUUAAAUACUUUACCUCUUGAUGAUUUAAUUAGCUCUCUUAUUUCAUAUGAACAAGACUUAGCAGCUGAAAAAAGGGAUGAGGAGAAGAAGAAAAGUAUUGUUCUCAAAGCUUCAAAAUUUAAGAGUGAUGAGGAAAGUGAACCGGAUGAUGAGGAGUAGGCCAUGCUAGCAAGGAGGUUUAGAAAAUUCUUUAAGAAAACCGGUGAGCGAAGAAGAUUUAGAAACUUCAAGAAUCAAAAGGAGAAGAAAAAGGCAAUCAUAUGCUAUGAGUGCAAAAAGUUCGGCCAUAUGAGAUCAGAAUGCCCACUUCUCAACAAACUCAAGAAGAAAGUCAUGGUUGCUACUUGGGAUGAUAGCGAUGAAGAUUCAAGUGAUGAAGAUGAAUUGCAUGAAGCAUCAAACCUAACACUUAUGACAUAAGAGAUGAUGAUGAUCUCAAUAAGGUAAGUGAUCCUACCUAUGAUGAAUUGUAUGAUGCUUUUAAAGAAUUACAUGAAGAGUUGAUGAAAAUUAGUAAAAAGAAUGCAUGCCUUAAAAAGAAAAUACUAGAACUUACAAAUGAAAGGGAUGCCCUAGAAAAAUGCAAUAAUGAGAAGAUAAAAGAAUUAGAAUUAGAGAAUAAAAUGUUGCAUGAUAAAACUUUAGCUCUUAAAGGUAAACAAAGCACUUAUGAACAUGAAAAGUCACAUGUGGAUGAGUUAAUGAAAGAGAAUGAAGUGCUUAAGAAGAAAAAUAAUGAACUAAAUGAAAUUGUGCUAAAGUUUACAAAUGGACAAAAGAUGUUGGAAAAUAUGCUCAAUUCACAAAAAUGUGUGUUUGAUAAAAGAGGUAUUGGCUAUAAGCCAAACUUGAAACAAAAAUAUUAUAAGAACUACUUUGUGAAAAGUACCUCUAUUAACAAUCAAAUUGUAUGUCAUCAUUAUAAUCAAGAUGGACACAUGAAAAAUAUAUGUCCAGUAAAAAGAAAUGCAUAUUAUGGUAUGAAAUGUAUUUGGGUUCCAAAAGGAACCAUUGCUAACAUAUAAGAACCUAAGAAGUUUUGGGUACCUAAAACUUAGAAACUUUUUCUGCAGGGAUCAAAGAAAAGGAAAAAUAAGUGGUUCUUGGAUAGUGGUUGCUCAAGGCACAUGACCAGAAACUAUGCAUGGUUUUCAAGUUUCACCAAAAUUGAAAAUGGUGGAGAUGUUUCUUUUGGAGAUAACUCAAAGGGAAAGAUUCUCGGAGUUGGAAAUGUCAGUAAAAUUUCGUCAACUUUAAUUGAAAAUGUAUGUUUAGUUGAAAACUUAAAACACAAUUUGAUUAGUAUUAGUCAAUUGUGUGACAAAGGUUAUAAAGUUGUUUUUGAUAAAUCUAAAUGUAUUAUUGAGAAUGCAUGUGAUAACAAGAUUUUAUUUAUUGGAAAUAGAUGCGGUAAUGUUUAUACCAUUGACAUAGAAUGUGCAUCCACUAAUGAUAAAUGUUUUUCGGCUGUGCAUGAUGAUAGUUGGUUAUGGCAUAGAAGACUAGGACAUGCAAGCAUGGAUUUAAUUUCAAAGAUUUCCAAAAAUGAUUUAGUUAAAGGUCUUCCAAAAAUUGGUUUUCAAGAAGAUAAAAUUUGUGAAGCAUGUCAAUUUGGUAAACAAAUCAAAACCUCUUUUAAAAGCAAAAAUCAUAUUUCUAGUUCAAAACUGCUUCAAUUACUUCAUAUAGAUUUAUUUGGACCUUUAAGGUAUGCUAGCUUGAAUGGAAAAUAUUACGCUUUUAUAAUUGUUGAUGAUUUUUCAAGAUACACUUGGUUAUUAUUCUUAACUAAUAAGGAUAAUGCUCUUGAUGCUUUUAAAGUACUUUGUAAGAAAAUUCAAAAUGAAAAAAAGGGUAUGGUAUUGCAUGCAUUAGAAGUGAUCAUGGAGAAGAGUUUGAAAACUAUGCAUUUGAAACCUUUUGUAAUAAUCUAGGCAUUGUGCAUCAAUUUUCAUCACCUAGAACUCCACAACAAAAUGGAGUUGUUGAGAGAAAAAAUAGGUCAAUUCAAGAAAUGGCUAGGAUUAUGUUGAAUGAAAAUUCCUUGCCUAAGUAUUUUUGGGCCGAGGCCGUCAACACCGCUUGUUAUGUUUUAAAUCGUGUGUUGAUUAGACCUAAUCUUAAUAAAACUCCAUAUGAGCUUUGGAAAGAUAGAAAACCCAAUAUUGGUUAUUUCAAAGUUUUUGGAUGCAAAUGUUUUAUUUUGAACACAAGAGAUAAUCUUGGCAAAUUUGAUUCAAAAUCCGAUGUUGGUAUUUUUCUUGAAUAUUUAAACUCAAGCAAAGCUUAUAGAGUUUAUAACAAAAGAACUCUAGUUGUAGAAGAAUCGAUGCAUGUUACAUUUGAUGAAUCUAACCCCUCUUCUACGGAGAAAGUUGUUGUUGAUAAUGAUGCAGAUGAAGACUUACAAAAAGAGUCAUCAAAAGAUAACCAAAAUGAUGCAUCUCAUGGGAAUCAAGAUGAGCAACAUGAAAAAAAAAAUGUAGAGCAAAAUGAAGGUACUUCUCAAUCACUCCCCAAAGAGUGGAGGUAUGUUUCUUCUCACCCUAAGGAUAUAAUUUUAGGAGAUCCCUCACGAGAUGUUACAACUAGAUCAUCACUUAGGAAUACCUGUGAGCAUAAUGCAUUUAUUUCUCAAAUUGAACUCAAAUCCUUUGAGGAUGCGGAAAACGAUAAAUCUUGGAUUAUGGUAAUACAAGAGGAGUUAAAUCAAUUUGAAAGAAACAAUGUGUGGGAAUUAGAUCCUAAACCGGAACAUUAAUCUGUCAUAGGUAUUAAAUGGGUAUUUAGAAAUAAGAUGGAUGAAUCCGGUGUGGUUGUAAGGAAUAAAGCUAGAUUAGUGGCUCAAUGUUACAACCAAGAAGAAGGAAUUAAUUUUGAUGAAACAUUUGCACCCGUAGCUAGAUUAGAAUCAAUUAGAAUGUUGUUGGCAUUUGCAUGUUAUAAAGAUUUCAUUUUAUUUCAAAUGGAUGUGAAAAGUGCUUUCUUAAAUGGUUAUAUUAUGGAAGAAGUGUAUGUAAAACAACCCCCUGAUUUUGAAAAUGAAAAAUUUCCAAAUCAUGUUUAUAAGUUGUUUAAAGCCUUGCAUGGAUUAAAACAAGCACCCAGAGCAUGGUAUGAUAGGCUUAAAAAUUUCUUAUUAGAAAAUAAUUUUUCUAUGGGUAAAGCGGAUACUACUCUCUUUGUCAAACAUAAGAACAAAGACAUACUUGCUGUUCAAAUUUAUGUGGAUGAUAUUAUUUUUUAUUCUACUAAUGAAUUGUUGUGUAAAGAAUUUUCAUCUUGUAUGAGUAAUGAAUUUGAAAUGAGUAUGAUGGGAGAGUUGAAGUACUUCCUUGGGCUGCAAAUAAAACAAAAUGAGAAAGGAAUAUUCAUAAAUCAAGCCAAGUAUGUAAGAGAUCUACUCAAACGAUUCGACAUUGAUGACUGAAAGACAAAAAAUACUCCGAUGAGCACAACAACCAAGCUUGACAAAGAUGAAAAAGGCAAAGAAGUAGAUAUCAAAAUGUAUCGAGGUAUGAUCGGAUCUUUACUUUAUUUAACUGCAAGUAAACUCGAUAUCAUGUUUAGUGUACGUUUGUGCGCAAGAUUUCAAUCAUGUCCCAAGGAAUCCCAUUUGCUUGCUGUUAAAAGAAUUUUUCGUUAUUUGAGUGGAACCAUAGAUAUUGGCCUUUGGUAUCCUAGAGGAACUCAUAUAGAUUUAACUUGUUAUUCGGAUGCCUAUUUUGCCGGUUACAAAGUCGAUAGGAAAAGUACUAGUGGAACUUGCCAUUUUCUAGGUCAUUCACUUGUUUCAUGGUUUAACAAGAAACAAAUUCGGUUGUACUCUCAACAACUGAGGCAGAAUAUAUCACCGCCGGGAGUUGUUGUGCACAAGCACUUUGGAUGAACUUAGAGAUUGUGGCAUUAAUCUUGAACAAAUUCCUAUUAAGUGUGAUAAUACUAGUGCUAUAAAUCUUUCAAAGAAUCCAAUUCAACACUCUAGAACCAAGCAUAUAGAAAUUAGACAUCACUUCUUGAGAGAUCAUGUUCAAAAGGGAGAUAUUGCAUUAGAGUUUAUUUAUACGGAAAAACAAUUUGCCAAUAUUUUUACAAAACCUCUUUGCGAAGAUUAAUUUUUAAAAAUUCGGUAUAAACUUGGGAUGAUGAAAUUUUCACAUUAACAUUUCUACUCAUGUUAUUUAGUCUAAUGAAAUUGAUUGAUUGAUUAUUUGAUGAUUUUGCUUUAAGUGUUUGAGCAUGAUUAAUAAGUGAGAUGUUUAUAUUAUUCAUUGAAUGUGUGUAUGAAUUAAUGGUUGAAAUUCUUACAUGUUCAUGAAUUAUGCAUUGAACUGGCACUUAAAACAUUUUGGAUCAAUGAAAUGAUCCUGAAAUGUAUUUAUUUUAGCCAAAUAUUAAAAUAAAUGUGUGAAAUCAUAAGUUGUAGAAAACGGGUAAUCGUUUUUCAAGCAGAAACCUUGCAAGUAUUCUGGACGCUGUCGGUUCAUCGACAUUUCACUAACGGCUCGCCAUUUUCAUGAAAAAUUUUGGGGAGCUCUCUGGACGCUGCUAGUUCGCCGACAUUUCACUAACAGCUCGCCGUUUUCAUGAAAAAAUUUUGGGCAGCUCUCUGGACGCUGUCGGCUCGCCGAUAUCUCUAUAACGGCUCGCCGUUAUCACGCGAUAAGUGAACAAUCUUUUGUCUCCUUCUUCAUUUCGUUCUUGCUCUCUCUCUCUCUCUCUCUCUCUCUCUCUCUCUCUCUCUCAAACCCGUGACUAUACCUGUUUUCCUCUCUCAAAUUCAUCAUUUUUUCUUGUCAUUUUUCGCCAAAUUGAAGUAUUAAAAACCAUCCUUAUCAUCUUUAGACCCUUUUUCACCGAUUAAAACCGGUUUUCACUUCAAAAAUUGAAAAAUCCCAAUUUAAAACCCUAGAACCAGCCGCACUACCUUUGCCAAUAUUGACCCGAAUUUCUUCCAUUUUCAAUCACUUUUCAACUUGUAAUCACUCUCUCGUCUCUCAAACUUCAUUUCUACUGAUUUAAAUUUCUCCAAAAUCAUCAAUGGCAGCAAGAUCACAGUCACAGAGGCGUGCUCGAACCAAGCACACUGCCCCACGACGUUCCAGUCCAGGCCUCCUUCUCAGGACUUCGAGAGCCUCCAUUUUUCCAAUGCUAACUUUGCUCAGCGAUUUCGUGACAAAUUCAUGGGCAAGCCGGUAACUCUCUCAUUUUCUCUUAACAUUGCAGAGUUUUCAGAUAUUUCAAUUUGUGGUAGUAAUAUUACUCACAUGCUUAGUCAUUAGAAUGAAGCUUUAAAUAUAAAAGAACCUGUUUAUGAAAAUCUUGUACGUGUAUUUUAUUCUAAUAUGGAACUCUCCUCUUCCCGACAAGUUGAAAUUUAUACAUCCGUAAGAGGAGUUCGUAUUGCGUUCAAUGAGGCAGAAUUAUGUGGUAUACUUGAAAUUCAUUAUGUUGGCUUAGACAUUUACACCAUUAGGAAAGAGUUUGAAUUUAGUGAUUUCUGUUAUGUGGAUGGCGUACAGAACAUUUGUAGACGUCGGGAUCUUUCCGAUGACCUCUGCUCUUUGCCCUUUAGGUCUCAACUUCUCCUUUUCCAGGUUCGCAUACUUCAUAUCAUUCUCCAACACAUGGUCACCCUUAGACAGGGCCAUACUGAUGAGGUAACUAGGCUUGAUGUUGGUUUAUUAGAUUCCCUCAUCCGUAGACGACAUGUGAGCUUAUCUUACACUAUCCUUUGUCAUAUGAUGUCCACACCUAAAGUGACCAACCGAUCCCUUCCAUAUGGCAGCAUCAUUACUAGGAUUUUGAAAUUCUUUAAAGUACCUAUCACUAAGCCUGUUUAUGUCGAGACCCAAAAGCUCGGUCGAGAGAUUAUGUCUGCGAUCAGAUUUUUUAAGAAGCAUGGGAAGUGGGAAAAGACAACAUCCUCUAAGAAUGAAGACUAAAACGACUCGUCCCGCACUCCCAGGACGAGUCUAUCUAAACUCGUAUAAUCGAAUCGAUAUUAAUUAUGAUAUCUAAGAAUUCUGUAAAAAAUUCGGCAAAAAUCUCCCCUAUAAAUAAAACAUCCCUAAACCUGCAAUUUAAAAAACAAUAUUUCCAAAAUAACUCAAUAUCCAUUCAUCCUUCAUAACCAACUUCUCAAGUCAACAUAUCAAAUAUCACCCAAAUCAUUCUAAUAUUAAAAUAUAAUGGUUAUCCUUAAUUACAAAAUAUAACAAAUAAAUACAAUUCGCAAUAUCCCAAAUAUCAAAAUAUUAAAUCUACGACUCCUAGCACCAUCACGUGGUCACAAUUUUGAAUCUAACUAUCGUUGCUGGGUCGACUGAUGUACCGACAAAUCUCCUGUGGGGGGGAAAAAUAUAAUAAAAACGGGGUGAACAUAAAACUCAAUGAGCUCAGUGAGUGCAUAGUAAUUUUUAAAAAAUAAAUUUAUUUAAAAUGAUUUAAUCUUUCUCAAAUCAAUUUCAUCAAAAUAUCAUAAGAACUUAUAUAAACAUAUUCAAUUCAAAUCAUGCACUGAAAUAACUAUAUUAUAUAAAUUUGCAUAAAAUCAAUGAAAUCAUAAUACUUAUAAUAUCAAUUACUGAAUACUAAAAACUAUCACCAAACAAGUACUCAGGGGAAUAGUCUCAUCAUAUCCGGACCUCGACGGACGGGCAAUCAGGGAACAAUCAUGCCCCGGAGCUACAAUAGAUAGAUGGGGAAAUCUCAUCUCAUAUCUCAUGUAUCUCAACAUCUGUAUCUCUGUAAUCAUUAUACUGCAUGCAUAAGCCCCCAAAAGGCAAAAGCGCCCAAACACACGGCCUAAAGCUUCUAUGUGUGUUCAGACGGGCCCAAAAGGCCUCUAUCUCAUCUCAUAUGUAUCUUUGUAUUCAUCUCGUAUUAUCUGUAUCUCUGUAUCUGGAGGGGAAGGUUACUAUCCAAUGAUUUUCCAAACAACAUUUAUACACAUGUUCAUAAACAUAUAAUCACAUCUAAAAUCUCAUUUUUUUUUAUUCAACAUAUCUCAAAUCUACUCAAUUCUAAUGUCAUGCGUUUACUCCAAAACGAUAAUAAAAUCAUUAAUCAAACUCAUUCUUAAUAACAAUAAAUAUCAACACAUAGAUAAAAAUCAAUUUUCUAGAAAAUCAUUAAAUCGAAGCAUCAAAUACUUAUUUAUCAAAACAUACUGCACUGUAUCAUAAAAUCAGCAUAUACUAUGAAAAUAGGUUUUGUAUAUUCCACUCACAGUGACGAAGUCCAGACUCAGUAUCAACAACGCCCGCUGGUUGAUUCUCGUUCGCGGAUCCUCCUAAUCAAGGAAACGACAUAAUCAUUCUCCGUAAAUUUGAAAUACAACUAAUCUUACAUAAUAAUUCUCGAAACGAAUAUCUAUCAAUAAUAAACUAUUCCCGCAUGCACAAAAUUACCGAAAUACCCCUACAUGCCAAAAUUCAUUAUUUUACCAAAAUUAUCUUCAGAAUCUUCAAUUACUAAAUUGUCUUCAAUUCAGAUCACGAAAUUACCACAAUGUCAGAAAUUACGAAAUUAUCCUUGGCACGUAAAAUCACCAAAAUAUCCUUAACAACUUAAAUUACCGAAUUACCCUCAAAAUCUCAAAUUACCUCGCUGCCCUAACCUAAAAUUACCAAAUUAUCCACUGAUUCCAUAAAUUACAAAUUCACCCUAAAGUUUUAUGAAUUUACCGAAUUGCCCCUGCCAAUCAACGGUGACCGGACUUCAGUCAACGACGACGGGAAGCUUAUGUCUGAUAGUUCAGACCUCGGUGAGUCCAAUGGUGCCGACGGUGAUCUCCCACGCGCGGCGAAAAGCGGUGGAUCGAAGCUCCAAAAUAUGUGAGAUUUUCGAUGGUCGUUUGCAGCAAAGACGAAAUCCCUGGUGGUCGUGGUCAGUCAGAAAGUGAUGAGUGUAAGUUGAGGAACAAGAUCAGAAUGGUGGCGUGCUAAAAAUCCAGCGGGAUUAACGGCGGCAAAAACGGGUCUUGGCCGUAAAUUUUCGAGCUCAAUCGCCGGCUUUUUGGUCGGUUUCCGGUGGUGAGGAUGGCAGGGUUAUGACGGUCGGCUUCCAAGCUUCAGAUUGGUACCAAGCUCGGCCGGUGAGGUAGCCGGAAUCGCGAGAUCCGUCCAGGUCAAGGUCGCGGGUCAGGUGGAAUCCGGGUCAAAAUCAGGUCAACUCUCUCUCUCUCUCUCUCUCUCUCUCACGUGCCCCUCUUUCUUUCCUUUUUUGGAAACCAGCUUCUCCUUUCCAUUUAUAGAAAUUGGCUUUUUUUUUUUGCACUUAAGCUUAAUACAAUUAAGUUUAUAUCGGACCCGUGACGAAAAUAAAAUCCGACUACUCGAGCUUUUAAUCGCGCUCAAUUUAUCUCGAUUUAAUGUUGUGACAAUUAAUAUCGAAGAGGAAAAAUUAAAUCAUACACUUAAUUAGAAAAAAUCAAAGUGCAUAUGUUACAAAGACACUUUUAUUGCUCCAGAGGAUGAUUGCAUGCUAAAUGAUGUCUAUUUCGAGGAUGAGUUACCUGACUUCCGCCUUGGGGCUAGACCGCGUGCCCCUCGCUGAGCAGCAGUAGCAUCCGCAGUAGCUUCCUCUCCGGAUGAUGAGCCAGCCGAGCCAGCCGUCCCUCUUGCAGCAUCUUCUGCUUCCGAGGGCCGCUUUCAGCAGCUCUUCGACAAGGUGGAUACACUCUCCCAGUAGCAGCAGCAGCAGCAGCAGCCUUAAUAUGAUUUUGUGACUUUUCGACGGCAGAUAUUAGAUCAGCAGAGGGAGUUACUUGCUGGACAGCGCCGCAUUCUUGGUCACCUUGGCUAUGUUCCCGAUAGUUCCUCUUCACCGCCCCCAUCUUAAUUUUCUGCCCCUAUGAUUUUCGCACAAACAUUACUCAUUUCAUGUAGUUUGUUGUGGUACUUUUUGUUUUUUUGUUUUUAUUGUGCUUGUGAUGCUUUUAUGAUGUUUUUAUUGGAUAUGUGAAUUUUAUUUAUGUAACGACUCGCCCCGACCUCCACAGGGCGAAUCUUACUGAUAGAUGCUUAAAAAUAAAAUAAUAAUAAUCCUUUUACAAUCCAUAACAAUUAUAUCCUUGAAAAUACAAAUAUAAAAUGCAAACUGCAGUGGAAGAAUUUAAAAUUCAUGUCAAACCAUCUAUUUCCUCCAUUCAAGUCCUUCUCGACGAUCAUCACGAAUCAAUCCUGAUUUACAGAAACUGAAUCACAAUAAACUAUAAUGAGUACCAAACUCAGUAAGUAAACUAGUUUUGAAUGACGUGCCAUGAUAUUCGAAAACAUCAUAAACAAAUCAUCGAAAUCUCAUUCUGUCUUUCUCAAACUUUCACAUUCUCUUUCAAACCACUUACUUGAGCUACCUUCAUUCGAUUAUCGCUUAGUAGGACACUCCCUUAACUUUCAUAACUUUCAUACUCUUUGGGCUUCUCGCCAAUGCGUCCUUCGCCCACUCAUCUCAUAACUAUAUAAACAUCUAGAGUGUCUUCUACUAAGCCAAUAACGAAUUCAAGCAUCCAAGCUAAAACUGUAAAACAAUCUUUCUUUCUACAAAUUCCAUUUGGCUAAAAUUCACUUUCUCAUUUUAUAGAAAACAUAAUGCAUUUCGUGCUCAUGCCAAUGAAAUAUUCACACAUACGUAUGCCCAUGUCCAUAAACACACAUAACAACACAUCGUAUAAACACAUGGAUAGAACAUAUAAAUCAAUAUCCGUACAUAUAUAAAAAUAGACUUUCCCAACAUGUCAAACAUAUAUAUUGUUUAUUGUGAUUCGUUUGGAAAUCUAGUUUACUUACCUCCUGGUAUCCUCGAUUAACAAAUACACAUCGAUAUCAUCGGCCUAAAAAUAAAAAAAAAAUACUCUCAUAAGAAUAAAAUUAAACCAUAAUCAUAAACUCCAAUAUUCUCAAAUUCCUCAAUAUAAUCACAUUCCAU
This 175411-nucleotide long non-coding RNA is filed under the name Citrus x clementina. RNAcentral describes it as "Citrus clementina (C. clementina) long non-coding RNA (CCLE_LNC002465)". Lineage: Eukaryota; Viridiplantae; Streptophyta; Magnoliopsida; Sapindales; Rutaceae. The record is from RNAcentral.